CAACCCCUCCGUUUUCAACAACUAGCUAAGCCUAAUUAGCUAGAAGAAGUGUUAGCACGCGGAAUUGCAGCUGCAGAGCUUACUCACGUUUCGAGGAGCAUUCUGGCUUUGUGUUGUGUGUUUCCUGUGUAUGUGCAGUCAAUCAGUCUAUGUGUGUAUGUAUGUAUGUAUGAACAUGCCAUGUACUCCAAUUAAUCGAUUGAGAUGUUAAUUACUUAUCUUUAUGUAUGUUUAUUGCGCACAAUUACUAAAAAAAGAAAGUCGCCUCAUUACCGAGGCUUGCUGGUGAACGUGUAACAUUCUAAUUUUCCAAAAUUGGAUGUUAACAUGUCAUUCAUAUACAUCACAUAAUUUAUGAUCAACGUGUGUUUGUAAGGUGGCUUCGGAUGAGUUUAGGGUGACUAGGAAAGUAAARGCAAAGGUAAAGAUAUCUGAUGAUGGAACGAUAAUGCCCAGAAUGCCUACAUCUAAAUAUGAGUGCGGACAACAUAGAUAAGUACAAUGUGGUAAAGAACACUGUAAAGCAAGCUGUGAGUGGAUCAAGGGAUCGGACUGUGAAAACCUCUACCAGCGUUUAAAUAGGAAGUAAGGCGAAGGGGACAUCUAUAAGAUUACCAAGAUUGGAGAGAGGGAGAUGAUGGAAGUAAGGCGAAAGGGGCAUCUACCGUGGCGAAUGCAUAAAAUAGAGAUGAUGACCAAGAUCGGAAAGAGGGAGAUGAUGGAUGUCAACCUAGUUAAAUGCAUAAAAAAAGAGCAGACCAGCUUCUGAUGAAGGACGAGGACCCUCAGUACCGUGGCGAAUGCGGUUGGAAGUCCCAGAUAGGAGGUUGCAUAAGGGGGUUACUCAGGUUCGGACCCUUGUAGUGAUGUAAGAACAUCUCCAACAGACAUGCGCUAGCGCCGGGCGUUAAAAAUUUUAUUCAGCACCGAAAUAGUGUUUUCAGCGUGCUGGAGAAUGUUUGCUCCAACAGGCGCUGCAAAAUAUGGCGCUCAAUCCGACGGCCCCACAUGCAGCGGCCAGCGCGCGUAAUCCGACGCCUCAAUAACGAAGCCCAAAAGCCAGCGUGCUCAAAAUUUGCAGCAUGGGCGCUCACGUUUUUUAUGCGCGCUCUAUUUCAGAGCUUUUGUUGGAGCUCUUUUUUCUGUCUUCGGCGUUUAAAAAGGAUAUCUUUUAGGGGGCGGAAGAGUUUUUGGGUGUGUGUUGGAGAUGCUAUAAUAUCCUACAUCCUACUUCAAAUUUGCAUCAUGUUGCAUCACCUCGUGCGAUGGGGUUAUAGAUGUGUAUGGCUAUCGACAAUAUAAUUUAUGUUGUGGAUGCGUAUGGCUACACCUACCCGCGCCUUAUAUGGGUGGCAAGGGCUAGGAUUUACACAGGAUCUAACCGAACUCAUGUUGCCGCCAUCUUGGCAUGCACGCCAAGAUGGUCCUUUUAUCUCUAUCGGGGCCUCCGGGAACCUCCCUGGUCCUUCACUGGGUCAUCUGGAUCCUGAGGCAGGCCUGUUGUCGGGCUUCCACCGAGAGGAAUUUCUCUUGCACAAUCAACAAUAAAAUGAGCAUUUCUCUUGCGCUUGAAGCGAGAAUUGUCUCAAAAAGAAUUUGAGCUUGAGGAAGGUUGGGAGCAACUCUUGGAGUCUUCUUCAAGAAAUGAUUCUUCUUCUUGAAAUGCUUGAAAUGCUUGAAAUGUUUCAUUAUCAAGGUGAGGUAUUUUCCAAAGCUGUCGGGAUCAUCAAAUUCUUCAUCAACAUUUUCCUCGUCUUUUUCCGUGGAAGAAUUCGAAGAAUCUUUGUGAGCAUGACUUUUGUGAUAGUUGGAACCAUACAAAUACCUUUUUCAUCUUCUUGUAACUCAUGAGGAGGGUUGAGACUUUUGUAGUGGGACGUUCCUUGUUCAUCAGAACUAGAGUGUUAAUAGAAUUGUCCAUAGAAUGUAGCAACUUGUUUACUACUUCAUGAUCAGUACCAAGUCCUUGAAGCUCACCUAAGAGGACACAUAGAUGAUCAUAAGUAUCGUGGACCCAUUCAUUUCCGGUUCUAUUGAAAAGAUUGAGGCAGUUUUGGAGAGUCUCAAUGUGAUAGUCUUUCCGUGUGGAUACACCCUUGUUCACUUUCUCAAGUUUAUCCCAGAUUCUGUUUGAAUUUUCCAACCUUUGGUGUCAAAGGAAUUGCGGCUUUAAGAGAUGAUUACUGACACGUCUAUGUUGCAUCAUGAUUUCUUAUUAGUAUUUAUAUGAUUCUUGGUCAUUAUCCCACUUUAUGGUACAAUUCUUAUGUCUUUUCUCUCUGAAUUUGCAAGGUACACCACAAAGAGGGAAAUUGCCGAAAACUGGAAUUUUGGACCUGAAAACCAAGAAAAAGGCUGAAAAUUCACUCGACUCCGAAUGACCGGAAACUUCACGAGGAAUGUUUGUGGAAUAUAUAUGAAUUUAUGGAGCAAAAAUAUACCAAAGGGGGGCCACCUGUUGGUGCCAAGCCAAUAGGACGCGCCGUGAUGGCUUGGGGCCAUCUCCGAGGCACUUCAGCCUCCCUCUUCUGCUAUAAGUUGGGUUUUGACCUAGAAAAAAAUAGGAAGAUACGUUCGUGAGGAAGCACCGCCGUCCCGAGGUGGAAACCUGGGCAGAGGCCCUUUUGCUCUUCGGUAGAGCGAUUCUCUCGGGGAAACUUCCCUUCGGGAGGGGGAAAUCGAAGCCAUCAUCAUCACCAACGCUUCCUCCUUCGUGGGAGGAUCAAUAUUAAUCAACAUCUUCACCAGAACCAUCGCAUCUCAAACCCUAGUUCAUCUCUUGUAUUCAAUCUUUGUCUCAAAACCUCAGAUUGGUACGUGUGGGUUACUAGUAGUGUUGAUUAUGUCUUGUAGUUGAUGCUAGUUGGUUUACUUGGUGGAAGGUAAUAUGUUCAGAUCCUUAUUCAUAAUUAUUACGCUUAUGAUCUUGAACAUGGUGAUGAUUUUUGAGUAGUUACUUUUGUUCUUGAGGACAUGGGAAAAGUCUUGUUACAAGUAAUCAUGUGAAGUUGGUAUUCGUUCGAUAUUUUGAUGAUAUGUAUGUUGUUGCUUCCUUUAGUGGUGUCAUGUGAACUUCGACUACAUGCCACUUCACCAUUACUUGGGACYAAGGCACACASRKKAUAGGAGUAAUAAGUAGAUGNNNNNNNNNNNNNNNNNNNNNNNNNNNNNNNNNNNNNNNNNNNNNNNNNNNNNNNNNNNNNNNNNNNNNNNNNNNNNNNNNNNNNNNNNNNNNNNNNNNNAAUUAAAGUUGUUUAGGUUUAUUUAAUUUAAUUAAANAGUAGGAGGGUAGUUUAUUUNACCAACCUAAACAUGUAUUAGUUAGUUUCUAGUUUUAGAAAAAUUAAUUUAAACACAAAUUAAAAGGAGCUUGAAUUUCWAAAGGAAUUUGAAAUGAGAUAUGAUUCCAAUGUGAUCAAAUAAGGGUUUAGCAAAAGCAUUAUCUUAACCACAUGGUUUACUGUAGCUUAAUUGCAUGCAUCAAUGUAGCUGAAAUCCACGAGUGCUACAAAAAGGUAGUCUCCUCAACACUCAAUCACUCUUUCACAAAUUUGGCUUGGGUAGAAGAGAUUGAUUGGGUGGAAAGCAACUUGGGGAGGCUAGAAAACAAGAUUCAUAUGGUAGGAAUGGAAUAUCUUGAUCUAAACACAUGAGUAGGUGGCUCUUUCAGAAAAUUGGAUGGGGUAAGUGUUGGUUCGUUCUGAGUGCUUCCUCUUCAAAUGAGAGGCUGGUGGAUGGGUAUAUAUAGGCAUCUCCAAAAUUCCAAAUGUUACAACAUUAUUGCCCAACUCGGUGAAACCAAAGUAAGAAACUCGGUUGCACCGACUAGUGCAAAAUGUGGCAACUUUAGGCUUUUCGGUGACACCAAUAUAGAAAUCUCGGAGGUUCCGAUGUUGGCUGGCCUCGUCAGUUACCAGACUCGGUGGCACCAAUUUGCAAAACUCAGAAAUUCCGAUUUUAGCGAAUGGCUAUCCAGGGAGUUGGUCACUAUGUUCCGGUUAGACCGAAACCAAACUUGGUGGUACCAAGAUGUUAGGGUUUGGCAUAGAUUCUGUCUCGGGUAAAACUCGGUAGGUCCGAUUUGGAAAUAUUGCUGGCACCGAAUUUGACUUUGGGGUUUGGACAGAAUAUUUGUGGGAGAAUUUCAUGAGUAUUUUUGGUGGCUAAUCUAUAAGCUCUUGAGCAACUAGAUCAUCAUAGACACCUCAUCCCCUUUUAAUAGUAUUGGCUUUCCUAUGGAUGAAAAAGUGAUUUCUCACAAAAUGUAAAAUUUAGAGUCUUGAAGCUUGUUGCCAAUAGAUGUUCCUUGCAUCUAGGGGUUCUCCUCACAAUCCUUAGCGAGUCCAUCAUUGAUCUUUUCGUGAAAUAUACUAGAUAGAAUCAUUAGUCCAAUGACAUAUAUGUUGUUAUUAAUUACCAAAACCACCUAGGGACAAGUUGUGCUUUCACUUGCUUGGGUCCCUAGCCCGUCACUAAUACCUAUUUUGGACCCACCACUGCUAGGCAUUCCUGUAGUAGUCGGGUUGAUACCUCGUAACGCACUCCUGAUGAUAACUCUAUAGUGUAGCUAAUCGGUCAUGGAUUACAGAGGGUGAUUCCUCCUUCACCACUCCCGAUAAUGACUCUGUCAUGCAACACCUCAAGUGUGAGCCCUUGGAGGGUGAUUCCUCCAAGGUCACCUUGACGGUUACAUGGAGUGGGAUCCAAUGAGGGUUAUUCAUCAGAUUCCCGUUGAUGUUAUGGACACACGGUUACUUUGACUUUACCCCAGAACCAUGUUGAAGUCGGGUCUGCCCAAGGGGUACCCGCCAGAAAUGAGAAGUCGGGUUGACCGUGAGAGUAUCCAUGAGUGAAUUGGAGUCGGGUUGACCUGGAGGGUUCCCGCGAGAUAAUUAUGCGACAUGGUCGGGCAAUCUUAGCCCUUGUUGUAAGUCCAGGAGACGGGACCAUAGAUCGUGGAUCAUUGAUCGUCUUUGCGCGCUCCCAAGACACUAACGGUUUGGAUAUGUGAUCCGAGUAGGCCUCUCGCAUUUUUGCACUGACCACCAUGCAGGAAUAAGUAUGGGCACUCUGCGUCGUACAUUUCUUCUGAAAGCUUUUUAGCCCCACAGUUGAGCGGCACGCGCUCGGGUGGUCCGCAUAAGCACAUGCUUUGUACAAAGAGGUAGCCACGACUAAUUCUGCUCGUCCUUGCAACUGAAAGAUUGCAAAGGACGAUUGGCCCAUGACCCAUUCGCAUUUAGGAUGUAGACCGACGUGUUGGUCUUUGUGUUGAGCCUAGGUAGGACUACGAUGUGUCGAUCAGCCGAGGUCGGGCAUGAUCUGGAAAGUGUGUCCAGCCAGAGUUAAUCUGGGGUGUAGGAUAAGUUGGUGCACCCCUGCAUUGAAGUAUUUAUAUUCGAAGAGUCGUGUCCAUGGUAACAGACGCUCGGAGAGUAUCCCAAUCUACUACAACUAGAACUGGAUACUUGUGACACUAAACAGAAAUGAUGGCUUCAAGAUCGCUUUCUCGCAGGGAGUCGAGGAAGGAUCUAUGGGCACUGCUACUACAUACUUAUCACAUAUGUUAUACUAAUAUGUACUCUUCUAAUGCUGCAAGACGCUAGUCUGUGAUAGGCUAGGCCUUCCCUUCUAUUCUGGCAUUUCCGAAGUAUAGUCCAUAGAUAGAGCCCCUUCCCCUUGAAAGUGAUGCAUAUUUAGCAUAGAUGUGAUGUAAGUCUUGCGAGUACUUUGGAUGAGUACUCAUAGUUGCUUUGCUCCUUUUUUCUCCUUGAUAUGAUUGCUGUGAUCAGAUGACGGAGUCGAGGAGCUAGCUGAUCCCGUCGAUGACUACUACUACCCCGAUAGAGCCUACAACUACGUGGAGGCCGCCGACGACCAGGAGUAGACAGGAGGCUCCCAGGCAGGAGGCCUGCACCUUUUUGAUCUAGGUGUCAUUGUUUUGCUCAGCCUUCUUAAGGCAAACUUAUUUAAUUAUGUCUGUAAUCAGAUAUUGCUGCUUCCGUAGACUUAUGUAAUCGAGCCUUCGCGUUGUUUGUAAUAUAAAACUUUAUGUUUGAAUUUGUGUCUAGAGUUGUGUUGUGAUAUCUUCUCGGGAGUCUCCGAUCUUGCCCAUGCGCAUUUGCGUGUAUGAUUAGUGCACAAUUAAGAUGGGGGUGUCACACGACAUUUAGAUAUGUACAACAACGACGUCGGACCAAGAUGGUGAGCAUGAAAGAAAGGGGAAAUACACGCAGAGUGGAAGAAAGGGGGGGUCAUGAGGGGGAUUUCUAUGGGUCAAUGGUGCCGAAGUCCUACAUAACUAGUGUUUGGACACCCGCAAAGCCCUCUCGAGUUUGAAUCCAGUUUGAUGGAAAAAGGAUGAGUGGACUAGCCCGCAGAUGGAUACAUUAUCACGUUGAAUGGCAAAACACAUCCGGACAGCUCGGUCCAUACGGAUGGGGGCGGUUUAAGGGCCAACGUUGAAGAUGCCCUUAUUCUUUUUUUAGGGAGGAGGUGCCCUUAUUUGUGGGUGUAGAUAUACAUCGCUUCACACAAGUUGGAGCAACAACUCACUCACAUAAUGAAAGAAGUCCGUCUUUUCUCUUAUUUUUUUCCUUUCUUUGUUUUUGUUUUUUGUUUUAUUCUUGUUUUGAAAAAUAUUGUAAAUAUAAUUAUAUAUUUAAAAACAUAAAUAAUAAAGGUUAAUUUAUAAAAAGUUUAAUAUAUUAUAAAAACAAUGUUUACAUGUAUAUGGAAAUUAUAUUAUGAAAAUGUUCACAUGUUUCAAAAAAUGUAGUUGAAAUUCUAAAAAUGUCAAUCAUAUAUUCAAACAAAAUGUUAAACAUAUUUCAAAUAAAUGUUUCAAAGGUUUAUAAAAAAUAUUGGUAGCAUACAAAAAUAUAUUGGUGACAUUUUAAAAAUGUUUCACGUCUAAAACAUGUAAGUGGCAUUAUAAAAAAUGUUAAUCAUGUGUUUGCGAAAUGUUACACGUAUAUCAAAUAGAUGUUUUUGACGUAUAUGAAAAAUGUAUAAUGCUUAUGAAAGGAGUAAACAUCAAACAAAUGUUUGAAAGAAAUGUUUAAACAUUGUAUUUGAAAUGCAAAAUUUGUAUUGCGAACCAACCUGUGGUUGGAUGAUUAGAGUGACACUGGUAUCUUUAGCCCACGAUGUUUCAAGUCUUGGUACUCACAUUACUCCUGGAUUUAUUUCAGGAUUUCCGACAAUGCACAUUUAGUGGGAGGAGACGUUCCGUCGACGACGAGGCAUCUAUGAUGACUUCGUAAAUCUUAAGGUGAUAUCUGGCUCAGUAUCUCGAAUGUGCUCAUAAGAACAUAGUUAAUACUUAAUAGUAUAGCCAACUGCUGGCUAUAUGAUGUUGCCAUGUCACGUAUAAUCACCAUUUAUAGCCACACAUAUAAUUAUGUUAGUUAUAAGGUUGGCUAUAAGACUACUACUUUGUCCUUCUCCUUGUCUAUUUUUUUGUAUUUAUUGAAUUUGCCUAGGAGUACGCAUAUAGCUAAGCUCUCGCAUGAGGCCACUUUCAACGCAUUGGUGCUAAGAUGAGGUGCUAAGCACAUUAAAUAGUUUAGCGACUAUAGUCUGCAAUCAUAGUUGCUUAGCUUAUUGUAGCUAAACCUACUUAUUUAAUGCUUUUGCAACUAAAGUUAUACAUGCAUCGGUGCAUUUCUUUCAUUUAAUUGUUUUACCUAGGUUUACGCGUUUAGCAUUGUUUCUUUCCGAUGUCAUCACACUAAUCUCUCUCCUAUUAAUUAGUUUGCCACAUCAGAUUUUUUGUCUAUAUGACAGCCUUAGCACAUGUACAAGGUGGAGUUUUGAGAGUAGUCUAAGAGCCCACUCUUCUUAUAUUUUUCAUCUCUCUCUUCUUCACAUAGACAAAACAUCAUGUAAGCAGACUAUAAACCCACUGUUGUACUUGUUAUAAGGGUAGAAUUUAUAUGUAUACGUUUAUAGGGAUGAAUGUAUACACGUAAAUAUGAACGUUUGCGACUGUACUAUAGUAAAAAAAAUUAUACCUGCAUAAAGAAGUUAACCAUGUAUAAAAAAUGUUAACAGUGUACACAAAAAUAUAGACAUAAAAUAAUCWAUUUUACAAUGAUGAUUGUGUAUUUUCAAGAUGUUUAACAUGCAUAAAAAUAUAUUUUAAAUGUAGAAAUAGUAAAWWCUACACAGAAAGUCGAGGAAAAAGAAUACGAACAAACACAUAAGAAAACCAAAAAAGGUACAAUCGUAAGGUUACGAAGAAAAACUAGAUGAAACCCAAUAAAAGAAAACCAACAAUAAAAAGAAAAGAAAGACUAACAAGUAANNNNNNNNNNNNNNNNNNNNNNNNNNNNNNNNNNNNNNNNNNNNNNNNNNNNNNNNNNNNNNNNNNNNNNNNNNNNNNNNNNNNNNNNNNNNNNNNNNNNUGACUUUAUCUGUCACUCCUAUUGUCUGCUCCCGCCGAGUGGGGCUACGUCCUAUGAAGAUUAAACCUGCUUUACUGAACCUUGUUAUGAAAGAUCAAUUCUCCGGUGCUGGAGAUGCUGCUCCUUUGCACUUGAACAAUUUUGUUGAGCUUUGUGAUAUGCAAAAAUAUAAAGAAGUAGAUGGUGAUAUUGUUAAACUUAAGCUUUUUUCCUUUCUCCUUGAGAGGAGGAGCUAAAGUGUGGCUUUAAUCUUUGCCUAGGAAUAGCAUAGAUUCUUGGGAUAAGUGCAAAGAUCCUUGUAGGUUUCAGAAAAAAAUUGAAAGGUGAUUUUCCCCCAUCGUGUUGUUACGCUUUUUAGAGAGUUUCUAGACACUCACCACCAUAGCGAUUUUUGUCGCAAUUUUUGGUCGUUGCAGCCCCGAAUUGCUCUAAAAAAACUAGUCAAUUUUUUCCGUGUCUAUCCUAUUUUUAGUCCUUUGGAAGAGUUUUGAGACACUAGCCAUUAUAGUGAUUUUCUGGAGGAAAAAAUACAAAAAAAGCAAAAAAAUAGAAAAUAAAACCAGAGUAGCUCUUCCCUUGAUUACGUGUAGCGUCAUGAUUUUGUUGGUGUUCUAGGCUCGCGUCUCUAGUACGAUCUAGCCUAGGACCAACACGGUACCGUCGUUGAGCGUCUUUUCAACUUUGCAUCUCUGAACUGAUUAUUGCUGACCUUUUUUGCUACUAUAUUAUAAGCCUUCCCACCUCCACAUACAUCUACAUCAUGUGUUUGACACCACCUCGCAAUCGCUCUAUCCAAGCUUUGAGAGUUUUGACUACACUAGUUGCCGAUCACCACCUGCUGCUGGGUAAGAACUGGUAAGAAUUUGAGAUUUUCUUGAUGGAUUUCCUGAUAUAUAUAUAUAUAUAUCUUACUUGGGAGUUGAAACAGAGAAACGUUUUACAUGCUUACAAUUUCCUGAGGAUAAUGUCUUGCUGCUGCUGUUUGUUCAUUCACUAGUUUUGCUUGUGUUUGGUGGUCUGAAUAUUGUAGAAUACAUCAUGCUAAUAUUCCAACUACUUGGGCUGCUUUGAAAACUGCUAUGCGUACUUGUUGGGUUCCACCAUAUUAUCAAUGUGAAUUACUUCAAAAAUUGCAGCGUUUACGACAAGGAAAAAAUUCUAUAGAACAAUAUUAUGAGGAAUUACAAACUGGCAUGAUUAGAUGUGGUAUUGUUGAGGACAAUGAAGCUAUGCUUGCAUGUUUUAUGGGUGGAUUGAAUUGAGAUAUUCAGACUAUUCUAGAAUAUAAGGAUUAUAACACUAUCACUCGUUUAUUCCAUCUUGCUUGCAAAGCUGAACGUGAAGUGCAGGAUCGUCAGGCAUUGGCGAGAACUAACUUUUCCGCAGGUCGCACUUCCUCAUGGACGCCACAGACCUCAUCUACUUCCGCACGUCCUCCCGCAUCAGCAUCGCCUACUUCAACCACCAACUCCAACGGAGAUACCAGGAAACAGGCCCCUGCCCCACCCCCCGCCAAGAGCACACCUUUCGGGCUAGCACAUAUCUCUUCUUCAUCCAUGGCAUCCACAGGGAAAACACAUGAGGUUAUCUCUCGUUGUUGCAAGGGUGGAGGUCAUUAUGCGAGAGAGUGCCCAUCCAAGCGUGUGAUGAUUGUUACUGAGGAUGGUGGAUAUGACUCCGCUAGUGAUUAUGACAAGGAGACUCUGGCUCUUAUUGCAAGUGAAGAACAGGGUGUAGAUGAUACUGAACAAGAGACACACUACAUGGUACUGACUACGCUGACAUUUAUGAAAGCUUAGUUGCUCAACAUGUUUUAAGUAUGCAGGUAACAUAGGCUGAGGAAAAUUAGAGGCACAUCUUGUUCAAUACAAAGGGAGUUGUGAAUGAACGUUCUGUUCGCGUAAUCAUCGAUGGAGAGAGUUGUAACAACUUAGCUAGCAUGGAGUUCGUGGAGAAGCUGUCUCUCACCACCAGACCACAUCCUCAUCCUUAUUACAUCUAGUGGUUCAACAACAGUGGCAAGGUUAAGGUUACACGUACUGUUCAUGUGCAUUUUAGCAUUGCUACAUAUUCUGAUUUUGUUGAUUGUGAUGUGGUACCCAUGCAAUCAUGCUCCCUUUUACUUGGUAGACCAUGACAAUUUGAUUAAAAAAAGUGUACACCAUGGUAGGACAAAUUAGUAUACUCUUGUUUAUAAGGAUCAAAAUAUAACUUUGCUUCCUAUGUCUACUCAACAUAUUAUGAAAGAUGACAUUGUUAGAGAUAGUAAAGCAAAAUAGGACCUACAUAAGAGUGAAAAUCAGAUUGUAGCAAAGGAAAUUGAGAAACACCAUAAUCCUAAUAAACCAUCAUCUAGUGUUGCAUUUGAAAUAAAACUAAAGAGUGGUUGUUUACUUGCCACUAAAUCUGACAUUACCGAUUUGGAUGUUACUACUGUUGGGUAACGUAGUAAUAAUUCAAAAAAAUAACUACGUGUCACCAAGAUCAAUCUAGGAGAUGCUAGCAACGAGAGAGGGAGAUCAUCUUCAUACGGUUGAAGAUCGCUAAGCGGAAGCGUUACUAUGAAUGCGGUCGAUGGAGUCGUACUCACGGCGAUCCGAUCCAAGCACCGAACGAACGAUGCCUCCACGUUCAACACACGUGGGACGUCUCCUCCUUCUUGAUCCCGCAAGGGGGAAGGAGAAGUUGAGGGAGAGCUCUGGCAGCAUGAUGGCGUGGUAGUGGUGGAGCUUGUGGUUCUCCGGCAGGGCUUCGCCAAGCGCCGCGGAGGAGGAGAAGUGGAGAGGUAGGGCUGCGCCAAGGGGAGAGGUUCAGGGGUGUGCGCAACCCUCUCAACCCUCCUCUAUUUAUAGGAGGAAGGGGAGAGGGGGCCGGCCACCCUAGGAAAACCUAGGAGGGGGCGGCGACAGUCCUAGGGGUGGCUUGCCUCCCAAGUUGGAGGGAGGCAGCCCCACGCCCUAGGGUUUUUGCCCUAUGCUCCUUGGGCCUCUGGUGGCUCGCACCAGCCCACCAGGGAGCUGGUUCCCUCCCACUUUCAGACCAUGUGGCCCUUCAGGACAGGUGUACCCUCCCGGUGGACACCCGGUACCCUUUUGGUGGUCCCGGUACAGUACCGAUAAACCCCGAAACCUUUCCGAUGACCGAAACUGGACUUCCCAUAUAUAAAUCUACACCUCCGGACUAUUGCGGAACUCCUCAUGAUGUCCGAGAUAUCAUCCGGGACUCCGAACAACUUUCAGUAACCACAUAUACAAUUCCCAUUAUAACUCUAGCGUCACCGAACCUUAAGUGUAUAGAGCCUACGGGUUCGGGAACCAUGCAGACAUGACCGAGACACCUCUUCGGCCAAUAACCAGUAGCGGGAUAUGGAUACCCAUAUUGGCUCCCACAUAUUCCAUGAUGAUAUCAUCGGAUGAACCAUGAUUUCAAGGAUUCACUCAAUCCCGUAUGCAAUUCCCUUUGUCUCUCGGUAUGAUACUUGCCCAAGAUUCGAUCGUCAAUUAUCCCUAUACCUUGUUCAAUCUCGUUACCGGCAAGUCUCUUUACUCGUUCCGUAACACAUGAUCCCGUGGCUAACUCCUUAGUCACAUUGAUCUCAUUAUGAUGAUGUAUUACUGAGUGGGCCCAGAGAUACCUCUACGUCACACGGAGUGACAAAAAAUACCCAGUCUCGAUUCGUACCAACCCAAGAGACACUUUCGGAGAUACCUGUAGUGCACCUUUAUAAUCACCUAGUUAUGUUGUGACAUUUGACACACCCAAAGCAUUCCUACGGUAUCCGUGAGUUGCACAAUCUCAUGGUCUAAUGAAAUGAUACUGGACAUUAGAAAAGCUCUAGCAGACGAACUACACGAUCUUGUGCUAUGCUUAGGAUUGGGUCUUGUCCAUCACAUCAUUAUCCUAAUGAUGCGAUCCCAUUAUGAAAGACAUCCAAUGUCCAUGGCCAGGAAACCAUGACCAUCUAUUGAUCAACGAGCUAGUCAACUAGAGGCUCACUAGGGACAUGUUGUGGUCUAUGUAUUCACACAUGUAUUACGGUUUCCGGUUAAUACAAUUAUAGCAUGAAUAAUAGACAAUUAUCAUGAACAAGGAAAUAUAAUAAUAACCAUUUUAUUAUUGCCUCUAGGGCAUAUUUCCAACAGUCUCCCACUUGCACUAGAGUCAAUAAUCUAGUUACAUUGUGAUGAUUUGAACACCCAUAAAGUUCUGGUGCUGAUCAUGUUUCGCUCGUGGAAGAGGUUUAGUCAACACAUGUGCGACAUUUAGAUCUGUAUGUACUUUACAAAUAUCUAUGUAUCCAUCCUGAAUGUAUCCACGAAUGGAGCUGAAGCGACUCUUGAUGUGCUUGGUCUUCUUGUGAAACCUGGGGUCCUUGGCAAUGGCAAUAGCUCUAGUGUUUUCACAGAAGAGAGUCAUCGGGCCCGACGCACUGGGAAUCACUCCUAGGUCAGUGAUGAACUCCUUCAUCCAGACUCCUUCCUGUGCUGCUUCCGAAGCAGUUAUGUACUCCGCUUCACAUGUAGAAGCCGCAAUGACGCUUUGCUUGCAACUUCACCGGCUGAGUGCCCCACCAUUCAAAAUAUACACGUAUCCGGUUUGUGACUUGGAGUCAUCCGGGUCCGUAUCGAAGCUAGCAUCGAUGUUACCCUUUACGACGAGCUCUUCGGCACCUCAUAAACGAGAAAAUAUCUUUAGUCCUUUUCAGGUACUUAAGGAUAUUCUUAACCGCUGUCCAGUGAUCCACUCCGGGAUCAGUUUGGUACCUCCCUACCAAACUUAUGGCAAGGUUCACAUCAGGUCUGGUACACAACAUGGCAUACAUAAUAUAUCCUAUGGCUGAAGCAUAGGGGCGAUACUCAUAUUUUUUCUAUCUUCUGCCGUGGUCGGGCGUUGAGCUGUGCUCAAUCUCACACCUUGCAAUACAGGCAAGAACCCCUUCUUGGACUUACCCAUAUUGAACUUCUUCAAUAUCUUGUCAAGGUAUGUGCUUUGUGAAAGACCAAUGAGGCGUCUCGAUCUAUCUCUAUAGAUCUUGAUGCCUAAUAUGUAAGCACCUUCUCCAAGGUCCUUCAUUGAAAAACACUUAUUCAAAUAUGCCUUUAUGUUUUCCAAAAGUUCUAUAUCAUUUACCAUCAACAAUAUGUCAUCCACAUAUUGUCACGACUGGUUUCCACAUAAAAUAAUUGGAAAUCAGCCAUGUGCGUCUCCAGUGUAGAAAAUUAUUUCCCACUGAUAGACUCAUCUUGAUAGAGAAAACCAGUAGUACUUAAUAUUAAACAGGUAGAGCAGAGGUUGCUCUACAAUUUAUUACAACAUGUCCAAGUCUCACACAAAUGGAUAUGUUACAGUGGUAAUAGGAUACUCUACUGCUCGCAAUAAAAGCGGCACGUCACAUCAGAGUAAUGUGAUAUGACAAGUACUACUAUGCGCCAAGCAUCAGAGUGAGGCUUGAUGGUUUAUUCGCGGUGGCGGAAGCGGUGAAAUAAUAUAGCGGCACACUCCAGGACCGCAAGACUGUCUAGGACUCCUCUAGACAUCGGACUCGCUAUCAAACUCUUCAUCCAUGAGGUCUCCUUCAUCCAUAUCUGGCCACAUCAACAAGCCAGUGAGUACUUCGAAAAGUACUCGCAAACAGUUUGCACAAAAGAUGAGAUGCAUGCAGUCAGUUAUUAAUAUGCAUGGUUCAGAUCAUAAUUUAUCAAAAUGAAUGUGUUAGAAAUAAAUUAAGAUAGUGGAUAAAUCGUGCGGUAAUCCUCCCGAGAUAUCCUAAUAGAAAGGUAAAAUGCACCGAUCAGGUGUCUAGAGCGACGCCUCGAAAGGUUAACAAGGGUUAGUAAACCACCGUCGGGCGUCUGAGUGACACCACAUACAGGGCAUAAAAUAAAUAGCAAGCCACAAACGGGCGUCUUAGUGACACCACAGAAAGGGCAUAAAAAUAAAUAGCCACCGCAGUCGGGCAUCUUAGCGACACCGCAGAAAGGGCAUAUAAAUAAAUAACAAGUCACAGUCGGGCGUCUUAGCGACACCACAGAAAGGGCAUAAAAAUAAAUAACAGCCGCAAUCGGGCAUCUUAGCGACACUACAGAAAUGGCAUAUAAAUAAAUAACAAGGCACACAGGGGAUAGGAUAGCGACACCACAGAAAGGGCAUAUAAAUAAAUAAGAAGUAUCCGGGUGGUACAACCAACCUUCAAGAUAAUUACUUGAACCAAGGAGAUAAUCUUAAAAUAUUCCACAUUAUUGUUAGAUAUCCAUAACUAUUAUUGUUCCACCACUCGUACUCCAAGGACGACUCUAAGACCGACACUUGACUUGUCAAAUGACCGCCCUUAACCAUGGACACGACUACUCGAAUAUUUUUAGCUCUGCAGAGGGUGUACCCUUUACCCAUAGCUCACGGGUUCCGAUAGUCAAUACGACUAAUCCCUUGCACGGUAUUUUAGAAGCAUACACUCAGAACCAGCACACACCCACUUUACCCCCGCGAAGCCUGACUUCACCCGGACUGCGCUGUUAGGGCAAAACCAUAAGACGGGAAGGCUCCGACCUCGACUAGCAUGGGAUCAAAUUUAUACCGCGCGCUACAAGGGAGUGCCCCCCCCUCUCGGUCCCAGACCGGAAACACCCAUGCCCCUGACCGGAUGACUAGAUUUAGUCCAGGGCCAUGUAUACCUUCAUCACGGCCCCUCUACUUGGUGUGUGACUAAUAAUAGGCCUACGACCGACUAUACCGAACCCUUAUUCAGGAAACUGCGGUAGCACGAUAAAGAAAGUAAGACACGGACAAGACUCGAUCUAGGUCGAUACUGGAGUUAUCUAUUUCUUACCAAUACCAUUAUGCACUUGUCAUGACCAUGCCAUAACCUAUAAUGUUCCGCGUGACUAGGUUAUCCACGACCUCUCAUAACCAUCAUUUGCCAUAGUCAGGUUUUUAACAUUAUUUAUAAGAUAUGCAACAUGCUUCAAUAAUGCAAAUGGAUGAAUAUUAAAUUCUUGUUAGUGAGCAAAUGACACAUCAAAAGUUCAAACAUGCUUGCCUGGUUCCACGUAGUCGGGACCAAUCUUGGUGAAGUUAACGUCGGUGUUUCCUUCCUCGGAAUCUACAUUAUAUAACAUGUAACAUCGUACGAGUUGAGGCCUAGCUACUAGAUCCAAUUAAUUUUUAAAUAAAUCCGAAAAUAAACUAGACCCUACGUAGAAAGAUUUUGMMAAAAGAAUCAAUGAAAAAGUUUUGUAGAUAAAAAGUUAUAAGCAAAAUAAAACUAGGGGCUAUUUUGUAAUUAAACAUAAUUAGAAUAGGGGCUAGUGUGAGAAACUUAGAGCGCUCGAAUUAGAAAUACGCCAACCCGCAGUGAAGGCGGCUUCUAGCAAAGGCGCUUUCGCUGAAAACGAUUCAGAGAGAGAGCUGACACUGACGAGGGGGUCCCCCGUGUAAGGUUUGAAUCUUCACUGGCGCAACAGGCUUGCGAUGGUCGCCAGCGGAGAUAGAAGAAAGGAGAGGGAUGGCUGAGGAUGUCGACGCACUCACCAAGGACCCGCACGUUGAUGAGAGGAAGAUUUGGGCGGAAGGAGAGGGCUUCACGUAGACGKKGACCUUGCUCCGGUGGACGACAGCGUUCGGGCRAUYACSGGRSUACACAGAGGAGCGUCACCUGACGACCAAAUUCGACGUAUGGGCUUAUGAGGAGGAGNNNNNNNNNNNNNNNNNNNNNNNNNNNNNNNNNNNNNNNNNNNNNNNNNNNNNNNNNNNNNNNNNNNNNNNNNNNNNNNNNNNNNNNNNNNNNNNNNNNNCGUAAGACAAACUACUAACCGGAACCAAUUUAAAACCYUUACCUAAAAACCUAAUUUUAACCCGUACACCUUAACUACUAAAACCAAAACUUACCCGUCCAUUACCUGGUCGCAACAGAUAAGAAUGUAGGGGAGUUCGCUACAUGUCACAUGUCCCACUACUCCCGAAGCGUCAGGGGCAGUCCAGUCCACAAAAUUCAGAUGUCCCUCUCAUUAUAAAUACAUGAGGCAUGUUGUAUUUAUUACCUUCCUUCCCAUCGCCACCUCUUGAGCUCCCCAACCCUAGCGCUGCCACAAGAUUUCAUUGCCGCUGGAGACGACGCGCUUGGCUGUCGCAACCUCUCCGACGACGUACUCAUGUCGGCCACAUACAUCUCCCCUCGCCGCCGUCGUAGCUGUUUGUCACCACCGAGUUAGGGUGUGGCAGAUCGAGCAGUUCGGCCUCCUCGCCUCGUCAAACUAUUCUUCGAGUUCUUCACCGCGGUAAUUAAAGCUCUAUUAUUUACUGCUUCUCGAUUUGAAAAGUUACCAAAAAUCUUUGAAAGCUGUUUUUUUCUAACAACAACACUCAAAUCUUGAACUCCCAAUGCCUUCACUUUUUGUUGGUCCAUAUAUUGGUUUGAUUUCUCACUUGUAUGAAUACUCGGACUUGUACAAAUCUAAAACCACCAUAACCUUUACAAAAGUGAAUGUCUUCGGUGAACGAGGUUAAUGUCUUCAAACCAUGAUUUAUCUUCAAAAAAACUUUUGGGAAUGCAUAUGACCUCCUCUAUUCCCUCGCGUCUCCAAUUCUCUCACAGGUACAUGUGUGAAGCAGAAUCGCUAGGAUCUCAUAGUCUGAAUUCAUUUGCAGACUACUUGUAGAUUCACCUGGACUCUUCUGAAGCCUACUCCUGUUUUCUCUCUCCUGUGAAGCUUUUGUCGAAGACAAUGGCAAGAGAUGGCACUCCAAAGAAGGGGGGGUAAACGAAGACGUCUGAACACAGCAAAGGAUUUACCUCCAGAUCUGUAUGAACGCUACAAAUCUAAUCCAGAAGAAUCAUACACUCAACACAAGAAUCUAACCUAAUGGAUUCGAAGAUAUUGGGCUGUGGAGUGGUUCUAUUAUCGUUUUUUGACUGAUGCAUAUGCUAAGAAGCACUCUGAGAAGGCCCCAUGGACAGACAUUGUCUACAAGAAUCUUAUUAUGAAGACAAAGGCUGAAGCAAUUGGUCAUGGAUUUUCCCGUGCAUGUUCCGGCCACCCAUACCAUAAAAUGCAGAUCCAACAAGCAUGCUAGGCUUCACCCCUCGGGAUGAUGGUGAUGAUGAUAAUGAAAAAGAUGUUGCUAACGGUGCUGAAGAAAAUCUUCCCCCGCCACAAACCCAAAGCCUAAGCAUAUGUCAAAGGCUUCAAGGCCCUCAAAGGCUUCAAAGCCUAAGGUUUCAAAGGCUUCCAAAUCUGCGGCAGCAUCUCAGGCUUCAUGGUCAUCUGAUUGAGAAGAAGCUGAGGAUGAAUCUCGCAUGCAUAAGCGUAUGAAGAGAAAAGCGACUGCUGCUCGUGGCCAAAGGCAUCCCUUUCGUUGGUGGAUGCCGCCAACAUGAUUAAGCUCUCUGAUGAUGAGUUCGACGAUGAAUCUCUGGCGAAGCUUAUCCAACAGAAAUAGGAAGAGGCCAAGUGUCUCGAAGACUUACCUCUCUUUGAUGCAAACAUCAUAUGCGAGUUCAUAGAUGAGUGGUUUGCUGAUCUCACUCUCACUGUCGACUCUCUCGAGCUCCCAAUUGGCAUGAGUGUCACCUUCCAAGGGCUAGUAAAUGAAGAGUUAACUGUUGCUCAAAAGGCAGUACAACAGCGUGAAAAGAUUCACCAUGAAAAGACACUUCUCAAGGAAAACAUCUACAAGUUUUACGCCAAUCAGAUACAUGUCUAUCAAAUCAUGAUGAAAGAUCUCAAGGAUGAGUUUGAAAAGAGAUGUGAUGCUGUCAAAGGCGCCUUAAUGUGUCUCGAGAAAAAGAUUGAACAGAUGGUCCAAUCACACAAUGCAAUGCUAAAGAGGAAAGCACUUGGCCAGCCUACCCUUGAUCCAAAAAUUAUUGAACACUCCAAGAAAGCUUCAAAGUCUUUGGAUCAACAAAUUUCUCCUCAACCUGCAUCAAGAGGCAUUUAGUUUCCCACUGGUUUCUCAGGCCCUCGGAACCCACAACCUUCAACUGCUACAUCAAGCAAGAUAACCAAGCAAGAUGAAGUCGAAGCCAAGAAACAAAAGAGGUCUCAUCCCACUGAAGCCCAACCCUCUCCACCUGUGACACCCUUGAUUUGAUCGUACGCUAAUCAUACACGCAAAUGCGUAUGACCAAGCUCAAGGACUCACGGGAAGAUAUCACAACACAACUCUAGACACAAAUAAAACAUACAAGCUUCAUAUUACAAGCCAGGGGCCUCGAGGGCUAGAAUACAGAAGCUCGAUAAACACACGAGUUAGCGUAAGCAACAAAUAUCUGAGUCCACACAUGAAAUAUGACGAUGCCUUAGAGAAGGCUAGCACAAAAGAGAUAACGAUCGAACGAGGCGUGGCCUCCUGCCUGGGAACCUCCUAAGCUACUCCUGGUCAUCAGCGGCCUCCCCGUAGUAGCAGACACCGUCGGGGGAGCAGUCGUUGUCGGCGGGAUAUGCCAUCUCCUGGGCUCCAUCAUCUGGUCGGAGUAACGUACCAAGGGGAAAAGGGGAGCAAAGAAACGGUGAGUACUCAUUCAAAGUACUCGCAAGACUGACAUUAGAACUAUGCUAAGUUAUGCAUCGGUAUCAAAGGAAGGGGUCAUAUGUGGACUCACUGCAGCAAUACGAGAAUAGAGAGAGAGGGACUAGUCCUAUCAAAGACUAGCAUCUUCAGGGGUCUUGCAGCAAUAGACGAGAGUAGAGCAAGUAACACAGAUAUAUAGUCAUACUGUUGCAGUAAUAUUAAUUAUAGUCACGCCCGGAGAUCCUCCCUCGACUCCCUGUGAGGAAGCAAUCCUUUAGCAAACAUUCCAGUUAAGUAACAGUUGUAGUUGUAUAAGAUCAGGGUGCAACUCCAAAUCGUCCUGUAACUAUGGACACGGCUAUUCGAAUAGUUAAUUUUCUUCCCUGCAGGGGUGCACCAAGUUUCCCGCCACAAUUGAUAAACUCUGGUCGGACACACUUUCCUGGGUCAUGCCUGGCCUCGGCACAUCAACACGUCGCAACCCCACCUAAGCUCAACAGAGAGGCCAGCCUGCUGGUCUAAAUCCUAAGCGCGCAGGGGUCAUGGGCCCAUCACCCUUUGCGCUCCUGCACAAUGCAAGGGCGGGCGAUGUCAAUCUUGUCACUUCUUAUACACGAACGAUGAUUAUCCAUGCCACUCGGGCGCGCGCCGCUCCAUUGCUGAGGUCUGAAGAGCUUCGGCUGAUACCACGAUGUCGAGAACCCAUAACUCCUCACAUGUAGACGGUUAGUGCACAAAAGGUCUCCAACCAACCCAGAUCAAAUACCCAAAUCCUUAGCAUUUUAAUUAUUCAUCGACACAUCCACGCGGGUAUCCACCCGCCAAACAUCAUUCAUCAAUGUUCCCAGUAGCACGGUCAAGUAACUGUGUGGUUGUAACAUUAGAGGGAUCGGAGGUAUCACCCUCUACGGAUUCCGAAUGAUGUAACUGUCAAGGUGGGCAGGAAGGAAUCACCCAGGCUGGGCCAGGUUGAUGGGUUGUACGACAGAGUCGUUAUCAGAGGUGGUGAACGAGGAAUCACCCUCUCAGAACCACCGCCGGUUAAUUACACUACAGAGCUAACAUCAGGAGUACGUAUCGAGGUGUCAUCCUCGGUACUCGAUAGUAGCCUUACAGCGUCGUACAACUAAGGGAGGGUGUAAGUGUUGUGUCGGGUCUUGGCUCGUCGAUUAGUUGAUCGAGACUUGACGAUAAAGCGAGGGCAACUGGUCUAAGGGGUCAAAGGGGAUGAUUGUGCCACCUAUACUAAGCAGUUUAAAGUGCGGUAUUGGAAAGUAGCACUUCAUAAAAAACAGGCUAUGCAUCAGCUAUAGGAGCUAACUACAACAGUAGCAAAAUUCUAAUGCAAGCACGAGGGAGAAAGAAAUAUGCGAUAUAGGAAUGAUCAAGAGGGUUUGCUUGCCUGGGUACUCUGCAGACAAAACGGAUCCUCGACCGGGAAGUAGUCAAUCACCGGAUCAUCAUCGGUCUCGGGGUCUACCAGAAAGGAAGUAACGUAGGGGAAACACGAUAAAUAACAGAGCAAUCAAAUGCAUCACAAAGAAUGGCAUGGCUAAAGGCAGAGCUAGGCAUGAGCUAACGUGGUACUAUACGUCAUCGACGGAUCGGAAUAAUAUCCGACGAUAUUUUCCGGGUCUCUGUCUAUUACUUAUCAGGCGAAAUGGAUGGAAAAGUUCCAUGUUCGCUAUGCUAGGUACACGUGAUAGACGAACGGAUAGCGUAUCCGGGUUCGUCUCGUUUUUGUGAUCAACUUUCAUGUAUAAAUUAUUUUCAUCCGAAUUAUUAUAUUAAUUUUUAAUGUUUUAAUAAUUAUUUUAUAAAUAAACAGAUUUAACUUUGUUUUAAUAUUUUAAAUGUGACAACAGCAUGAUGGCAUGCUGUCAUCAGUAAUCAAUAGUGGGGUUGAGUGGUCAAUUUGACCAAUGGGCUCCACCUGUCAUAGUCACACUUCAAAUCUAGGCUUAACUAAUUAAUAAACAGGUUUGAUUAGGUGUAUGGGAUCCACAUGUCCUACCCUCUAUUAAAUUAACAGAAUUAAUUAAUUAGAUUAGGUUUAAUUAAUCCAAUUAAUUGCUCUAAUUAAUUUGAUAGGUUAAUUAGAGGUUAAUUAGGCUACUUAAUUAGCUUAUUAAUUAAUUACCUAAUUAAUUAACUUGGUUAAAUAAAUUUAUUAAUUUGUUAUAUUUUUAUUUACACAUUUAAUUUAUUUAUUUUCCUUUUUUAGUACACGUUUUAGGGGGAGGCCCCACAUGUCAUCUAGUGGGAAAUUGCUAACAAAGGGGGGGUUAAUUCGCCUGACCAAAUUGGGGUUGGGGGCGACGCGGUUGUGACCAAUGGGGAGAGGCCGAGCGGGGUUGGCGCCGGCGACAUGUGAGGCGCAGGAGCAUGCAGCGAGGUUGGCCGUGGAGUAGCAUCAGCAGGCGCGCGGCCAAGGCGUGGCUCACGCAGGCACGCGCGCGCGUGGCGCGUGGCAGAGGUGGGGGGCGCGACGGCAUGCGGGCGUAGGACGUGCAAUAGCUGCAGAGUAGUGAAGGUAACAUUGGACUGGCGAUGCGGCUAGUGGCAGCAGGCGGCUCGGCGUCGCGGUGGGCGGAGCUCCACGGCGAGAGCUCGCCAAAUCGGGAGGGGACACCGAAGCGACGCGGCGCCGAGUGAGGGCCGGUGCGGCCGGGCUGGUAAGGGUGCGCACGGGAGGGGAAAGGGGAAGCGGGGUGGCGCUCACAGGGGGGCGGCGAGGUAGCACCGGUGUGGUAGGGCGUCGGGGACGGCGAGCGGUGGGGCAGGGUCAGGACGGCGAGGGAGCAACGCCGGAGCAGCGUGGGGCUUGGGUUGAAGGAGGGGAGGGUGCAGGAGAGAGCGCCGGUSGCGGGGGUGGGGGCUGGGGGASGACCGGUGAGGGAGCGGUCGKYCGGGGCCGGCSACCCGGSCCGGCCGCCCSGGUGACGGUSGUCCGGGGUCGGGGUCGGCYYCCCCGUAUCCCGAGACUCGAAGGAGGGAGGGGGAGAGUNNNNNNNNNNNNNNNNNNNNNNNNNNNNNNNNNNNNNNNNNNNNNNNNNNNNNNNNNNNNNNNNNNNNNNNNNNNNNNNNNNNNNNNNNNNNNNNNNNNNGUUCAACCUCGAACCCGAAACCCUUAYCGCCACCGACGCACCUCCGUCGCCGGCGACCCAGACCACCUCCGGUCGACGUCCCGACCACGAGCAGGUAGGCGGAGGCACGAGGAACCCGUUCCCGUUCCUAGCUAGGCCUGAGGACAACGGCAUCCUCGCCGGUGUCCAUCUCCACCUCUCUGGCCAGAGGUAGGAGAAGGACCCGACAGGUGGAGCCCACCUGUCGGUGUCCUGGGGCAGCCAGCGCGCGCAGCCGCUGACGCUGACCCCAGGGGCCCGCAGGUCAGGUUUGAACCUGGCCCACGCGCGCCUGGUGGCCAGGCCUGCUGGCUGGGCCGGCUCGAUCUGUUUCCCUGGCCUUUUUCUUUUGUUUUAAUCCAGCAAACUAAAUGAUUUUUAUAAAAAGAUUUAGCCAGUAGAAAAAUAUAAUUCUUCCACCAGUAUUUUUCUAAAAAUGAGUAGUAUUUGAUUCUGUAAUAGUUGACAUUUAUCAAUAACAGAAACUAUUUUGGUAUAAUAAAAUGAUAUUAAAAAGCACUUGUUUGCUUCUGUUUGCUUUUAAAUAAAUAUGCUUAGCUAAUAAAACAGUAGGGAACAUUUUUCAAAAUAAUAACAUGGAUUUCUUCAAGCCUUGCAACAUUUUUAAAAGCACUUUGUGAACUGUUUUAGUUGAAGCUAGUAUUUAUUUAUUCCUUUCUCGACGGUAGAAUUACCGAGUGACGGAGGAUCCGGAGCGGAAGACCUCGAAGACCCCGGAUACCUAGCUGACCAAGGCAAGCAUGCCCUUUGCCAUGACCUAAGUAAAUAAAAUGAUGCAUGCUAGAAUAGCAAGUAUUUUCCAUUGCAUGUAAUCACGAUGUCGGUUCAUCAUUGAUGUGAUGGUACCGAAGGCUUCUUCGAAGCCCUUGCAUUAUAGUAGUGAUUUCACAUGGCUCCUCGGAGCACAAACAUGAUGAGCUUGAUCCUACCAUCUACGAGGAUCAUGUUACUGUCAUGUUGGCUAGUAGAGUAGAAUCACUGCAUUGAGCUUGACCCCGUGAGGGUCAUGAUACUAUCAUGUUGACAAGUAAUGUUAAGGCACAUCAAGUUGACAAGUAAUAAUAGAGCAUUUUAUCAUGAGCAUGACGAUGAGUUAAAUAAAGAGUUUAUGAAAACCCCGUCGGGUGCCACUAAUGCCCGAAGGUGAUGAUGAGUUGGUGAUCACUUUUGGUGAAGUAAUGCACCGAUGAUUUUGUUGUGAGUAUGGUUUCGGAAAUGGAUUAGAUUUAUGAUGUGUUGACCAUCCCAACCUUACCCAGUACGACCACGAUACCCCUUUAUGGGACAGGGCUUUGUUGAUUACUCUGGUCGGUGCUAGCAAAGAGCCACAUUACUAGUGGCGGGAGUGAUCGGUGUCACUCUCGUGAUGGGGUCGUGCCAGGUAGGACGACUAUGCCAUUAUUAUGAGUUCAAGGCACACAGGGGAUAGGUGCAUGGUUGAUACAGUCCAGAGUCGGUGCUCGUAAGACGUACAACAUGUGGGCUGGGUACCAAUCAAGUGGAUCUCUUUGUCUAGUAUCGUCAGGGGAAAUAUGAUGAUCGGAUACUUACCUCGGGUAUAUGUGAUAUACCGCGAAUCAUGGAUGAAACGGAAGUAUUCCGUUUCUCGUGGGUCCAGCGUACUACCUCUGUAGAGUGUAAACUAUUCGAAUAGCUGUGUCCAUGGUCAAGGAUAGUUGGGUGGUGCUGCUUAAACUACGUCCUGAGUUUCCGCAUAAACCAAGUGUGUGUGUGUGGUAGUUAAAAGKUGUUGUUAUAAUCAUGAUAAUCACAAUAAUAUGAUCAAGUUCGGUGACUUGACAUAUAGGGUAAACCCGGAUGGUUUAGCCCUCAUUAAUACCUUGAGAUUAUGACAAGUCCGAUGACUUGGCAUAUAGGGUGAACCCGGUGUGUUCAACCCUUAGCAGAGAUGAUGAUAUCUGUAACCUGUUCUUCAAAAGUAAUUCUUUAACCUGAUGCAUAUACAUGAUCAUACCACCUCAUCGCAUUCCACUAAAGAUGCAUGUUACCGCCCCUUCAUUACCAUUUAUGUCAUGGGCUGUUUGCGAGUACAUUCAAAGUACUCAUUGGCUUGCCACUGGUUAUGUUAUUGACCAGACAUGGAAGGACCGGAGUUUGGCGAUGAGUACGCCGUCGGAGACGGACCUGUGAUCUAGGACGCUUCCGAGUCAGAAUGCCUGUCGGUGUAGGCUUGAUGGUAUGGGCACCGCUUAGCCCUUACGAGUUUCCGCUACUCGAUGUAUCCCUUUAUUUGGCUUUAGGCCCUGCUCUUGAACCCGACCUUCUGGUCAUUUGAUGUAAUAAUUUGGUACUUGGAUGUAAGACUCUAUCAUUCAGUAUGUGUGUUCAGUGAACAUUGAUCCUUGGGGUUACUGGGCACGACGAACUCGACUUGCUAGUCGGGGUCCCCACAUGAUAUGGAUCAUCAUCCGCUUGCUAAUCUUUUCAAGAGUUCCAAUUAUGAUGAACCAAUUGCUAGUGAGUUGAGUGUACUUGCUUAUCUCUAUGAAGUUUUGCUUGAUAUUAGUGAAUCGGAAAAUUGUGAUGAAGUGAUACACGAUGUUUCCCUGAAUAAAAAGCAUGAUUGCAAUGAUAUUGUUAUAAAUUCAAUUAAUAUCAAUUUUGCUAAUGAUAUGCAAACCCACAAGCUUGGGGAUGCUAUAUUUGAUGAGUUUGCCAUGACCACUACUUAUUGCAAUGAUCAUGAUUGGGGUGAUAAUGCUUCUUAUGAUCUUGAUAAUUUACUUAAUACUCAUGAUGAAUAUGAUAUUGAAAGUAGGUUUGGAAGAGUGUCAACUUUAGGCAUUAUUGACUCCCACUUAUUUGGAGAGUUGUUCAGUCUUAUAGUAAAUUUUUGUAAUUAAAGGUUGGGUUGGAGAGGUCUAUAGUACUUUAGUUAAUGAUAACUCCUACUUAGUUUUGGAAGUAGUUAUACCUAACUUUGCUACUGCUAGUGUUGGAUUCAUAGAAGUAAGUNNNNNNNNNNNNNNNNNNNNNNNNNNNNNNNNNNNNNNNNNNNNNNNNNNNNNNNNNNNNNNNNNNNNNNNNNNNNNNNNNNNNNNNNNNNNNNNNNNNNGGUGGGUGGACGAAACAAGGCUACGACGGCGGCGAGGGGAGGAUGUANGUUGGCCGACAUGAGUACGUCGUCGGAGAGGUUGCGACAGGCCAAGCGCGUCGUCUCCCAGCGGCAAUGAAAUCUUGUGGGCAGCGCUAGGGUUGGGGAGCUCAAGAGGUGGCGAUGGGAAGGAAGGUAUAAAUACAACAUGCCUCAUGUAGUUUAUAAUAGUAGAGGGACAUCUGAAUUUUGUGGACUGGACUGCCCCUGACGCUUCGGGAGUAGUGGGACAUGUGACAUGUAGCGAACUCCCCUACAUUCUAUCUGUUGCGCCAGAUGCGGGAAUUUGUUUUGAUAAGUGCGGUAAAAUGGUUUUUGAAGGUUUUAAAUGUUCGGUUGAGUUUGUCUUCGACUUACAAGGACGCAAUGAAGACAAUCAACACGUGUCAAGUAGAAUGCACGUGACUGGAAUUGAACAGUGUUAGAUGAGAUAAGAAUAGAUGGGGUAUCGGGUCCGAUCACAUUUUGCCUAGAUAAAGUUUGAAGAUAUAGCAAUAGACAAAAUGAUGUAGAGGACAAAAUUUCCUAAAGUCAAAUAGGACAUGUCUCAUUUGCAAAUGUUCAAGUUCGAAGUCAUGUGACAAAGUUGAAGAUAAACUCAAAUAUCUGAAGACAUUGAUAAACAUGCAUGAUAAAGGGAAAUGUCUUUAGAUGGGGUUGGUGGCGUUGCCCACCAUAUAAGAAUAUUAGACCCAUACACGGCGCACAAUUAUCGUGGCACUCUGAAGUCAUAUGCUUCGUUAAUGUAUUCACACUUAGAGUGUAAGUCUUCAUGAGUUGAAGACAUACAUUACUUUGUGUGUUGUGCAUCAAAUUCAUCAAUAUGCAUAAGCGUUAGGAUGUAUGCCCAUUCAAAGGACAUUUGAGGAUUCUAAGAUAUUUAGUUCACACCGCAACUUGCAAAAUCUGUUUUCAUCCAAAGGCUUCGUGAAGAUAUGAGCCAAUUGAUCUUCAGCGUUUGCAUGCUUGAUGUUGAUGUCGCCCUUCAUCACGUGAUCUCAAAGAAAAUGAUGUUUUAUCUGAAUACGCUUCGUCUUUGUGUGCUGUACUGGGAUGUAGGAGAUCUUGAUUGCACUCUCGUUGUCACGGUAGAGUGGAACAGGCUUCACGUUGAUGUCGUAGUCCUUCAAUGUUUGCGUAAUCCAUAGAAGCUAUUUGCAGCAUGCACCAACAUCAAUGUAUCCGACUUCAACAAUGGAAAGUGACACACACACUUCAUCUUCUUUGAAGACCAACAUACGAGUGAUCAUCCUAGAAACUGAGAGGUGCCUGAUGUAGACUUGCGAUCAACUCUCUCGCUAGCAAAGUUAGAGUCUGAGUAGCCGAUGAGGUCCAAGUUUGAGCUAGUUGGAUACCAUAAUCCUAGAGUUGGGGUGUGAACCAGAUAUCUAAGUAUUCACUUCACAGCUAAGUGAUGCGAUUCCUUUGGUGCCGCUUGAAAUCGGGCGCACAUUCAAACGCUAAGAAUUAUAUUUGACCUAGAUGCACAUAGCUAAAAUAAAGAGCAAAUCAUGGAGCGAUAUACCUUCUGAUCGAAAUCUUUACCAUUUUUGUCAGUGCAUAGGUGACUGUUUGUUGGCAUUGCGUCUUGUAACCUUUGGCUUCGUUCAUGCCAAAUUUCUUGAGACAAUCCUUAAGGUACUUCUCCUGAGAGAUGAAUAUGCCAUUGGGUUGUUGUCGAAUCUAAAGAACUUUAGUUCUCCCAUCAUAGACAUCUGAUAUUGUUCUUGCAUCAUGAAGCCAAACUCAUCACUAUAUCGAUUGUUAGUACAGCCAAAGAUGAUGUCAUCCACAUAGAUUUGACAUACAAACAGUUCAUCAUCAUAAGAUUUUGUAAAUAGAGUGGGAUCGAGUGAACCAGGUUUGAAGCCUUUCUUCUUGAGGAAUUCCUUGAGAGUGUCAUACCAAGAUCUUGGUGCUUGCUUGAGGCCAUACAAUGCCUUGUUAAGCUGGUAGACUUUUUCAGGAUGCUUGGGAUCUUCAAACCCUGGUGGUUGAGCGACAUAUACUUCUUUCUCAAUCUUACCAUUGAGGAAUGCACUUUUGACAUCCAUUUGAUAUAAGCAUAUAUCGUGAUGGUUAACAUAAGCAAGCAAAAUACGUAUAGCUUCAAGCCUAGCAACACGUGGAAGUGUCUCAUCGAAAUCGAUACCCACAACCCGUGUGUAGCCUUGAGCCACAGGUCGACCUUUAUUUCUGAUGACUUGUCCUGAUUCAUCUUGCUUGUUGUGAAAUAUCCACUUUGUGCCAAUGAUGUUGUGCUUCCUCAGAUCAGGACGCUUGAUGAGUUCCUAGACAUUGUUGAGCUCGAACUGAUGAAGCUCUUCUUGAAGGCUUCAUCUAGCUUGGUGGGUUCGGAGAUAGACACAAAAACAAAUUGCCCACGAAAGUUAGCAAGUUGGUGAGCUCUUGAGCGAGUGAGUGGACCUGGUGUGUUUAUGCUGGCAAGCAUCUUUUCAAUUUGAACUUCAUUCUCCGCACGUGGAUGAGCAUGUCGAAGACUUUGAUUUGGCUGCUGAGCAUUGUCUUGUCAGCAACAUUGUCUUCGACAUUAGUAUUAUCUUCGCGAUGAGUAGGCAAUGUAACAAUGACUUCCUCUACUUCAGGUUCUUGAGGCACAAUUUCUCCAGUGCCCAUUGUCGGGGCGCAGAUGCUCAAGAUCACCUAUGGUACCAAGGGCCCCUCUUGGUUCGACAAGGGGGUCAUGUUGAAUGAAGAGCGGAGAACAUGAGAUGGCGCAACGGUCGGGGCACAUGCAUUUUACCCAGGUUCGGGCCGCUGCGUACAACCCUACUUUUGCUUUUUGGUGGAUUGAUGGUGGGAACAUGAAUAACACAAUGCACCUAGCCCCGGCAAGCUACCUGGGAAGAGUGAUCGCGUGAAUACAAGUGAUCGAAGGUUCGAAAUGCCAACCUUGAGCUAGGUUUCCUUGGGCCUCCUUUUAUAGCACAAGGGGUCAGCACAAUGGCAAAACAUACGUUAUCUGUUGAUUAGAUAGGCAACACUACAAACAUACUUAACUGUGGCACUUAGGACAAAAUGCCAUAAAUGCUAGCCUAGGUGGCGUGCAGGGAUGCAUUCCUGACAGGCUUCUACCACCGCUUUAGCAAACUACUGCUUCAUGUCCUGACACGCCUCUGGAUGGGUGUCAAGUGGGCGUGAUCCAUCUUCUAGCGAACCGCCACAUACUUAGCGAGAGCCCACUUAGCCACUUGAGGGCUCGGCACUGCAUUGGCAAACGACUAGCAUUGCGAUGCGGUGGAGCAGCGGCCGAUCGGCUCGCGCCUGCUGGGGAUGGCUUGCCAGGCCUUCUAGGAGGGUGCUCACUUUGGUCCUCGGCAGGUGCCGGGGAUGUGACUGGCACGACACAGUCUAGGCUUGGGGUGCUGCACUGAGCUUGCUGGAAUCUUAUCUUGGUAGCUGCUGGGCCAGCGUGGCCUUUUGUGGCUGUUGUUGCUGGGCGCUGGGUGGCUGCUUGUCCGUGCACAAAUCAGGGGAAAAGAAUACCCCUGUUUGUUUACUCCGACAGAAGCCCCCGGGCCUGAACCAGACGUUUCGCUAGGCACGUUGGGUUAGGCCCCAAACAAGCACGGACACGCGGCGAAGGGGUUCUACUUUUUCACCCACGUCCACUCUGUGGGUCAUGGGGUCGUGGACGAGGGCCGUCGGAAAAAAGGGAAGUCCAGUGAUAAACGACAGUUUUUUGAAAGAAUUGCAAAGAGCCAACCUCCGUGCAGGACCCCUUUAAAAAGGACAAAGCAGAGGGGGCGCUGAUCAUUCACACCCCCUUCCUCCGCCCUUCACUCUUCCUCCUCAACGCCAGAGAACUGCUCCGCAUCCUAUUCUUUGGUUUUUCGAGUGCCGCUAGCUCANNNNNNNNNNNNNNNNNNNNNNNNNNNNNNNNNNNNNNNNNNNNNNNNNNNNNNNNNNNNNNNNNNNNNNNNNNNNNNNNNNNNNNNNNNNNNNNNNNNNGGACUGCUGUAACCCUUCCACUGAAGCGUUCCACCUUACGCGGCCUCAGUGUUAACAYCUAUCCSSUGYGURCCUUGACAAGAGAUUAAACUUCUGCAGGUACUCCUUAACAGUCCCACUGCCCUGCCUUAAGGCUCGGAAUUCACGCUUCUUAAUGGUCAUCAGUCCAGGCGGAAUGUGAGCCGCGCGAAAUCCUUCCUUGAACAUCUCCCACGUGACGACUUGCCCUGCCCGCAUGAUCUGGAAUCCAUCCCACCAUGCCCUGACGGUGCCUCCGAGACAGUGAGAAGCAUAAAGGACCUUCUCAUGAUCAUCGGUGCACUUGACCAGCGCAAGGAGGUCUUCAAUGGUGCGAAUCCAGUCAUCGGCGUCCAGGGGUUCAGUCGACUCCGUGAAUAUGGGGGGCGUAGUCCGCAUGAACUCAGAAAGAGAAGAGCGACCACCGCCAUAUUCAUUCUGCGGCGGGUUGUCCACCAGGACUUGGGUCAGCUGCUGGAUAGCGGCAUUGCUGGCUUGACGCUCCUGUCGAAGAGCUUGAAGGAACUGAGCCAUCGUCAAGUUCUCAGGAGGAGGUGGUGGCGGAAGGUCUUAGGCUGCUCGUGGUGACCUCCAGCGUGAGCUUCUCCUUCGGUUCCCUGCGGCGUCCCUGAAGAGCCGGCGCCGGGGUUGCCGAAGGUGCUGUUGCGGGUUGCGUUCACCAUCCUGUCAUAGAAACAGACAGGUCAAAAUGCCACCUUGCUCGGGAGUACAAGGAUUUGCUCCUAGUAGGAGGGGGUCCAAUACGUGCAUGUGCCAAGUUUUUAAAACCAAAGUUUUUGACAAACUGGAAAUUGCAUUCAUGACAACUAGGUGACGUAGUCACUUACAGACUGCCCAAGGCACACAGGGGAUAGGUCAAGCACACAUACGCAAUUUAAAAACGGAUACAAGGAUACCCUAUACUCGGGUACUCCGAUUGCCUACGCAAAAAAUCUACGCGGCGGACUGCUCGGUCUCAAAGGCGGACUCAACAGGAUCCUCAUCUUCAUCAACAUCCUCUUCCUUUAUAGGAGUGGAAGAAAGAAUCCGCACGUCUCAGCGUCUCUUGGGCGAGGCGGCAAAGAUCUCAGUGUACUCUUCCGCUGUCAGGCGACGACUCUGAAGAGGGACUGCCUGGAUGGGUAACAGUACCACCCCUAGUGGCAACAGCUGCCCUCCUUCCAGGUGCGCUUGCCUUCUUUACUUUGCGGUUUUGCAUCUUCUCUGUGUGGAGCAGGCCUUUGACUAGGUGCAGCUCUUGGCGAAGCUUGACUGACUUCCUUAACCAGGAAGUGUGUCGAGGGUGUCUGACGWGAGACUGAAGUAGGUCUGAAAGCUCAGUGGCAUCCCAUCCUCCGUGGCGGGGGUGAGUGUCCAACUCCCAUCCACUCCUUCCUUAAUGAAAGGUAGAUGAUGAGUGACAGGCUCGUUAGCCAUCUCAGGGAGGAUGCUGCGGAGUUGCACGAGCGCCUCUCGUGCAGCCGUCUACACUGCCAACAUCAGCUCUCCCAUCUAUGGUCCUUCAAAGAACCAACUAGACGGGGAGUCAUUAGCCUUCACUAUCACGUCCACGUGAUAUUCCUUGGUGUCGGCGUUGACCCAAUGCUUGUGGUAGAGGAAGAUGGGCGUGCGUCGUACGUGGCACUUCUCGAGACAAUCCACCAGAAGUAGUGGAAAGCCGGUCUCCAAAAGCGUCUCAGGUACAGCAGCCAUCUACAAUGCAUAGGAGAGAAGUCGGGAGGUUGUAUGUGUAAGAGUCUUGUGCAAGGCUUGCGUCCUAACGUUCUUGGUUAACGUCCAUGCUAUCUAAGGCUUCUUAUAGUCAACCUGGCUCUGAUACCAGUUCUAUGGGGACCCCGACUAGCAAGUCGAGUUCGCCGUGCCCAGUGACCCCAAGGAUCAAUGUUCACUGAACACAGAUACUAAAUGAUAGAGUCUUACAUCCAAGUACCAAAUUAUUACAUCAAAUGACCAGAAGGUCGGGUUCAAGACAGGGCCGGGCCGGCAAAAUCCGGGGCCCUGUGCAAAACUAAAAAAUGGGCCCUCUCUCGUAGAAAAAAGAAAAGAUCUAGAAUAUAUCCAGAUGUGUGUAUAUCUAAAUUCAACGAGCAACUAUAAUAUAUAUAUAUAUCACAAAAAAAUUGUAAUAUACUCCAUUCGUAUCAAAAAUUUGUCUUAGAUUUGUCUAAAUAUGAAUGUAUCUAGUCAUAUUUUAGUGCUAGAUACAUAUUUUGAUAAAUAUUAUGCAAGAAUUUUGGGACGAAGGUAGAAAUACAUCAUUAAAAAGAUAGGAAUUAGAAAUAGGAACCGUAAAAAGGGACUUGAUAAGCACCUGGAGACGAGUCAUUCACUGAUUAAUCUGCGAUGGACAAAUCUGAAAUUUGGAAGACCAUGAAGGCAAUUAGGAAAUGACCAGAUCGCACGACCGAGGGACGAGGGCGAGAUAUGGCAACAGGGCGAACGAUGAGACAUCUCAUGCCCUCUUUCGUGGAGCCCAUGCGAGAGUUUCCUGUGGGCCGGCGGCGGCGACUGCUUUUCCAUGCGAGAGAACCACGAUCUCGAUCCUGUAGGGACGAAGCGACCAAGUAGGACGAGGCGAUGAGCAGGUUUUGUUUGCAAGACAAAGGCGACGUCGUGACGAGCAGUUAUGGGGAUCGAAAAGAUCCCGAUCACGAUCACAAUUCAGCAUUCUGGGUCGACGGCCUGGUUGCCUCGAGGCCAGCCCACUCCAGUGUCCGCGGCCCACUAAGUAAUGCUUAGUUUUCCCUUUUAAUACUAGGCUUAUAUAUAUAACUUGGGCCCCUUCAAAUUUUGGGCCCUGUGCGGGCUGCACAUCUGGCACCACUGUAGGCCCGGCCCUGGUUCAAGAGCAGGUCCUAAAGCCAAAUAAAGGGAUACAUCGAGUAGCGGAAACUCGUAAGGGCUAAGCGGUGCCCAUGCCAUCAAGCCUACACCGACAGGCAUUCUGACUCGGAAGCGUCCUAGAUUGCAGGUCCGUCUCCGACGGCGUACUCAUCGCCAAACUCCGGUCCUUCCAUGUCUGGUCAAUAACAUAACCAGUGGCAAGCCAAUGAGUACUUUGAAUGUACUCGCAAACAGCCCAUGACAUAAAUGCUAAUGCAGGGCAGUAACAUGCAUCUUUAGUGGAAUGCGAUGAGGUGGUAUGAUCAUGUAUAUGCAUCAAGGUUAAAGAAUUACUUUUGAAGAACAGGUUACAGAUAUCAUCAUCUCUGCUAAGGGUUGAACACACCGGGUUCGACCCUACUAUGCCAAGUCAUCGGACUUGUCAUAAUNNNNNNNNNNNNNNNNNNNNNNNNNNNNNNNNNNNNNNNNNNNNNNNNNNNNNNNNNNNNNNNNNNNNNNNNNNNNNNNNNNNNNNNNNNNNNNNNNNNNAGUACUACUAUGCGCCAAGCAUCAGAGUGAGGCUUGAUGGUUUAUUCGCGGUGGCGGAAGCGGUGAAAUAAUAUAGCGGCACACUCCAGGACCGCAAGACUGUCUAGGACUCCUCUAGACAUCGGACUCGCUAUCAAACUCUUCAUCCAUGAGGUCUCCUUCAUCCAUAUCUGGCCACAUCAACAAGCCAGUGAGUACUUCGAAAAGUACUCGCAAACAGUUUGCACAAAAGAUGAGAUGCAUGCAGUCAGUUAUUAAUAUGCAUGGUUCAGAUCAUAAUUUAUCAAAAUGAAUGUGUUAGAAAUAAAUUAAGAUAGUGGAUAAAUCGUGCGGUAAUCCUCCCGAGAUAUCCUAAUAGAAAGGUAAAUGCACCGAUCAGGUGUCUAGAGCGACGCCUCGAAAGGUUAACAAGGGUUAGUAAACCACCGUCGGGCGUCUGAGUGACACCACAUACAGGGCAUAAAAUAAAUAGCAAGCCACAAACGGGCGUCUUAGUGACACCACAGAAAGGGCAAUAAAAAUAAAUAGCCACCGCAGUCGGGCAUCUUAGCGACACCGCAGAAAGGGCAUAUAAAUAAAUAACAAGUACACAGUCGGGCGUCUUAGCGACACCACAAGAAAGGGCAAUAAAAAUAAAUUAACAAGACCGACAAAUCGGGCGUAAUACUUAACGACGAACACUAACAGAAAUCGGGACAAGUAAUAAAAUAAAAUUAACAAAGGUACCACAAGUUCGGGGUAGUUACUAGNNNNNNNNNNNNNNNNNNNNNNNNNNNNNNNNNNNNNNNNNNNNNNNNNNNNNNNNNNNNNNNNNNNNNNNNNNNNNNNNNNNNNNNNNNNNNNNNNNNNUUCUAGCCUCCCCAAGUUGCUUUCCACCCAAUCAAUCUCUUCUACCCAAGCCAAAUUUGUGAAAGAGUGAUUGAGUGUUGAGGAGACUACCUUUUWGUMGCACUACGUGGAGUUUCUAGCUACAUUGAUGCAUGCAAUUAAGCUACAGUAAACCAUGUGGUUAAGAUAAUGCUUUUGCUAAACCCUAUUUGAUCACAUUGGAAUCAUAUCUCAUUUCAAAUUCCUUUUGAAAUUCAAGCUCCUUUUAAUUUGUGGUUUAAAUAUUUUUUCAAAACUGAAAACUACAAUCAUGUUUGGGUUGCAAAUAAUCCCCUCAUGUUUAUAAAAUUGAAACCAACAUUUUAUAAAGUACUUUGGUGCCUCAAAACAAUUAUAAAAGAGGCCAAAACAUUUAAAUAAAUGUCUUUUAAAUUAUGUAAAUUUCCAAAGUUUCCAAAAGGGCCCCAAACGUUUUGUGGCACUACCAAAUAUUGCAUUUCAAAUAUUGGACCAUAUCCCAUAUUUUUCUCAUAAUUAAUUUAGUGCUAAACCUAAAUCAAAACAUAAGAUUUUAAAUAAAAUUUGAAAUAAAUUAAAAUAUAAAAUAAAAGCCCACCCCCAUUGGGCCCAAGCCCCCCAACCGGCCCACGUAUCCCUCCCCCAUCCCUAACCUCCGGCUAUAGUGGCCAGGGGGAGGGGAUGCCCGUCAUGCCUCCCCUCGACCACGCGCGGGCCAUCCAGUGGCCACCCCCGCCCUGUGAGGAGACAACGAGCCCUCCCCCGCUAACCCUAGCUCGCCCCCCAAUGAGGACAUCAACACCAUUGUUACACCCACAGCCCCAACUGCUAUACAUACUCGACCAGUUACUAGAGCUCACUCACGCCAAUCGAAUUACCACGUACUUUCGUUUCUUGAAAAUCUUUCUAAUGUUGAUGAACAUGUGAUGCUGCCUAAGUUAGAUAUUUUUGUUGUACUUAUGAAUGAAGGAACUAGCAUGGACAAGAAGGAUAUCUGAUGGAGCAGGAUCAAGCAUGGAGAAGAAGGUGCACGCGGGGAAAGAACAAUGGAGCUUCCACUCAUGAUUUUCACAUAUUGAAGCCACCAUAAGGAGAGCAUGAAGGCUUGGAAAAAAUAUUCAAGAUGCCACUUUAUAAAUUUCGGCCAUAGGAUAUUAUAGGUGUUGCGCCACCUUAUUUUUGGGCCAGGCACAUGGUAAUUUCGAAAUACCAUAUUAUAGGCUAUUUUUAGAUUCCGUAUGUGUGGGGAAACUAAGUUAGCGUCGGUUUCUUACCCCUCCUCCAAGGGGUCACGAAAUUCCUCCUCUAUCCCCCCAUAUAUACACCCCUUAGAGCGCUGUUUAGAAUUGGGUUUUGUUUAGAUUACAAGUUUUCCAUAGUUGCAACUUCGCGUUCUUCGUUUGUGUUCCAUGACCAGGCAAAGGCGUCACAAAACCCCACUUUCAUCAAUAAAGCUCGCCUCUUAUAUUUUCAAUAUCCAGAUUGCAAUCUUAGUUUCAUGCUUGGUCUUUGUUUGCGUGCAGGAAAUAGACCCUCGUGGUCAAGUUGAUCGUGCUCCAGCAUGGUCAAUAACCUCUUGGAGUUGGUUUAGCGAUUGCUAAGGCGCGAUGUCCUCACACGUUCAUAGUCGGAUCGUCAAAGUCUACUCCACCAAAACGAUAACCACCAUCUCAUCGAAAGACAUGGACAACUUUGCCUCUAUCAAGUGGUAUCAAAUUUCCAGGUUGCUCGGUGAGAUUUUACCAGUUUUUCGUAGUUAGAUCGCAUCUGUUCUUCAUACCAAUAGUCCACAGAAAAGACCACAAAAAAUUAGGAUUAGAUCAUCAUAUCCAAACCAAUCCGAGUCUUUGAAUAGUCUUUUUAGUAUUUUUCUUCGUUGUAUUUGCGGUUACAUCAUCGUGUUGAGUUACUGGUCUUAGUGUCCAGUCCUUUAGAGUUUCGAGUUCUGUUCACAGGUAGUCACACCGCCACCACGCCAUCUUUCACCGCUGCCAUAUACCACCACCACGCUUCCAUCAUCACUGCUGCCAUAUACCACCACCACGCCACCAUCAUCCUUGCUGCCAUAUAUCACUGAUACGUCUCAAAUGUAUCUAUAAUUUCUGCUUGUUCCAUGAUCUUUUGGGUGACAUUGUUAUAUGUUUUGCUACACUUUUAUAUAUUUUUACACAUAUUUGGACUAACCUACUAACUCAGUGCACCCAGUGCCUGUUUCUGUCUGUUGAUGUCUUUUUUGCACGGGCUUUUACCCAAUUUUCUGGAGCCCCAAAAAUCCUGAGAAAAAUAUAUAAAAAUUAGCGUAACAGAAGCUACCAGAUCACCGAAGAUGGGCCAGAGGGAAGCCAAGGGCUGCCCAGGCGACCACCCGACGCGGCCUGGCCCCUAGCCGCGCCCAUAGACCGCCUGGGUGGGCCCCACCUCUUCUGACACCCUCCUUUGGCCUAUAUUUACUCCUACGAGAGGAAACCCUUCCAACACAUCCAGAAUCGCGAAUUUCUCCAUUGUUGCUCCGCCACAGCGCUCCUGAGAUCGGGAGCGUCAAGAGACCUCUUCCCGGCACCCUGCCGGAGGGAGGAUUGACCUCCGGGAGCUUCUCCACUGCCAUGGACGCUUUCCGGACGUGCCGUGAGUAGUCCUCCUUGGACCAGGAGUCCAUGACUAGUAGCUAGGUGAUGUCUUCUCUCCAAUCUUGUGCUCCCAUGAUUAACCCUUGUGAGCUGCCCUACAUGAUCAAGGCAUCUUUGUAUUUUUUCCUGCUAUAUCUAUGCUCGGUUUGUUGGGAUCCAAUGGAUUAUGAGCUUAUGUUCAAAUUUUUAUGAGUUAUAUAUUUGAUUAUCCUUUUAUAUUAUGUUCUUUAGUGAUUCAUGCAUGUUCUUCGUUGCUUUGUAUUGCUUUGGCCGAGUAGUAGAUUGUAACUCCAAGAGGGAGCGUUAUGCAUGAUUGUGGGUUCAUGCCCCCUGAUGUCUAGCUUGAGUGAUGUAAACAUGAGACUAGGGGAUGUGUUGUUGCCACUAGGAAGAAAACAACGGUGCUUGUGACCACGGUUGGAAGGAUUGCUUACCUUACACAUAGUUCAUUAAUGCAGUUGUCCGUUGCUUUGAGUUUACACUUUGGUUGGGGCUCGCAACUUAAUACCAGCGAGAUGUUCUGGAUAAAUAUCUCAAGGUGGAUGAUUAGUGAGUAGAUGUUGAUGAAUAAAUGGUCUACUUGUCUGGGCGUACUGCCCAUUACUAUUGAGCCUCUAACUUUCAAGUAGCAUAAUUAGCAUUGCGGUGCGUUUAUAAUUCUGUCAAUUGCCCGGCUGUAAUUUGUUUACCCAAGCAUAGUUGUUUAUCGUCUUUUGGGAGAGAGACAUCAUUAGUGAACAUCAUGUGACUCCGGUCCAUAUCACCACCAUUGCUUACACCUCCAUCAUUUACUGCUUUCAUUUAUUUUCCGUUGCAAUCACUAUCACUAUUCCCGCUUGUGUUUUGAUCCUUUGCAAACUAGAAGGCCGACGAGAUUCACAACCUCUCCGUACUCGUUGGGAGCAAAGUUAUUUGUGUGUGUGUGCAGGUUCACGUUCUUUUGCUUGCGCGAGGGCAGAGGACACCUACUUGUUGAUCCUUGGAGUCCUCCUGGUUCGAUUAACCUUACAUUCUCUGUGUAAUGGAAAACUUGCUGCUGACUACAUCUCCACCUUCCUCUUGGGGUAACCAACGGAGGGUCGAGAAGUAUAUUCAUCAACUCGUCAUCAAGCAAGUUUUCUAGCACCGUUGCCGGGGACUCCAGUCUUCAAGAUAGGGGAGUUGUACGCUAUCCUUUACCUUCCGAUUUUUAGUCUUGUUAGUUUGCCUUUUAGUUUAUACCAAAAACCACAAAAAAAUUAGUUGCUUUGUUCUUGCUUGUUGUUGCUGCUAUGGUCCACUGAGACACACCGUUGUGUGACUUCACUAGUCANNNNNNNNNNNNNNNNNNNNNNNNNNNNNNNNNNNNNNNNNNNNNNNNNNNNNNNNNNNNNNNNNNNNNNNNNNNNNNNNNNNNNNNNNNNNNNNNNNNNAUAUACUGAGAAUACUUGCGACUCACUCAUCCUUUCGUUCUCACACAUCUUGAGUCUGAGGUGCCCUGAACACCUAAUCAGAUCUGAAUCGUUGGGCAGAUAUGUAGUGGUUGGUAACUUUCCAAUAAUCAUAACUUUGGUCUUUAUGUAAACCGGUACGGUGCUGUCUUGUCUAGCACACCGGGCCGAAGGACCUAUUGUUAUAAUAACUUGUUCAACAAGAUUCUCCAUUAUUUUGUGAGAAAAUUGUAAGACUUGUGUUAUAAGUUGUUCCUCAUGUAUCCCUUGUGUAGCCAAAGUCCGACCUUUAUUUGACGACCAUGUCGAUGCUACCUCAAAGCACGGAUGCGGUACUUCGAAUUUCAACAUGAACAUUGGAAGCGCAAUGCUAAAUUGUUCUUGAUCAAUUAUCUAAACCGUAUGGUAUGGAUAAACAUCAUGAUUCUCCUUGCUCCUUUAUCAAAAUGGUUAUGUACUUGAUGACCUAUCAUGUAUACCAUACUCUAUUUUCCUCGGGAAUGGUAUACUCUAAUACUUGUGUGUGUGAACACAUUUUCCUUUCUAUUGGUUUGUUUAAACCUUCUUAUAAGCUAAUUUAUCUGAGCAUCGACAAUUCCUUGCUUAGGUAAAAAACCUUGGUGAACAACUCUGUCAGUAAGACCCUGUUACUAUUGUGGAUAACAUUACGGUAGCCAUUGGUGGACGAGAACCUUGCCUAUUGGUUCGCCUCGUUUCAGCGGGCAGGAACAUGGUUCUAUUCGUCCCCUACCCUUGGUACCGAUCUUGUUGCCAACAUAACAGACAUGUUAUCCUCCAACAUGUCUUGCUAUCAAUACCGUAUAGAAUGUCACCGCUUUGCCUACUCUUAACCCACAUGGUGGACCCAUAACCCAAAUUCCACAGGAUAUAAACCUGACUCUCCUGUACAUCUUUGACUUCAGAGUAUCCUUUGAACUUGGCUUCGUAUGAAAUUCCCGAGCCACCGUCCAAUGGGACGAUCUAUUCAGUAUCAUAAGCAAUAUUUAUAUUCGUUGCUCUAAACCCCCUCCCAUCUCUAUUUAGGCAUUAAACGAUUGCCUAGCCGUUUGAAACCUUGGUACCCUCGCAUGUUACUCUCAACGAAUUUCGCGACUUACAACUUGAGUAAUAGUUGAUGUCCUUUUCCUUGAGUUCGUCGGCACAUGCCCAACUUUGUGUAGCUACGUUCUUCCAAAGUUUUCCCUAUUAUCGCAUUCGUAGGAUGAUGAAGACCCCGAAGGAAGGAUGACAAAUUCAUCAGGAUGACCUAAGUAAGAUAAUUAAAGACUUCAACGAAACGCAUAAAAUUCUUUGGAAAGGACAAAAAAGACCGAGAAGACCCGUUAGAAAUUCGUAACCAAACGUUUCCCCCUUACCUCUACCUCUUAAUUCUCGAGACGAGAAUUUCUUUUACUGGUGGAGAGUUGUGACAUCCCCGGGCUAUGCUACACUAACCCCUGUAAUCAAGCUACAGUAAUCACACGCUAAUGGUGCCAUGUCAUCAAGAUUAACUAAGCCAAAUUGCCCCUUGAUAAAAAAAACCAAAACUAAAUUCAAAUUUAAAAUAAAGUAAAAUAAAUUAUUUCUUCCAACUAUAAAAUAAAAAUCAUGAAUAGGUUGUAAAUAAUCCCUUGGUAAAUAUAAAUUGUAACCAACUUUUUGUAAGUAAUUAAAGGCUUUGAAACCAUUAAAACAGAGGCCAAACAAUAAUUUGAAUGCCCUAUUUAAAUCCUAUAAAUUUCCAAACCACUUUAAAUAAAUGUCAAACUUUUUGUGACAGUUUCUAAAAAUGUAAUAUAGAUAAUGGACCGAGUGCCAUUUUUUUACAAAAGAUUGUUGUUACAAGAAUAAUUAGAACUGAAACAGAUAAAAGAAAAAGCAAAAUGAAAAAGAAAAAGAAAUAACUAAAACCCCCCUUCCCCCCCGGGCCACCGGCCCAUGUCGCCCCAUCCAGCGAGCCGAGCCUGGCCUCCCCGCCGUCGGCCCAACCAGUGGUACCUAACCCCCCCCCCCCCCCCCGAGCGCCCCCCGGCAACCCUNNNNNNNNNNNNNNNNNNNNNNNNNNNNNNNNNNNNNNNNNNNNNNNNNNNNNNNNNNNNNNNNNNNNNNNNNNNNNNNNNNNNNNNNNNNNNNNNNNNNGUCAAGGCCCAAACCUUAGUGGGUUAGUAGCACCACGAACAACCCUCGAAGCACCCCAGUCACCAGCCCUCCCCAAUUCCAAGCACAGGUGACAAGAACUCCAAUUUGUAGCUGCAGGACAGUACUGGCAACACUAGUGUCCUUGCNCCCUUGACCAGCUCGAGCUCCCACUAAACCACAACGUCUAGGCACACUCCCAGCGACACUCAGGACAUGAAGGACACGUCCCAAGCGCCCCAGAGCGAGCCAGCAUGCCGUGGCAUGCCAAAACUGCGCUCUGGCGCACUGCAGAGAGCCACCCGCAAGGGGCCGACGCUCCGGCCGGUCCCAGCUUCCCCAGUAGUGUCCAAGCACUCCCCUGACAGCCCCUCAGUGCAAAGCUACCCCAGGGACCCUCUCCCCCUCGCGCAAGAGCUCAGGCGACGCGUGCCCGUGCGCCCCCGACGCGGCCGAGCAUGCACGGUCGCUGCAGCUCGUCCCCACUCACUUUCCCUCUGCGGCCGUUGCAUCAGGAGGCCCUAAACCACGUCCCGAACCCGUGGUUUCGCGGCCAGCACCUCACUGUKCUUGCACGCGUGCCACGGUGAGUCACCGGCGUGCCCGAGUCGGGUCACCGUCGUUGGCCUAUAAAUAGACCCCCCCCGGCCACUCCAGCACCCUCCAAGCAGCUUCARCACAACCAGUAGACACUCCCUAGCCGCCCAAUCGAGGUCGCAGAGCCCCGGUGCUCGAGAUCGACCGAGGCCCCUCCGCCUCGGAGCUCCGGUCGAUCUCCGGCWACACGUCGGCUCCUGCGCUGCCCGACCUCUCAUUACACUCCCCUCGCACCAGGAACAUUUCCCCUAACUCUCCCGAGCAAAUCCAUACCUCUAGCCCCUAGUUCAACUUGAACCCGAAACCCUUCCGCCACGAGCACCUCGUUGCCGGCGACCCAGACCACCUCUGGUGACGUACCGACCACGAGCAGGUAGGCGGAGGCACGAGGAACCGUUCCCGUUCCUAGCUAGGCCUGAGGACAACGGCAGCCUCGCCGGCGGCCAUCUCCACCUCUCUGGCCAGAGGUAGGAGAAGGACCCGACAGGUGGAGCCCACCUGGCGGUGUCCUGGGGCAGCCAGCGCGCGCAGCCGCUGACGCUGACCCCAGGGGCCCGCAGGUCAGGUUUGAACCUGGCCCACGCGCGCCUGGUGGCCAGGCCUGCUGGCUGGGCCGGCUGGAUCUGUUUCCCUGGCCUUUUUCUUUUGUUUAAUCCAGCAAACUAAAUGAUUUUUAUAAAARGAUUUAGCUAGUAGAAAAAUAUAAUUCUUCCACCAGUAUUUUUCUAAAAAUGAGUAGUAUUUGAUUCUGUAAUAGUUGACAUUUAUCAAUAACAGAAACUAUUUUGGUAUAAUAAAACGAUAUUAAAAAGCACUUGUUUGCUUCUGUUUGCUUUUAAAUAAAUAUGCUUAGCUAAUAAAACAGUAGGGAACAUUUUUCAAAAUAAUAACCUGGAUUUAUUCAAGCCUUGCAACAUUUUUAAAAGCACUUUGUGAACUGUUUUAGUAAAAGCUAGUAUUUAUUUAUUCCUUUCUCGACGGUAGAAUUACCGAGUGAUGGAGGAUCCGGAGCGGAAGACCUCGAAGACCCCGGAUACCUAGCUGACCAAGGCACACAGGGGAUAGGCCAUGACCUAAGUAAAUAAAAUGAUGCAUGCUAGAAUAGCAAGUAUUUUCCAUUGCAUGUAAUCACGAUGUCGGUUCAUCAUUGAUGUGAUGGUACUGAAGGCUUCUUCGAAGCCCUUGCAUUAUAGAAGUGAUUUCACAUGGCUCCUCGGAGCACAAACAUGAUGAGCUUGAUCCUACCAUCUACGAGGAUCAUGCUACUGUCAUGUUGGCUAGUAGAGUAGAAUCACUGCAUUGAGCUUGACCCCGUGAGGGUCAUGAUACUAUCAUGUUGACAAGUAAUGUUAAGGCACAUCAAGUUGACAAGUAAUAAUAGAGCAUUUUAUCAUGAGCAUGAUGAUGAGUUAAAUAAAGAGUUUAUGAAAACCCCGUCGGGUGCCACUAAUGCCCGAAGGUGAUGAUGAGUUGGUGAUCACUUUUGGUGAAGUGAUGCACUGGUGAUUUUGGUGUGAGUAUGGUUUCGGAAAUGGAUUAGAUUUAUGAUGUUUCGACCGUCCCAACCUUACCCAGUACGACCACGAUACCCCUUUAUGGGACGGGGCUUUGUUGAUUACUCUGGUCAGUGCUAGCAAAGAGCCACAUUACUAGUGGCGGGAGUGAUCGGUGUCACUCUCGUGAUGGGGUCGUGCCAGGUAGGACGACUAUGCCAUUAUUAUGAGUUCCAGGCACACCGUUGGUCCCUGCAUGGUUGAUACAGUCCAGAGUCGGUGCUCGUAAGACGUACAACAUGUGGGCUGGGUACCAAUCGAGUGGAUCUCUUUGUCUAGUAUCGUCAGGGGAAAGAUGAUGAUCGGAUACUUACCUCGGGUAUAUGUGAUAUACCGCGAGUCGUGGAUGACACGGAAGUAUUCCGUUUCUCGUGGGUCCAGCGUACUACCUCUGCAGAGUGUAAACUAUUCGAAUAGCCGUGUCCAUGGUCAAGGACAGUUGGGUGGUGCUGCUUAAACUACGUCCUGAGUUUCCGCAUAAACCAAGUGUGUGUGUGUGGUGUUAAAAAGGUGUCGUUAUAAUCAUGAUAAUCACAAUAAUAUGAUCAAGUUCGGUCGUACGUUAGACWWGUAGGKUAAACCGGGUAAACCGGUAGUUUAGGUUUACCGUCCCUACUAAUUUAAACUUACCGUUAGUAGUAAUUUAGUAGAACGUAACGUACCGUAGUANNNNNNNNNNNNNNNNNNNNNNNNNNNNNNNNNNNNNNNNNNNNNNNNNNNNNNNNNNNNNNNNNNNNNNNNNNNNNNNNNNNNNNNNNNNNNNNNNNNNUCUCUUGAAGCGCGUGCGGCGGCGCCACUGCCGGCUCGGAGGAGAGAAGCCGAGAUCUCCUCGACGCGGCCCGCUCCCUGGCGUGCUUCCAAAGCAUGUGCCGCAUUGGGAUGUGGCCAAGGUCAAGCACCCAAGCCCACACCAUGAAGGUCUUUGUGUCGGCGUGCUCGAAUCUGUCUAGUCGGUCGAUGAUCACCUUGUCCCCGAGCGCAUCGGUGAUGCCCUCCAUCGUCCAGAGCAUCAUGGGCAGCUUCUUGAUGAUGAGGCGCAUGUGUGUCCUCCCGCUAAGGCUCCAACGGGAAGGUGACGCUGUCCACCUCCAGCGUGCUGCGGCGCACGAGAAGCUCCUUGUGCGCCGGCAGGUUGAAGUGGAUGAAGAAAUCCUCGGGGUCGUGGUUGGUGAUGCGAAGGUGGUGCGCAUGAUCUAGAACUCCCUCUCGACGGCCUUGCCGAUGGAGUAGGGGUUGGUCGCGUGGUUCUUGCUGGCCGCAGUCACCACUAUGGCGUGCUGCUGCAGGAGGAAGAGUUGCUGCUCCAUCGCCGAUGUGGAGGCGAUGACCUUAUGGCUGUGGAGCGGCCGGCGCCCGUGGUCGAUGCAGGGGGCGUCCGCCGCGGCCAUGGCCUCCUGGCUGGGGAACACGAGCUGGUCUGUCACCGGACGACGCGCGCCCAACCUCUCCUUCACGUCCCUCCCCCACGACGAUUUCUUGGGUUUUUUGGGUACUCCCUACCAAAAUGCCCUGACUGCUUGCAGAUGAUGCAGUGCAGCGGGUCUCUACAGUCCUUUCGGCGGUGGCGAGGGCUAAGGCACCGAAAACAGAGACCUCUGAACUAGCUUAAAAAGGCCUCGCGACCAUGGACGGAGGUGCUUCUGCCGUUGGAUCCCCGUGCUGGACAUCGGAUCUUUACUUGGCCGCCGCUUCUUGCGGGAUUGGUAGGUAGUCCAUCCGUCCUCAUCAAUAGCGUCGGGGGACUGAUUUGGUGAUAGAGGAGGGGCAACUACGAUGGAUCGAAGGCAGGGCUGCUCGAAAGGGGGGGGUACCUAGAUCCGCCUGUCCGUGUGGAGAGCCAUCCUCAAGAACCUCGACCCAAGGCACACAGGGGAUAGGCACACCAGAGCGAUCCAUGGAGGGGAGCGCGGGGCUGGGUGCCUCGGAUGGAUCGGCGGACAGGUUGAGGCCUGGCGACGCAGGGCAUUGAAUGCCGACCGGUGGAGAGGCGGGAUCUUGGGGGUCUCAGCAGGGCGGCAUGGGCCGGCGCGGGUGCCCGGGUGGGCGGCGCAUGGGUAGUGGUGGUCGCCGCGGCCGGAGUGGCCAGCGGCACGAGAGGAAGAGGUGAGCUAGCUCAGCCGCCACACCAUAUUGUUGCUUUGACUUUCUCCCUAGUCCGUGGUGARGGGCCUUGGGGGAGCCAGGAACUGUGACUUUGCUGCUGGCCAUGUAGCAACUCUCUUACCUAAAAAGGAAAAAUACAAUGGAACCAUUGCUAGAAAUAAGGAAUACCAUCAGCAAAGUUGUGCUGUAGUAUGUGCUCCAUCUUUUAUCUCUUCUUGGCACACGCAUCGAUAAUGUAUUUCUAGGGACGGGUUUGCAGCAAACCUAUGAGAUGCCGGAUGGUUGCGCUUCCAGUCUCAAGAAAAAAGAAAUGUGUUAUUUAAUUUUGAUGUUGGCCAAGUAGCAACUCUCUUGCCCCUCAAAACAAGACAAUGAAACCAUCGCUGAAAAUAGCCAAUAACAUCAACACAGAGGUGUAACUAGUUUCACCCCUUAGCCCUGGGUAAUCGAUUUCAACUAGUUCUGCACAGUUCAACUAGAAUGUGACUGGUUUUGCGCGGUAUGCUAUUACCGGUCUGGAAUUUUGAUUAGGCUCUCGAACUUAUGGGAAGAAUUGAGUCAGUAGAUUGGAAACCGUUUCUGUUUGUUUCUUUCUUAUUCAUCCUCGGCAUUCUUUUCUGACGAUCAAAACAGGAGUUAUGCCAAUUUUAUUAUGAUAGAAAAGGAAAUAGAGAGUGACCCCGGUUUAUAAGGGAAACUGGGCCGAAAACCCCAAUGCCUGACUGAGCGAAAACCAAUGAACAAAAGGAAAACUCAAAAAACAGAAGGAAAAAAAAACACUAGAGCUUGGGGAUGUGGACUACAAGAAUGCAAAAGCAAAAGGAAGGCUGGAGCAGAUAAUUCAGGACNNNNNNNNNNNNNNNNNNNNNNNNNNNNNNNNNNNNNNNNNNNNNNNNNNNNNNNNNNNNNNNNNNNNNNNNNNNNNNNNNNNNNNNNNNNNNNNNNNNNGAAUAAAGGUGUGACCGAAUGCAUGGAAAAAGCUAAUUUAGAUGAUGAAAUAAUUCACUGGGAAAAUAAGCUAAAGCAUAUAGAUUGGGAAUAUAAAAAUUCUAUGACAAAAGAUUGGCCUAAGAUAAGAGAAAGAGAAUUGUUUAUAAUUAGAGAAAUUGCAAGGUUAAAAAAACUAAAAAAUGAGAAAUAGUUGGUAACUAGUGGUUCAAUUAUGCCAAAUACAUCAUCAAUUGAAAGGGGAGAACAUGCUGGUAGUAAUAAUGAUGCUAUCACUAAUAGAGAUAAGAAUAUUGCUCAGGAAGAAGAAGUUGUUAGUGAAGAAGAGCAAUGGGAUAUAAAUAAUAAGUUAUUACUAGAAAGUUAUGAAGAGGAAGAGGAAUUAGUAAAGAUAUGUGGUUAGAAGAUAGAAAUWAUAAUAGAUUGGGAGCAGAUAGUGUAUUUUAUUAACUCACUAGAUGAUGUGGGACUAMMAAAUUUAAGACAAAUAGCAAUAGGAAGGACUAUGGAAGGUAAGAAAGUAAGUUAAAUAAAAGUAAAGAAAAGGGAAGUAAUAGGCGGAGGUACUUACGGUAAAAGGUAAAGGAAAGGAAGGAAGGAAGGNNNNNNNNNNNNNNNNNNNNNNNNNNNNNNNNNNNNNNNNNNNNNNNNNNNNNNNNNNNNNNNNNNNNNNNNNNNNNNNNNNNNNNNNNNNNNNNNNNNNGAAUAGAAACCCAACUAAAGUAAAAACCGAACAUAAAAAAGUAAAAGAAAUACCUAAUAGGAAACCGGUAGAAAAAGAAAACGAAAUAGAAUAAAGAAAACCGAAAAAAAACUAAGAAAUAGAAAACAAAAGUAAAAUAAAACUAAAAGAAAACCAAAUAYGAAAAGAAAAGGAAAAAUAUAAAAAAUAGUGAAAACCGAGAAUAAACAAACAAAAAAGAAAAAAAGAAAAAAAACAAAGAAAACAAAAGUUAAUAUGAAUAAAGAAAAACCAAAGACAAAAAAAAGAAUGAAACAAAAAAUAAAAUAAAAUAAAAAGACACGAGCGAGCAUACAACAAGACAAGAAUGCCCACCUAAACCCGAACGAACGAAGAGAAAAACUAAUUAAGGGGUAUACUUGCAGAAGCCAGGUAAGGGUCAUUUUGAUGGGUUGAGAGUGUAUCAAGUGAUGCAUCUAAUCGCUGCCACGUGUUGCAUGUUGGGUCACGCAUGAUUUUAUUUGUUUUAUUUCUGUAUGCAUUUUAAGGUUUAGAUGGAUUUCUUGUUUUCGCCUUGUUUUUUUAGGUCUGUAAGUUUUUAAUGCAUGAWUUUUGCUUCUGGUGGUAGCACAUUAUUUGUUUACUUAAAAAGGACUAUGUUUGCUUUACAACGAAAAGCAACAACUUAUGCAUCUACAAAAAAGAAAANNNNNNNNNNNNNNNNNNNNNNNNNNNNNNNNNNNNNNNNNNNNNNNNNNNNNNNNNNNNNNNNNNNNNNNNNNNNNNNNNNNNNNNNNNNNNNNNNNNNCGUAAUUUUUCUAAUUCUAAUUUAAAAACUAACGUAUUUAAGUGUAAUUUAAAAUAAUUUAUUUUUCUUAUUUUAUUAUCUUAUUAGUCUACUUUAUUAAGGCCGUAGUAAUAGUAUAUUUCCACAAGGUAAAUUAUUUCCUGCCUUAGUAAAUUCUGNGUAAAUUCAUGGAAGCUCAGAAGGACAUAUAUUUUCCAUACAUAAGAUUUUCAACCCUAUUUUAUAUUAAUAUUAUUUGAGUAAAACCCUGAAAACCCAUUUCUGUCUGUUAUAGCUUUUUGAGAUGUUUCCAAAGGAAAAGUAUCUCAGUAAAUUCCCAUAAAAUUACCGGAGCCCUCCCAAACCAUAUUAGGUGCUCACCUAAAAUCUCACCUUGAUCCAAGGUGGGUAAGUGCACUUAGAGAGCCCAAAACCCUCUCUGUCCAGAGUGGAGUUGGAACAACUCUACAUUGCAAAGUUUCUCCAAUAGAGCUGAAACUUUGUAGAGGUGUUUAACACCCCAAAUGAGGACUCCACACCAAAAAUGGGAGUUUGUGAGACUACUGUUUGUACCACACUUCCUUUCGUAGGGUAACGAGUACUGGUCGACUUGUAGAACAUUUUCUAAGUUUAGUCAAAGACCGAAACUUACGGUUCUAAUAGGAGGCUCUAUUAAUUUGGGUUGGAACCCCCGAACUUGGUUUUUAACCCCUAAACGAAACAAAACCUACGUUAAGNNNNNNNNNNNNNNNNNNNNNNNNNNNNNNNNNNNNNNNNNNNNNNNNNNNNNNNNNNNNNNNNNNNNNNNNNNNNNNNNNNNNNNNNNNNNNNNNNNNNGAAAAUAAAACAAAUAAAAUCAUGCGUGACCCAACAUGCAACACGUGGCAGCGAUUAGAUGCAUCACUUGAUACACUCUCAACCCAUCAAAAUGACCCUUACCUGGCUUCUGCAAGUAUACCCCUUAAUUAGUUUUCUCUUCGUUCGUUCGGGUUUAGGUGGGCAUUCUUGUCUUGUUGUAUGCUCGCUCGUGCUUUUAUUUAUUUUAUUUUUGUUCAUCUUUUUUUUGUCUUUGGUUUUCUUUAUUCAUAUAACUUUUGUUUUCUUUGUUUUUUUUUCUUUUUUUCUUUUUGUUUCGUUUAUUCUUCGGUUUUCUACUUAUUUUUUAUUAUUUUUCCUUUCUUUUCUAUUGGUUUUCUUUGUUUUAUUUUAUUUUGUUUUUCUAUUUACUAUUUUUUUGGUUUUCUUUUAUUCUAUUCUUUCUUUUUCUACCGGUUUCCUAUUUGGUAUUUCUUUUCUUUUUUAAUUGUUGGUUUUCUUUUAGUUGGGUUUCAUUCUAGUUUUUCUUCGGUAACCUUAGUAUUGUACCUUUUUUGGUUUCUUAUGUGUUGUUCGUAUUCUUUUCCUCGUACUUUCUUGUGUUAGUAUUUUACAUUUACUAUUUAAAAUAUUAUUUUAUGCUAUAGUUAACUAUUCUUAGNNNNNNNNNNNNNNNNNNNNNNNNNNNNNNNNNNNNNNNNNNNNNNNNNNNNNNNNNNNNNNNNNNNNNNNNNNNNNNNNNNNNNNNNNNNNNNNNNNNNCUAACUUUCGUUAGUUCUUGUUGUUAUGCUCGCUCGUGUCUUUUUAUUUUAUUUUAUUUUUGUUUCUAUUCUUUUUUUGUACUUUGGUUUUUCUUUAUUCAUAUAACUUUUGUUUUCUUUGUUUUUUUUUCUUUUUUUCUUUUUUGUUUGUUUAUUCUCGGUUUUCACUAUUUUUUAUAUUUUCCUUUCUUUUCAUUGGUUUUCUUUGUUUAUUUAUUUUGUUUUCAUUCAUUUUUUUGGUUUUCUUUAUUCAUCUUUCUUUUUCACCGGUUUCCAUUGGAUUCUUUCUUUUUUAUGUGGUUUUCUUUAUGGGUUUCAUCAGUUUUCUUCGGAACCUUACGAUUGACCUUUUUUGGUUUUCUAUGUGUUGUUCGUAUCUUUUUCCUCGACUUUCUGUGUAGAUUUUACAUUUACAUUUAAAAUAUAUUUUUAUGCAUGUUAAACAUCUUGAAAAUACACAAUCAUCAUUGUAAAAUAGAUUAUUUUAAUUGUCUAUAUUUUUGUGUACACUGUUAACAUUUUUUAUUACAUUGGUUAACUUYWYUUUAUAGCAGGUUAAUUAAUUUUUUUUAACUAUUNNNNNNNNNNNNNNNNNNNNNNNNNNNNNNNNNNNNNNNNNNNNNNNNNNNNNNNNNNNNNNNNNNNNNNNNNNNNNNNNNNNNNNNNNNNNNNNNNNNNAUGUCUUUUAGAACCAUGGAAUACUUAAAUAGUCUAGUCAAUGGAUGGGAAGAGCCACUUACCUUAACUUGAUGCUUUCAAGGAGUAUGAGUGGUUCAACGUGGACUUUAAGGUGUGCGACCUUAAAAUUAGCUUCCCUGUGCCACAUGUAGUGCACACAAAAUCCAAAUGUUGUUAGGAUUUAGCAUCAUAAUAAUCAUAAAAUAUUGGAAUUUCCAAUAGGUCUGUUUUCAACCCAAUGUCUCGAUGACCAAGGCAAGUAUUCCAAGUUUGUCAUGUACACGACAUAUUGGAAAAACUAUCUUGGAUGCAACAUGUGCUACGUGUUUGUAGUAUGUGUAGUACAAUCGAGAUGAUACAUAGAGAAUGUGCUUGCCAUAUCCAUUGCAUAUGGUAAAGAGAAGGUAUUCCUCUUUGUUGUCAUUAUAAGUUUCACUAUAGAAACUAUUUUGAUGGACAUCUCUAUGGUUUAGUAGGGUACGAGUUAAACCGGGAAGAAAUAAAGCAUCCUCAAGUUACACGAGUACCCACAGGGAUAGUAAGUAUGACUCAAAUUGAUCCAACAAAUACCUCACUAUGUCUAGCAAUUUUAAAAUAUAUCCUUUCUCUUUAACGAUAGUGGAAAGUUUCACUUCCCCGAGUAUAGAGUUUGUGGUGCAUAUGUCCACAAGGCACACAGGGGAUAGGNNNNNNNNNNNNNNNNNNNNNNNNNNNNNNNNNNNNNNNNNNNNNNNNNNNNNNNNNNNNNNNNNNNNNNNNNNNNNNNNNNNNNNNNNNNNNNNNNNNNAUUGCCCAUAGUGUCUUCAUCAAGAAGUCCUCUACAGGAUUUUGCAUCAUUUCUAUGUAUGUUGAUGAUCUCAACAUCAUCGGCAGUGCACCAGACAUUGAUGAAGCAAGCAAUCACCUAAAGAUGGAAUUUGAGAUGAAGGAUUUGGGUAAAMCCAAUUUUUKCUUWGGKAUUCAACUUGAGMACCUUCCCUCARGAAUCAUGGUACACCAAGMUGCCUAUAUCCARAAAMUNUURGAGARAUUCAAUAUGGACAAAGACAAAUCCUAUCCAUCUAAACUCCUAUGGUGGUUCGAUCUCUAGACAUAGAGAAAGAUCCGUUCAGACCAAGGAAUGAUGGACAAGAGGUGUUGGGACCUGAAGUUCCAYAYYUCAGUGCAGUUGGAGCGCUUAUGUAUCUUGCAAAGCACAAGACCUGAUAUUGCAUUUGCAGUGAAUCUACUUGCUAGACACAGCGCAGCUCCCACCAAACGUCAUUGGUCUGGAGUGAAGAAUAUCUUUCGAUAUCUCCAAGGCACACAGGGGAUAGGNNNNNNNNNNNNNNNNNNNNNNNNNNNNNNNNNNNNNNNNNNNNNNNNNNNNNNNNNNNNNNNNNNNNNNNNNNNNNNNNNNNNNNNNNNNNNNNNNNNNGAUCCCGAUCACGAUCACAAUUCAGCAUUCUGGGUCGACGGCCUGGUUGCCUCGAGGCCAGCCCACUCCAGUGUCCGCGGCCACUAAGUAAUGCUUAGUUUUCCCUUUUAAUACUAGGCUUAUAUAUAUAACUUGGGCCCUUCAAAUUUUGGGCCCUGUGCGGGCUGCACAUCUGGCACCACUGUAGGCCCGGCCCUGGUUCAAGAGCAGGUCCUAAAGCCAAAUAAAGGGAUACAUCGAGUAGCGGAAACUCGUAAGGGCUAAGCGGUGCCCAUGCCAUCAAGCCUACACCGACAGGCAUUCUGACUCGGAAGCGUCCUAGAUUGCAGGUCCGUCUCCGACGGCGUACUCAUCGCCAAACUCCGGUCCUUCCAUGUCUGGUCGAAUAACAUAACCUAGUGGCAAGCCAAUGAGUACUUUGAAUAGUACUCGCAAACAAGCCCAAUAGACAUAAAUGACUAAUGCAGGGCAGUAACACGUGCAUCUUUAGUGGAAUGCGAUGAGGUAGGUAUAGNNNNNNNNNNNNNNNNNNNNNNNNNNNNNNNNNNNNNNNNNNNNNNNNNNNNNNNNNNNNNNNNNNNNNNNNNNNNNNNNNNNNNNNNNNNNNNNNNNNNGUAGCAACUUGUUUACUACUUCAUGAUCAGUACCAAGUCCUUGAAGCUCACCUAAGAGGACACAUAGAUGAUCAUAAGUAUCGUGGACCCAUUCAUUUCCGGUUCUAUUGAAAAGAUUGAGGCAGUUUUGGAGAGUCUCAAUGUGAUAGUCUUUCCGUGUGGAUACACCCUUGUUCACUUUCUCAAGUUUAUCCCAGAUUCUGUUUGAAUUUUCCAACCUUUGGUGUCAAAGGAAUUGCGGCUUUAAGAGAUGAUUACUGACACGUCUAUGUUGCAUCAUGAUUUCUUAUUAGUAUUUAUAUGAUUCUUGGUCAUUAUCCCACUUUAUGGUACAAUUCUUAUGUCUUUUCUCUCUGAAUUUGCAAGGCACACAGGGGAUAGGGAAAUUGCCGAAAACUGGAAUUUUGGACCUGAAAACCAAGAAAAAGGCUGAAAAUUCACUCGACUCCGAAUGACCGGAAACUUCACGAGGAAUGUUUGUGGAAUAUAUAUGAAUUUAUGGAGCAAAAUAUACCAAAGGGGGCCACCUGUUGGUGCCAAGCCAAUAGGACGCGCCGUGAUGGCUUGGGGCCAUCUCCGAGGCACUUCAGCCUCCCUCUUCUGCUAUAAGUUGGGUUUNACCUAGAAAAAAUAGGAAGUANNNNNNNNNNNNNNNNNNNNNNNNNNNNNNNNNNNNNNNNNNNNNNNNNNNNNNNNNNNNNNNNNNNNNNNNNNNNNNNNNNNNNNNNNNNNNNNNNNNNGACCCUUUUUAAUUCUUCAUACUGAUUAGGAUAUGUCUCUACCCAUUGUUCCCAUAGAACUUUUACAGAUUCUCCUAAAAAUGUUUCAAGAUAUGUUAACAUAUCUUCUACCUUAGUUCCUAUAUUAUACUGGUUUUGUAUAUAUUUUUGAACUAUUAAACCUUUCCAUAUGCUGAUUAUAUUCGGCCAAUCUAUAGGGUCAUGAGCUGCUAGGUUUAAAAUAGCGCCAUCAUUCUUAUAAUUUUGAAAUUGCACUGGCUUUUCAAAAUCUCUUCUUUUAGCACCCAUAUAUCUAUAUUGUCCAGGGAUAUAUGUAGGUUGAUAAUCAUCCUUUUCUGGAGGCCAUUGUCCAGCUGAUCUGGUAGGUCUCUCUCUCUCUCCUUCUUCUUUUACCGAAGACUCGCCAUAUCCCUUUCUUCUUUAUUACUUACUUUCUACUUCCUAUAGUCUUCCUAUUGYCUAUUGUACUUAAAUUUUGUACGUCCCUACAUAUCCUAUCUAGUGUAGUUAAUAAAAUCUACUAUCUGCCUACCCAAUCUAUUAUUAAUUUCANNNNNNNNNNNNNNNNNNNNNNNNNNNNNNNNNNNNNNNNNNNNNNNNNNNNNNNNNNNNNNNNNNNNNNNNNNNNNNNNNNNNNNNNNNNNNNNNNNNNAUCUACUACUAUUACUCCACACAUCGACCGACUCCUGCCUACAUCUAGAGUAUUAAUUUCAUUAAGAACAGAGUGACGCAUUAAGUAAGGUGACAUGAUCUAGAGGAAUAAACUCAAGCAAUAUGAUUAAAACCCCAUACUUUUAUCCUUGAUGGCAACAAUACAAUGCGUGCCUCGCUACCCCUACUUUGUCACUAGGUGAGGACACCGCAAGAUUGAACCCAAAACUAAGCACUUUUCCCAUUGCAAGAAUUACCAAUCUAGUUGCCCAAACCAAACCAAUAAUUGGAAGACACUUGCAAAGAUAUGAAAUCAUGCAUAUAAGAAUUCAGGAAAGACACAAAUAAUAUUCAUAGAUAAUCUGAACAUAAACUCACAAUUCAUCGGAUCUUGACAAACACACCGCAAAAGAGUAUUACAUCGGAUAGAUCUUCAUGAAGAUCAUGAAGAACAUGGUAUUGAAGAACAAAGAGAGAGAAUAAGCCAUCCAGAUACUAGCUAUGGACCCAUAGAGGUCUGUGGUAAACUACCCACGCAUGAUCAGAGAGGACAAUNNNNNNNNNNNNNNNNNNNNNNNNNNNNNNNNNNNNNNNNNNNNNNNNNNNNNNNNNNNNNNNNNNNNNNNNNNNNNNNNNNNNNNNNNNNNNNNNNNNNCUUUGUGGUUUAUAAUAUUUGUUUUUCCGAUGCCUUUCUUCUCCAUACGUAAGCGGUAUUUGGACAAUGUUAUUGCAGAAAUUGUAAUCUGACUUCUUCAUAGACCUUUGGGCUUGUAUGCCUGUACAUACCUUUCUUAAUUGUUUAAAAACAAAUGUUAUGGCUUGAGAUAUAUUUACCACGUUUCCACCUGUUUCUUUUUUAUAUUCUUCAAAUAUUAUAGAUCCUAGAGGGUCUGGCAACUUAUUAAAAUAUCUUUCUACAACACCUACAUUAAACCCUUGCUUCGCAGUGGUAGCAUUAUAUAAAUAAUGUUGAGAGAAUUCUUUUAUUCCUUUCCAGCUAGUUAAUGUUAGUUUUUCUAUUUCUCUCAACCUUUCGUUUUGUAGUGAGGUAUAUCCUAAUUCCGGGUCUUCUGCGAUGAUCAUAUUUGAAAUAACAUUUGCAAAGUUAUUAGGGUUACUUCCGACCCUUUUUAAUUCUUCAUACUGAUUAGGAUAUGUCUCUACCCAUUGUUCCCAUAGAACUUUUACAGAUUCUCCUAAAAAUGUUUCAAGAUAUGUUAACAUAUCUUCUACCUUAGUUCCUAUAUUAUACUGGUUUUGUAUAUAUUUUUGAACUAUUAAACCUUUCCAUAUGCUGAUUAUAUUCGGCCAAUCUAUAGGGUCAUGAGCUGCUAGGUUUAAAAUAGCGCCAUCAUUCUUAUAAUUUUGAAAUUGCACUGGCUUUUCAAAAUCUCUUCUUUUAGCACCCAUAUAUCUAUAUUGUCCAGGGAUAUAUGUAGGUUGAUAAUCAUCCUUUUCUGGAGGCCAUUGUCCAGCUGAUCUGGUAGGUCUCUCUCUCUCUCCUUCUUCUUUUACCGAAGACUCGCCAUACUCCCUUUCUUCUUUUAUUACUACUUUCUACUUCCAUAGCUUCCAUUGCUAUUGUACUAAAUUUUGUACGUCCCACAUCAUCUAGUGAGUUAAUAAAAUCACUAUCUGCCUACCCAAUCUAUUAUUAAUUUUCAUCUUCUAACCACAUAUNUUUUACUAAUUCCUUCUUCCUCUCUAUAACUUUCUAGUAAUAACUUAUUAUUUAUACUCCUAUGUCUCUUCUUNNNNNNNNNNNNNNNNNNNNNNNNNNNNNNNNNNNNNNNNNNNNNNNNNNNNNNNNNNNNNNNNNNNNNNNNNNNNNNNNNNNNNNNNNNNNNNNNNNNNUAGCCUCCCCACGGCCAAUCAAACAUUUUCCCACAAAUAGUGAGAAGUACUGAAGCACAGGAAAAUGUAUGCUUGCAAUUCUAGCGCGAGACACUCCUCUCUCCUCUCCAACAGCAAUAGAACCAAUGAAAUCUUCCAAGUCCCAUGGACGAGGGUCACGGAUAUCCCCAACAUAAGGUAAUUUGCAUACAUUGUAAAAAUCCUGCAGCGUCAUGCACUGGGGAACAUCGUAUAUCAUGAACUCAACCAUGGGAGGAUUCUUCCUCGGAUAAAAGUUGAAGCUUUGAUCGAAAAUAUUGGUGAGGAGGAGAUAUUGUGGGCACUUAUCUUCAACGAACGCAGUAAGACCUGCGUUCUCCACCAAGUAAUAAAAGUCUUCAUAAAGUCCGGCGGCACGCAAAAUUCAUCACUUGGCCACUCGCACGCUCGAACUUCUGCGACUCGAAGGACUACGUACUUGGGGUGGUUCUUCUCAUCCUCCUUGUGAUUAUGGCUUGAAGAGCCUCUCAAGAACCUCCUCAUAUUUUCCUUUUCCUAGCUCUGAAAAAUUCUAAAAUUUUUGGAGACUUCAAAAGAAAAGUGAACAAGGAUCAACCCAACUUGUAGCAACUACUCCUACUAGUGCCUAGAGACCGUAUCAUGUGCUAAAACUACUUAGGACCAUCUAAAAUCAACUUUUAUAUCUCAAGAACAGGGUAACCAAGGUAGCAAAAAUUCGCGAAGGAUAAAGCACUAGAGCAAAAACUAAUUGGACCAAUCGAGGAGUCACUUACCAAGGAGUAAUUUCCCCAAAACAGUUCGGAGAAUGGUGCUUUGAGCAAAGAGAUAGAAAAUCACAGCCAAAUGAGCAAGAACACGGGUUUGAGAUGCAAAACAAUUUUUUCUGGAGGUGGAAGAAGAGGCUGGGAGCUGGAAUGAGUGGAGGGGGUGCCUGUGGGCCCCACAAGCUUGCACCCCGCCACCAGGGGGUAGGUGGCGGUGGGGGGCUCGUGGCCCACUGGUCAGGCCCCCUAGCCAGCUCUCAGGCCCAGAAAUUUUCAAAAAUUCCAGACAAAAUCAUACUAAAUUUUCAGGACCAUCGAAGAACUUUUAUUUCGAGGUAUUUUUCUCCGGUACGCUAAAACAGAAAACAAGGAAAGCUAAACUAAUUCCAUCAUUUUUCUUCUAAGCAAAAGAAAAUGAAGACCCUCAAACCAGAGGUAUGUGACUCUCUGAUUCAUCUGUUUCAUGGUCAUCGAAAGAAAUUCGUCAAUGGGGUUGAUCAAGUCCUUAUGACAAAACUUUCUUGAAUCGCAAGAGAGAACGGAGAAUUUUCGAAUAGCCACUAAGUCACCUCAAUGGGGAUAUAAAUCUCCCCAACCAGCAAAUCAUACUUCAUCUUGAAGCGAGGAAUAGGGCAUUCAAAGCUCCCAAUGAGAAUCGAUGAAGUCUUUUCAAUAGCAUUGAUGCAAUGUACUGGGUACCGUUUCUUCAGAAAGUGCACUGUGUGCUCAUUACCGUUGACGUGGAAGGUGACAUUGCCUUUGUUGCAAUCUAUAAUAGCCCCUGCAGUGUUUAAAAAGGGUCUUCCGAGGAUGAUAGCCAUGGCAUCGUCCUCGGGAAUAUCAUAUAUAACAAAGUCUGUUAAGAUAGUGGUAUUAGCAACCACAACAGGCACAUCCUCGCAAACACCGAUAGGGAAAGCAGUUGAUUUGUCGGCCAUUUGCAGAGAAAUUUCAGUGGGUGUCAACUUAUCCAACUCAAGUUUAUGAUAAAGAGAAAGCGGCAUAACACUAACACCAGCUCCAAGGUCACAUAAGGCAGUUCUUAUGUAGUUUCCUUUAAUGGAGCAAGGUAUAGUGGGCACUCCGGGAUCACCAAGUUUCUUAGGAGUUCCACCUUUAAAAGUGUAGUUGGCAAGCAUGGUGGAGAUCUCAAGAUCUGGUAUCUUCCGUUUAUUAGUCACGAUAUCUUUCAUGUACUUGGCAUACGGAGACAUCUUGAGCAUAUCAGUUAACCGCAUCUGCAUAAAGACGGGUCUUAUCAUCUCAACGAAGCGCUCAAAAUCCUCAUCAUCCCUUUUCUUGGAUGGCUUAGGAGGAAAGGGCAUAGGUCUCUGAACCCAUGGCUCUCUUUCUUUACCAUGCUUCCUAGCAGUAAAGUCAUUCUUGUCGUAUCUCUUAGGUUGUGGAUUAUCAGGAUUAAUCGUAGGUUCAAUCUCCACAUUCUCAUCAUGGCUAGGUUGAGCAUUAUUAUGAACAUCAUUGUCCAUAUUGUCUCCAGGUUCAUGUUCAUCACCUGAUUGUGUUUCUGCAUCAGACGCAAAAAUAUCAUUAGGUUCUUCAGGUGUGAUAGUAUUUGGUGAACUGGCGUGCAGGUUUCUAUCAUCCUUCUUCUUCUCCUUAGGAUGACUAGGUGUAUUAGCAUUGAUUCCUUGAGAAUCUUGAUCAAUUCUCUUAGGAUGACCUUCAGGAUACAAAGGUUCCUGAGUCAUUUUUCCUCCUCUAGUAAUGACUCUGACAGAGUUGUCAUUUAAUUCAUUGAGCAGGUCAUUCUGAGCUUUAAGUACUUGUUCUACCUGAGUAGUAAUCAUAGAGGCAUGUUUACUCAGAACCUUCAGAGCAUUGAUAUUUCUGUCUACACAAGCACUUAGAUGGCUAAGCAUACGAGCACUUUGUUCCAAAUGUCUGCUAACAUAAUCAUUGAAACUCUGUUGUUUGGCAACAAAGUUGUCAAAUUCAUCAAAGCAUAGGCUAGCAGGUUUAUCAAAAGGAAUAUUACUCUCAUCAAACCUAUGCAGAAAAUUCACUUCUACUACCUGUAUCGGGUUAUCGAGACCAUGGAUCUCUUCGAUAGGUGGUAGAUUUUUGACAUCUUCAGAUCUAAUGCCUUUCUCUUGCAUAGAUUUCUUGGCUUCUUGCAUAUCUUCGGGACUGAGGAAUAGAAUACCUCUUUUCUUAGGAGUUGGUUUAGGAGGUGGUUCGGGAAUAGUCCAAGCAUUAUCGUUGAUCAAGAGGUUAUUCAGUAGGGUCUCAGCUUGUUCUACAGUUCGUUCCCUAAAAACACAACCGACACAACUAUCUAGGUGGUCUCUAGAGGCAUCGGUAAGUCCGUUAUAGAGGAUAUCAAGUAUCUCGUUCUUCUUAAGAGGGUGAUCAGGCAAAGCAUUCUGUAGCUGGACGAGCCUCCCCCAAGCUUGUGGAAGACUCUCUUCUUGGAGUUGAGCAAAGUUGUAUAUUUCCUGCAAGGCAGCUUGCUUCUUAUGGGCAGGGAAAUAUUUCUCAUAGAAGUAAUAGACCAUCUCCUGGGGACUACGCACACAUCCAGGAGCAAGAGAGGUGAACAGGCUUUAGCAUCAUCCUUUAGAGAGAAAGGAAACAGCUUAAGGAUAUAGUAGUGCGGAUCUUCUCCUCAUUAGUGAAAAGGUUGGCUAUUUCGGAUAGUUUGGCAAGAUGGGCUAUGACCGUCUCAGACUCAUAACCGUGAAAAGGAUCAGAUUCAACUAGAGAGAUUAUCUCAGGGUCGACAGAGAAUUCAUAAUCCUUAUCGGUGACAAAGAUAGGCGAAGUGGCAAACUUCGAAUCAUUUCUCAUCCUAACUUCCCGAGAUUUUUCCUUCACUUGAGAAUUAAUUUCUCAGCGUCAUAGGCAUCCUUACACGCAAGAAAAUCCUCAGAUAUCUCUCCCUCCAUAACGUAACCCUCAGGAAUAUCAGGCAAUUCAUAUCUAGGAGAGCUAGAUCUAGCAGGAGCAAAAGCAAGUUCUAUCUCAAUAGCAUCGGCAGUUUUAGAAGCAUCACGAGCAUUGGCAGUAACUCUAGCAAUAUGAGCAUCAAGGAACACUCCUAGUGGAACAGGCAAAGGAGCAUAUCUAGCAGUAUCACGCAUAGCAUCAUCUGGCAAAAUAGCAUCUCUAGCAUCAUCAGGCAAAGAAGUAUCAAUCAUAGCAUCUCUAGCAGUAUCAGGCAUAGUAUCAAGCAUAGUAUCAUCAGGCAUAGUAUCAAGCAUAGCAUCUCUAGCAGUAGUAUCACAAGCAUCAUCAAGCACAGGCGACAUAUCAAGAUAUCUAGCAGGAGGUGAUGUCGCAAACUUACUCAUAACUGAAGGUGAAUCAAGUGCAGAGCUAGAUGACAAUUCCUUACCUCCCCUCAUAGAUGAGGGCAAGACUUUGGUCUUCGGAUCCUUCAGAUUCUUCAUAGUGAUCAGCAAAUAUAAAUCCCAAGUGACUCAGAGAAUAUAGCAAUACCUCCUCGGCAACGGCGCCAGAAAAAUGCUGACGUAAGCUGUGCUUCCCUGGCAGUGGCUCUAGAAAAGUGAUGAUCCUGCAAUCUCUAGUGUUAGCUAGACGAAUGCUUAUAACAACUAACCUUCUCCUGCAACGGCACCAGAAGAAUGUUGAUAGCACUCCCGAGUAAUGAGACUAGAAGAAUGUUGUUGAUGGCCCACCAGCGCAUGGGUUUGCAGCAGUUUUCGAGUGUAGAGUAUUCGACCCAAUUUGUAGAUAAGCCAGUCAGGAGGUGAGAGUAUACUCUCGAGUAUUAGCAGCUGAAUUUGUCAGAUUCAACCACACCUGAAAGAUUAGUAUCUGCAAGCAUAGUAGUAACAGCAAAGUAACGAGUAACGGCAGUGUAACAAGCAAUAGAAGUGGCAAGGAACAACAGUAGUGACAGCAGUAGCAAGUAGCAACAGUAGCAAGCGAUAGUAGUAGCAACAGUAGCAGCAUAGCAAGACAAGUAACAGCAGUAGCAACAGUAGUAGCAGCAGCAGAGCAAGACAAGUAACAGCAGUAGCAAUAGUCGUAGCAGCAGAGCAAGACAAGUAACAGCAGUAGCAACAGUAGUAGCAGCAGGAGGACAAACUCGUAGGCAAUGGGUCGGUGAUUUGUUUGGAAGCAACAGUAGUACAAACUCAUAGGCAAUGGGUCGGUGAUUUGCUUGGAUGGUAUUCAUCAUGCAACAGCUAUAACACGGAGAGAUAUGUGGCUAGCUCCCGUUCAUCAAUGUGAUGUAGGCAUGCAUUCCGUGUGUCGUCAUACGUGCUUAGGGAAAAGAACUUGCAUGACAUCUAUUGUCCAUCCCUCCCGUGGCAGCGGGGUCCAAAAGGAAACUACAGGAUAUUAAGGUUCUCCUUUUAAUAAAGAACCGGACCAACGCAUUAGCACUUGGUGAACACAUGAACUCCUUAAACUAUGGUCAUCACCGGGAGUGGUUCCGGUUAUUGUCACUCCGGGGGUGCCGGAUCAUAACACAUAGUAGGUAACUACAACUUGCAAGAUCGGAUCUAAAACACACAUAAAUUGGUGGCAACAUGAUAAUUUCAGAGCUGAAAUCAUGGUACUCGGGCCUUAGUGACAAGCAUUAAGCAUGGCAAAGUAGUAGCAACAUCAAAUCUCAGAACAUAGUGGAUACUAGGGAUCAAUCACCAUCAAAACUAACUCGAUUACAUGAUAGAUCUCAUCCUACUCAUCACCGCCCAGCGACCCUACGAAUAGAUUACUCAGGAACGACGAAGAGCUUCAUGGAAUUGGAGAGGGAAGAAGGUUGAUGAUGACGAUGGCGAAGAUUUCCCCUCUCCGGAGCCCAAGACAGACUCCAGAUCUGCCCUCCAGAUGAAGAGCAGGUGGUGGCGGCGCCUCCGUAUCGAAAACGCGACGAAAACUUCUCUUUUUAUUUUUUCUGGGACGAAAGACAACUUAUAGAGCUGGAGUUGGGGGCGGCAGGUGCCUGUGGGCCCCACAAGCCUGCCCACCACCACCAGGGGGUGGUGGCGGGGCAGGGGCGUGUGUCCCACUGGCCCACCCCCUGAGGUGAAUCCUGGCGCAGGUAAUUUUGAUAUUUUCCAAAACUGCUCCCCGUAAAUUUUCAGGAUGUUUGGAGAACUUUGAUUUCUGCACAAAAAUAACACCAAGGCAAUUUUGCUGAAAAUAGCGUCUGUCCAGGUUAGUUCCAUUCAAACCAUGCAAAUUAUAGUCCAAAACAAGGGCAAAAGAGUUUGGAAAAGUAGAUACGUUGGAGACGUAUCUCCCGGCAACCCUGGAGUGACAAUAGCCAGAACCACUCCCGGAGAUGAGCACAGUAUGAGGAAUUCAUGUAUUCACCGCAUGUUAAUGCGUUGGUCUGGUUCUUUAUUAAAAGGAGAACCUUAAUAUCCUGUAGUUUCCAUUAGGACCCCGCUGCCACGGGAGGGAUGGACAAUAGAUGUCAUGCAAGUUCUUUUCCCUAAGCACGUAUGACUAUAUACGGAAUACAUGCCUACAUUAGAUUGACGAACGGGAGCUAGUUACAUAUCUCUCCGUGUUAUAGUUGUUACAUGAUGAAUCACACCCGUCAUACUCAUUCAUCACCAAUCCACUGCCUACGAGUCUUCUACUACUGGUCCUUGCUACGUUACUUUGUCUAGGCUUGUCGCUUGCUACAAAGGGAUUGGGCCACUUUGCUACUACCGUUACUCUGCUGCUGCUGCUACUGCUAUUCCUUGCUACUUCGCUGUUACUUGUUGCAAGAUCCUUUUUCGUCACCGUUGUCGUGGAAGAGUAGUUCCCCGUCCACGUGCAACUUACUCGCGCCAUUGAUACAACAGUUAGGAAUAGUCUGCCGUCAACAGAUCGUUUCUGACACCGUUGCUAUCAUACUACUUUGCUACUGAUACUUUACUUGCAGACACUAAUCUUUCUGGUGUGGUUGAAUCUGACAAACUCAGUUGCUAAUACUUGAGAAUAUUCUUUAGCCUCCCCUUGUGAGCGAAUCAAUAAAUUUGGGUUGAAUACUCUACCCUCGAAAACUGUUGCGAUCCCCUACACUUGUGGGUUAUCAUUGAACCUUUGGGAAUUUUAUCAAAACCAAAAGAAGACCCGGUGUUUGAUCUCAAACCUCUUCCGAGUAUUCUCAAGUAUGCUUAUUUCGAUGAAAAGAAAGUAUAUCCUGUUAUUAUCAAUUCUAACCUUUCAGGAUAUGAAGAAGAGCGAUUAUUGGAAGUCCUUCGUAAACACCGAGGUGCUAUUGGGUAUACCCUUGAUGAUCUUAAGGGGAUUAGUGCAUCUAUUUGUCAGCAUACUAUCAAUCUUGAGCCUGAUGCUAAACCGGUUGUUGAUCAUCAACGACGGUUAAACUGGAAGACCGAAAUCCUCAAGCUUCUAGCCGCAGGUAUUAUCUACCCUAUAUAUCAUAGUCAGUGGGUAAGUCCAGUACAUUGUGUUCCCAAGAAAGGAGGUACGACUGUGGUUCCUAAUGAUAAGAAUGAACUAAUACCUCAAAGAAUUAUUAUUGGAUAUAGAAUGUGUAUUGAUUACAAGAAGGUGAACAAGGCAACCAGGAAGGACCACUACCCGUUGCCGUUCAUCGACCCAAUGCUUGAAAGGGUAUCCAAAAACACUCACUUUUGCUAUCUUGAUGGGAACUCUGGCUUCUCUCAAAUUCAUGUUAAUACUGCCGAUCAAGAGAAGACCACGUUUACUCGUCCCUUUGGUACUUAUGCUUAUACACGUAUGCCUUUUGGUUUAUGCAAUGCUCCUGUUACUUUUCAAAGGUGUAUGUCCGCUAUCUUUCAUGGUUUUUGUGAGGAAAUUGUGGAGGUCUUCAUGGACGAUUUCUCCGUCUAUGGAACCUCUUUUGACCAUUGUCUCCGCAACCUUAAUAAAGUUUUGCAAAGAUGUGAGGAGACGAAUUUGGUACUCAACUGGGAGAAGUGUCACUUCAUGGUCAAUGAGGGAAUUGUUCUUGGCCACAAGAUUUCAGAAAAAGGAAUCGAGGUGGACAGGGCAAAGGUUGAAGCAAUGUAGAGAAUGCCUUAUCCAAAAGACAUCAGAGGUAUUCGUAGUUUCCUCGGUCAUGAUGUUAUCUAUAGGAGAUUUAUUAGAGACUUUUCUAAAACUUCGAAACCCCUUACUAAUCUUCUCCAGAAAGAUAUUCCUUUUGUGUUUGAUGAAGAUUGUAAGGAAGCCUUCGAAUUUCUUAAGAAAACCUUGAUAACCGCCCCUAUAGUCCAACCACCUGAUUGGAAUUUGCCAUUUGAAAUCAUGUAUGAUGCUAGUGAUUUUGAUGUUGGAGUUGUGUUAGGACAAAGGGCUGAUAAGAAACUGAAUGUUAUUCAUUAUGCUAGCAAAACCCUUGACACUGCUCAAAAGAAUUACGCUACUACUGAGAAAGAAUUUUUAGCGGUAGUGUUUGCUUGUGAUAAGUUUAGGCCUUACAUUGUUGAUUCUAAAGUCAUCAUUCAUACUGAUCAUGCUGCUAUUAAGUAUCUUAUGGAAAAGAAGGAUGCCAAACCAAGGCUUAUCAGAUGGGUCCUUCUUCUUCAAGAAUUUGAUUUGCAAAUUGUUGAUAGGAAAGGACCAGACAACCAUGCAGAAGACAACCUUUCCAGGAUGGAGGACAUACCACACGAUCCCAUUCCAGUCAACGAUAGUUUUCCUGACGAACAGUUAGUUGUUUUACAGGUGAAAUCUAAUUCGGAUCCAUGGUAUGCAUAUUAUGAUAACUUUAUUGUUGCAAAGUUUUUGCCUCUAGGUUUAACAUUCCAGUAGCGGAAGAAGUUCUUCCACGACUUGAGGUAUUACUUUUGGGAUGACCCGCAUCUUUUUAGAGAAGGUGCGGAUGGAAUUGUGAGGACAUGCAUACCGGAGCAUGAGCAGAAGAAUAUCUUGAGACAAUGCCAUAGCAGUCCUUAUGGAGGACAUAAUGCCGGUGAGAGGACCGCACACAAGGUUCUCCAAUCAGGUUUUUAUUGGCCUACUCUCUUUAAAGAUGCUAGAAAUUACGUUUUAUCCUGUGAUAAGUGCCAGAGAGUUGGUAAUAUUACUAGGAGGAAUGAGAUGCAUAUGAAUUAUUCACUAGUCAUUGAGCCUUUUGAUUGCUGGGGUUUUGAUUUUAUGGGUCCUUUCCCUCCUUCACACAAGUACACUCACAUCUUAGUAGCUGUAGAUUAUGUGACCAAGUGGGUUGAAGCAAUCCCCACCGAAAGUGUUGAUCACAAGACAUCUUUGGAAAUGCUCAAGGAUGUAAUCUUCCCUAGGUUUGGUGUACCUAGGUACCUCAUGACCGACGGAGGAUCACAUUUUACACACGGUGCUUUUAGAAAAUCUCUAGCCAAAUAUGAUGUUAAUCAUAGAAUUGCUUCACCUUACCACCCUCAAACAAGUGGGCAAGUUGAGCUCACAAAUAGAGAGAUCAAGUUGAUCUUGCAAAAGACAGUGAACAGUUCUAGAAAGGACUAUUCCAAUAAGCUAGAAGAUGUCUUGUGGGCAUAUAGAACUUCUUACAAAAAUCCCAUGGGGAUGUCUCCGUAUAAGAUGGUUUAUGGCAAGGCAUGCCAUCUAGCUCUAGAGUUAGAACAGAAAGCUUUCUGGGCUGUUAGAGAGCUUAAUGUUGAUCCAAAGCUUGCUAGUGAAAAGCGUCUCAUGAACCUGACUUCUCUAGAUGAGUGGAGAAGUGAAGCUUAUGAGAGCGCAAAAAUGUUCAAACAAAAGGUAAAGAAGUGUCAUGACAAGAUAAUUUUGAAACGUGAAUUUAAUGUUGGUGACAAAGUUUUGUUGUAUAGAUCUUAUAUCAGGCUUUCUCCAGGUAAAUUACUUUCCAAGUGGGAAGGACCGUACCAUAUCAAAGAAGUCCACCGCUCCGGUGCAAUCAAUAUUAAUAAUUUUGAAGGUACAAAACCACAUGUUGUGAAUGGGCCAAGACUCAAGCAUUACAUGGCUGGAUACCCCAUCAAUGUAGAGGUGGAUGUGAUACAGGUAGCCUCUCACGAAGAACAUAUUGCAACACUGUAUCAGACACCUGCAGAAGCAGAAUAAGAAAAGGUAUGAGAUACGGUAAGGAAACUUUGCGAACAUCAAUAAAAGUUCUGUAUUAUGUGUUUUUGCAAAAUUAGAAAAAAUAUGAGCCGGAGCAGAGUCGGAGAGGAGCUCUAGGUUACCCAGGCGACCUGCUAGCACGGGCUAGCCCCUAGCCGCGCCAGGAGGCCCCCUGGACCACCCGGAGUUCGUCUCCGACCCUACUUUGGGUUGUUACCUUCCUUUUGGUGUAGAAAUUUUUCUUAUAUACUUUCCCGGAUCGUCCCAGCUUUGUAUCUUGCGAUUCCGUGUGUUUUCUCUUUCGACCUUUUUCUGCCAGGCUAAGAAGCUAUUGUUCGAGAUGUCUUCUUGCGACUCGAGCGGGGAAGAGUACACAGGUCGUCGUCUCUGCCGCGUCGAGCAGGAUAUCAACCAAGGGAAUGUCACCGGAUGGGCUACCAAUGAAGAGAUAGCCGCAAGACAAGCGGAGAUGGAGUGCUUCGUGAGAGAGGAAGUCAAGAUGGUCACCACCCAGCAAGAAGGAGAUCCUUCAUCACGAGGAUCCAGCUCCAACAACCCCAUCCUUGUGGGGUUUAUUAACCCUCAACAUGAUCUUUCUCUGAACCUUCCAGAAACUGCCCCUCCACUAGGAGCUCCACCUGUGUCAUCUACUAUAUCUGAAGCUUACAGAAUCACUAACCAAUUCUCUGAAGACCUUCGUGUGCUUAAAGUAUAGGUGGCCAUGUUGGAAGCUGAAAGCAAAACCCUUCGGUGCAUAAUAGCGGACUUGAAGAACAACAAGUAGGAUGAAAAGUGAAAUUUUCAUGGGUAAUGGCAUUUUCUUAGCUUGUCCCAAGCUUGGGGGAGUGCCCGGUAUCUUUAUUUUUUAUCCUUUACUUUUUAUGGUCAAGUUUAGUGUCGUAUCAUGUCUAGGGAAGUUAUCUUAUGAAAUAGGUGUUUGCAUUAAGGUCUAUCACUCCUUUGUGGAGAGCUUGUAUCCGUGAGCGUGCAGUGUCUAUGAUGGAAUAUUAAUGAGAAAGCUAUUGGUUUCUUUGUUGCACUUGGUAUCCUCUUCAUGCAAUCGAUCUUAUAUGGUGAUUCUUAUGCGAGUAUUUAUCUUACACAUCAGGUAUGGCUUUGAAAACUUUAUUUAAUCUUUGCAAACAUAGCAUUGGUCAUAACAACAAGCAAGAGUUUUUCUAGUAGCGACUUAGCCAAAACCUUAUGUUCUUAUGCUUGAAGUGUUAUGCUGACAAGGAAGACAACUUGAUGUUUUAUGCCAAUUCUUUAUGUAAAACUUUAUAUUGUUUUGCAUCCAAGUCAACAUUAUUUGUCUGCUCUUAAAAGCCUUUGCUAGCUAACCCUUGCACUAAGCGGGAAUACUGCUUGUGCAUCCAUACCCUGAAACCUCAACCUUCUCAAGAGUCCACCAUAUCUUCCGUAUACGUGGUAUUUCACCGCUACUCCUAAAGUAUAUUACUCAUGUGCUAUCUUUAAACCUUCAAAUAUUACUCCCUAUUUUGUGCCCCUGCUUUAGCUCACGAGGAAGUAGUAGGAAUUCUUGAUCUUCUCAUACUUGACAAGUUUUAUCCUGGGUUUGCAUGUUUAAUCUGCAAACCCCUAAUACCACAAGGGACUGGCAUGAGCGCGCCCAGCUCGUAAAAGAUAAUAACAACAAACAAAACCUCCUUCAUGCUUUGUUGAUGAGAAAACAGAAAACUUUGGUAGUGAUAAACAAAGGAGACUAAGGGGAUGUGAUCGUCCCCACUUUGGGAGCCGUUCCUCAAAACUUGUCCAGCAUGAGAAGUAUUGGGCUAUCUACUAGCAUUGGUUGACAAAUCAUGCACCUCUCAAAAGCUUGUUCUACAAUCUUGUUGAUUUCAAAAUCUCUAAAAAUCUCUAGCACAUGAGUUUUCCCUACUUCCCUAUGCGAAGGGCCAAUCUUUUACUUUUAUGUUGAGUCAGUAAACCUACUUCUUUCUAUCCUGAAAAGAGCAGACACGUUAUGUUGACAAAGAUGCAUGCAUUUAUAUUGAGAAUUGAGAAUUCCCAUAUCAAACCUUUGUUGACAUUAUCAUUAAAAUAAGUGAGAUGUUUGUUAGGACUAGCUAAAGCAAACAUCUUCUUUUGUGUUAGCAUUUUCACUUCUUGACUAAUAACAUGUUCUUUCAAAAAGAUUCAAUUGAUCUCAUCAAAAUAUAACAGGUAGAGCAAAAGUUAUUAGUUAUUAGUUGUUCUUUGACCAAGGACAUGUUUGCUAUGGUUUGAUGAGUUUUCUUAGCUCUACUUUUGAUUGUGAUUGAUACUACUCUUUCAUAAGGGCCUUAUGAGUUGAGAUUGUUGUUAAGGAUGGUUGAGUUUAGUAGAGAAAUUAUGAUGCUUCUUGUCCGUAUUUCUAUUUAUCGACACUUCACUCUCUAAACUUGUGGACAGGUUUAGCGAGCUCAGUAUUCGCUUGGGGACAAGCGAGGUCUAAUCUUGGGGGAGUUGAUACGUCCAAAAUGCAUCACUAUUUUGUAUCAUAAUUUGUCUCUAUUCAUUGAUAUAUUUCACUUUAUGAUGGUGUACUUAUAGUGUUUUGGCUUAUUUUACACAGCUUGCAACUUUCCAGUGCCGAAACAGCAGACGCGGGAUUCAACGGAGAAAAUAGCACGAAGAGCUGCAAUAUCAGAACAUCUCCAAUUGUGAUGAAUUUUGAGGGAAGAAGUUUCCGAACAGGUCCCGAAGACAAACCAAAGAAGGGCCGGAGGGGGGCACACGUCACCCAGGCGACCUGCUGCCCCCCCCCCUAGGCCGCACCAAGAGACCGCUUGGGUGAUGGGCCCCGCCUCCGGUGCUCUCCUUUGGCUUAUAUGUUCCUCUUGACCUAGAAGUUCCGGGGACAGAAGAGUUUUCGCGAUUCCGCCGCCACUCCGUGGCGGAAACCUACACAGAAGAAAAGACCUUUCCGGCGGGCAGAUUCCGUCGGGGAGAACUCCUCCCGGAAGGGGAGAUCGUCCUCAUCGUCAUCACCAUCGUCACGGGCAUCAUCGAGAUCAUCAUCACCAUCAUCACCAAAAUCAGCACCAUCUCCACCUUCAUCCCAUCUACUUCACCAUUGCAAUCAGAGUUGUACCUUGCACUAUUCAUCCCCUCUACUCUACCGGUGUUGAUUACUCUUUUGUGGUGAAUGCUAUUGAGUUUUGUUGGAGGAUUAUUGUUAUGACCAGAUUGUUAAUCAUAUUUUCAUCACCUCUGAUCAUGAUCUCUUUUAUGUCUUGUGAGUAGUUCCGUUAGUUCUUGAGGUCAUGGGAAAAGUCUAGAUGGUAGUAGUCAUAUGAUGUUGAACUAAUAUGUGUUGAUUAAUAUUUAAGUUAUGGUGUUAUUCUUCUAGUGGUGUUAUGCGAACGUCGACUACAUAACACUUCAUCUUUUUAAGGACCUAGGGGAAUGCAUCGUGUAUAAAGAAUGCUUAUGGUGGGUUGCCGGAGUGACAGAAACCUGAACCCCAGUUCGCAUACUUUUGCAUGAGUAUUGGAUCCUAAAGCUUAUUGCUAUGGUUAGGCUUAGCCUUAAUUUCUCUCUUGUAUUUGUGGAUGCUUGCAAGAGAAAUUAAUCAUAAGAGUGUACUUGUCUUAGCCUAGAAGGUGCACUAGUUAAGAUCCACCCACAUAACACUUAUCAAUACAAAACAUAGUACUAGACAGAGUAUGGCGAAAGCACUUGACUAGCUCUCCCGUGUGUCCUCAGGAACGCCUUAGUCUUUAUAAGUUUAGUCCCUCGACUUAUCCUUUGUGUUUAAAAGGAUUGAGCCACUUUCUGCACCUCAACACGAUUUACUUUACUUGCAUUUAUUUCCUUGUUGCUUGUACUAGAAAACCCAUAAAAAGUUACCUUUCAGUACUUAUAGUUAUUCCUUGCUCAAGAUCACUUGUCAAUACCUUCUGCUCCUCGUUGGGUUCGACACUCUUACUUAUCGGAAAGGCUAUGAUAGAUCCCCUACACUUGUGGGUCAUCAAGAGGCUGGACACUUCGCCCGACAAUGCCCAAAGGCCAGGAAUGGUGCAACUAAAGCUAACCCUUCCAGAUUUGACCCAGCACCAAAGCGCAACAACUUCAACCCCAACAACAAUCACGGGAAGGGUCAUGUAAAUCUUGUCGCCAAAGAAGAUGCUAUGAACGUGCCUGAAAUAGUGCUCGGUAAGUUUCCUAUCAACAAAAUUCCUGCCAUGGUUUUGUUUGAUUCUGGAGCUUCCCAUUCGUUCAUUUCGGAAAAAUUGUUUCAAAACACAACUUUUCAACCCUCCCCUUGGAAAAUUCGAUGACUAUCAAGACCCGGAAAAUUCAAUGACUAUCAAGAUUACACAAAAAUAUUGCUAGGACGUUGCUAUUGAGAUCGAAGACUCGACGUUUUGGGCAAAUCUCAUUGUGAUCAAAAGCAACAAUGUGGAUAUUAUUCUGGGAAUGGACUAGCUAAAUACCAACAAGGGAUUUAUUGACUACUUCAACCGAAUAGUCACACUCACCCACUAUAAGGGUAAAAGAGUGAAAGUUGCAGCUUAAAGAAGGGGAAAUCGGACAAAGCACAACUAAAUCAGAUGGAAGCUACUGAGUUGAAGGACAUCCCAGUGGUAUGUGAAUUUCCGGAUGUAUGUCUUGACGAACUACGAGGCUUGCCACCAGACCAGGAAAUAGAAUUUGUCAUUGAACUUGCACCUUGCACCGCCCCAAUAUACAAAAGUCGUACUGCAUGGCACCUACCGAGUUAGUCAAACUCAAGAAGCAAAUAAAAGAACUGUUGGACAAAGGAUACAUCAGACCAAGCUCUUCACGUUCGGGAUCACCAAUAUUAUUUGCCAAAAAGAGAGAUGGGACGCUAAGACUUUGCAUCGAUUAUCGAGCCCUCAAAAUGGCCACCAUCAAGAACAAAUAUCCACUACCCAGGAUAAAUGAUUUGUUUGAUCAAUUAGCACAAGAAAGGGUAUUUUUGAAGAUCAAUUUGCGGUCAGGGUAUUAUCAGCUUAAGAUACGUUCAGAAGACAUUCCAAAGACAACAUUUAUGUCACGAUAUGGAUUGUAAGAGUUUACGGUAAUGCCUUUCGGACUAACAAACGCACCAGCUUACUUCGUGCAUUUAAAUAAUAAGGUAUUCAUGAAGUACAUGGAUAAGUUUGUCGUAGUCUUCAUCGACGACAUACUUGUCUACUCCAAGAACCCCGAAGAACAUGCGGAACACCUAAGAAUUGUGUUGGAAGAACUGCGUAAACAUCAAUUGUAUGCCAAGUUCAGCAAAUAUGAGUUUUGGCUGAAGCAAGUUGGAUUUUUGGGACAUGUAAUGACCAAAGAAGGCAUAGAUGUGGAUCAUGAGAAGGUCAAGGCUGUAAGUGAAUGGCCGCAACCAGCCAACGUGAUAGACAUCCGAAGUUUCCUUGGAAUGGCGGGAUACUACCAGAGAUUUAUUGGAAAAAAAAUCCGUGAUUGCCAAGCCCAUGACCCAGCUACUCAAAAAGGAAAAGAAGUUUGAAUGGACUGAAGCAUGUGAGAAUAGUUUCCAAGAGCUGAAGAAGAGACUGAUCACGGCUCCCGUGUUGAUUGUGCCAGACUUAAACAAAAAAUUUGAAGUAUAUUGUGACGCCUCAAGGAAAGGCCUCAGAUGCGUACUUAUGCAGCAAGGGAAGGUCGUGGCUUAUGCAUCACGACAACUACGCCGACACUAAGAAAAAUACCUCACUCAUGAUUUGGAGUUGGAUGUCAUGAUACACGCUCUCAAGGAAUGGAGGGGGUUUUUGCUUGGAAAUCGCUGUGAAAUAUACACUGAUCAUAAGAGUCUCAAAUAUAUUUUCAAGCAGCCUGAUCUCAACCUACGACAACGGCGUUGGUUGGAGUUAAUUAAAGAUUAUGAUGUGGGCAUUCAUUACCAUCCUGGUAAGGCUAACAUGGUAGCCGAUGCACUUAGCCGGAAACCCACCUCAGACAAGGGCCCUGUACAGAAGCUAAGACCUGAGAUUGCGAAAGAGUUCGCUCUGCUAAACCUGCUUCUCGUUCCAGAAGGCACAGUGGCACAACUAGAAGUACAACCCACUGUGGAAGAGAAUAUCAAGAAGGCUCAGAAGGAACACCCCAGCAUAGAGGCAUAAAGAAAAAGGUGAACCUUGGGAAAGCCCCUGAAUUUAUUAUUGACGAACAGGGAAUUUUAUGGUAGGGAGACCGACUGUGUGUACCAGACUAAGAGGUCCUCAAAGAUCAAAUUUUGGAAGAAGCUCACAAUGUGCCAUACUCUAUCCACCCCUGAGGUACAAAAAUGUUCAAAGAUCUCCAGACAAAAUAUUGGUGGCACAAAAUGAAAAGAGAUAUUACCUCUUUCAUUGCCCGUUGUGAUUCAUGCCAACGAAUCAAGGCGAAACACCAGAAGCCAGCAGGACUGUUGCAACCUAUGAAUGUACCCGAGUGGAAGUGGGAUGAGGUAGGCAUGGACUUCAUUGUCGGACUACCCCAGUCACGACACGGACACGAUGCUAUAUGGGUUAUCACAGAUCGACUCACAAAGAUGGCUCACUUCAUUCUAGUAAAGACUACGUACUCCACUCAGAAGCUAGCAAGGUUAUACCUCGCCCGUAAUGUGUUCUUGCAUGGGAUACCUAAAACUAUUGUAUCCGAUGGAGGCACCCAGUUUACAUCAAGACUUUGGGAGUAUUUGCAACAAGCUUUGGGAACUCAGUUAGUGUUAAGCACAACAUAUCACCCUCAAACUGGAGGACAGACCGAACAUGUAAAUCAGAUUCUCGAAGACAUGCUCAGGGCUUGUGUGCCCACAUAUGGAAACAGUUGGGAAGACAGUUUGCCUUACACCGAAUUCUCGUACAACAACAGUUAUCAAGCAAUCUUACAAAUGUCACCUUUUGAAGCCUUAUAUGGAAGAAGAUCUCGUACGCCUCUAAAUUGGUCAGAAUCCAGAGAUAGUUGUAUCUUCGGCCUGCAACUACUUCAAGACGCAGAGGACAAGGUAAGACUCAAAAGGGGCUGACUCAAGACAGCCCAAAGCCGUCAGAAAAUGUAUUACGAUCAGAAACACCAUGACAUCGGCUUCAACCCAAAUGAUUAUGUAUAACUAAAGGUAUCACCCAUGAGAGGACUACAAAGGUUCAAGGUCGAGGGCAAGCUUGCGCCCCGUUUCAUUGGACCAUUUCGCAUAAUUGCUCGAAGAGGCCAAGUUGCCUACCAACUGGAUCUACCCGUAGAACUGUCAUACAUGCACGACGUGUUCCACAUUUCUCAACUAAGGAAGUGUGUAAGGAACCGUGAUCAACAGGUAGCCAAUGACAGUAUAGAAGUGCAACCAUACCUAUCCUAUCAUGAACAACCCAUGAAAAUAUUAGAGGAAGCAGAAAGGAGGACACAACAGAAGGUCACCAAACUAUUCACGGUACAGUGGAGCAACCAUUGAGAGGAUGAGGGCACUUGGGAAAGAGAGGACUUCCUGCAGAAAGAGCAACCGCAACUUCCUGAGGACUGGCUAAAAUCUCGGGGAUGAGAUUUUUCAUAAGGGGGUAGGUGUUGUAACAACCAAAUUUUUAAUUGGAUUUCUUGAUUUUAAAAAAUUAGAUUUUAAAUUUUGGCUUUCAUAAAAAGCUUUGAAGCUCUUUGACAACCUCUUUGAGAAAACUUUUAGAGCUUUCUUUUCUCAACCUGCCUGGUUUAAAAAGUAUUCUUUUAGUCUGUUCUCAAAAUGAACUGGUUUGGGGGAAUAUUCUAUUCUUUUGCAAAACCUUGGAAAUUAUUCCUAUAGGUUCAAUUAUUUCUUUAAAAGAUUUUCUUUUUCCUCCAUCCUGUUUUAGACCAUUUUGCACUUCUACAUCAUCUAGGUCUUCAUUCUUAUGUAUUUACCAAAACUUUAGAAAGGUUGGACCACCCUUCAUAAUUUAUUUUUAAUAAAAGAAAUUUAUGUAAUCAGUUUUGACCCUAGCAAAUUUACAAAGGAACUCAGUGAUUCCUUUGAAAUUUUGGACCCCAAACUCUUACCCUUAGAAGACCUUACUACCCUCAACCUAUUUCACCAAAAACCUUGGGUUCACAAGUUUGAAAUUUUCAAAUUUGAUUUGAAUCAAGUUUCACCAAAGGAUUCUGUUUUUAUUAAAAACCUGCCUUAAACAUUUUCAAAAAUUCCGAAAAUUUGCAGACAGCCUCUGCACUCAAUGAGAGGCCAUCUCAUAAAUUUUCAGCUCCAAAGACCUUUUCCACGUGCUAGUUUCAUUUGAUCAAACAUCUGGUGGGCACUGUAGCCAUCUAUCUCUGAAAUUGAUUCAGUCAAUUCUUCACACUACAGUGCUUCAUUGAUUCAGUCCAUGUUGCCGCUUCAUCAAUCUCAGCAGUGCCAACAAAGACCGUUCGUCCCUGUUCUCGUGCCUAUCCUCCUGCCGCAUGUUCCCUUGGAUGUUUGCUGGCAUCGGUGGUGAGCUGACCUAGGCUAGCCAGCUCUGAACGCAUCACCAGCACCGGCUGUCGCGGCCACCAGAGCCACCUCUAUUGCAGCCUCUCGCUGUUCGGCACCGCCCAAUGCCCCUCUGAUCUCCGCGUGUCCUUGCUCUCCAGUACGCGCCGCAUUUGCCGUCGCCACGUCCCGGGGAGCGUAGAGCACGACCUCUCCUGCCGCCGUGCACAAGGAAGACCGCAUUGUCGAGCCGCGUCUUGUGCCGAUGGUCGACCGAGCUUAGGCCAAAAAUGGAACCUCUGCAUCAAGUAGAUACUAACCCAACCCCUAACCCUUCUGAUUAAGCCCCGAGAUCGCCGGAAUUUGUCGCCGGAGAUAAGCUCCGCGGCACCCCCUCUAGGGACUCUAUAAGUAGAGCUCCUCCCCUGUUACCGAACCCCUCAUCCACUCAACCACCUUCCCUCCUCUCUCCGAAGCCUUUCCCAAGCCAGAGAAGGGCCUCGGAGAGGUCUUCUUCUCCGACUCCGGCCACUUCGAUCCUCCCCUGGUCUCGACGGCAUUCGAGCAAGGUAGGCGCAGAGCUGAGCCCUAGAACCUUCGAGUAGCUCCUUGGUGAGCUCCUCCUCAUAAGCCCAUCGUCAAUUUGGUCGCAGGUGAGCUCCUCUGUGAGUUCCGGAAUUGCCCGAAGCUGUCGUCCACCGGAGCAAGGUCACCGUCUACGUGAAGCCUCUCCUUCGCCCAAAUCUUCCUCUCAUCAACGUGCGGGUCCUUGGUGAGUGCGUCGACAUCCUCAGCCAUCCCUCUCCUUUCUUCUAUCUCCGCUGGCGACCAUCGCAAGCCUGUUGCGCCAGUGAAGAUUCAAACCUUACACGGGGGACCCCCUCGUCAGUGUCAGCUCUCUCUCUGAAUCGUUUUCAGCGAAAGCGCCUUUGCUAGAAGCCGCCUUCACUGCGGGUUGGCGUAUUUCUAAUUCGAGCGCUCUAAGUUUCUCACACUAGCCCCUAUUCUAAUUAUGUUUAAUUACAAAAUAGCCCCUAGUUUUAUUUUGCUUAUAACUUUUUAUCUACAAAACUUUUUCAUUGAUUCUUUUUGCAAAAUCUUUCUACGAGGGUCUAGUUUAUUUUCGGAUUUAUUUAAAAAUUAAUUGGAUCUAGUAGCUAGGCCUCAACUCGUACGAUGUUACAUGUUAUAUAAUGUAGAUUCCGAGGAAGGAAACACCGACGUUAACUUCACCAAGAUUGGUCCCGACUACGUGGAACCAGGCAAGCAUGUUUGAACUUUUGAUGUGUCAUUUGCUCACUAACAAGAAUUUAAUAUUCAUCCAUUUGCAUUAUUGAAGCAUGUUGCAUAUCUUAUAAAUAAUGUUAAAAACCUGACUAUGGCAAAUGAUGGUUAUGAGAGGUCGUGGAUAACCUAGUCACGCGGAACAUUAUAGGUUAUGGCAUGGUCAUGACAAGUGCAUAAUGGUAUUGGUAAGAAAUAGAUAACUCCAGUAUCGACCUAGAUCGAGUCUUGUCCGUGUCUUACUUUCUUUAUCGUGCUACCGCAGUUUCCUGAAUAAGGGUUCGGUAUAGUCGGUCGUAGGCCUAUUAUUAGUCACACACCAAGUAGAGGGGCCGUGAUGAAGGUAUACAUGGCCCUGGACUAAAUCUAGUCAUCCGGUCAGGGGCAUGGGUGUUUCCGGUCUGGGACCGAGAGGGGGGGCACUCCCUUGUAGCGCGCGGUAUAAAUUUGAUCCCAUGCUAGUCGAGGUCGGAGCCUUCCCGUCUUAUGGUUUUGCCCUAACAGCGCAGUCCGGGUGAAGUCAGGCUUCGCGGGGGUAAAGUGGGUGUGUGCUGGUUCUGAGUGUAUGCUUCUAAAAUACCGUGCAAGGGAUUAGUCGUAUUGACUAUCGGAACCCGUGAGCUAUGGGUAAAGGGUACACCCUCUGCAGAGCUAAAAAUAUUCGAGUAGUCGUGUCCAUGGUUAAGGGCGGUCAUUUGACAAGUCAAGUGUCGGUCUUAGAGUCGUCCUUGGAGUACGAGUGGUGGAACAAUAAUAGUUAUGGAUAUCUAACAAUAAUGUGGAAUAUUUUAAGAUUAUCUCCUUGGUUCAAGAAUUAUCUUGAAGGUUGGUUGUACCACCCGGAUACUUCUUAUUUAUUUAUAUGCCCUUUCUGUGGUGUCGCUAUGACACCCGACUGUGCCUUGUUAUUUAUUUAUAUGCCAUUUCUGUAGUGUCGCUAAGAUGCCCGAUUGCGGCUGUUAUUUAUUUUUAUGCCCUUUCUGUGGUGUCGCUAAGACGCCCGACUGUGACUUGUUAUUUAUUUAUAUGCCCUUUCUGCGGUGUCGCUAAGAUGCCCGACUGCGGUGGCUAUUUAUUUUUAUGCCCUUUCUGUGGUGUCACUAAGACGCCCGUUUGUGGCUUGCUAUUUAUUUUAUGCCCUGUAUGUGGUGUCACUCAGACGCCCGACGGUGGUUUACUAACCCUUGUUAACCUUUCGAGGCGUCGCUCUAGACACCUGAUCGGUGCAUUUUACCUUUCUAUUAGGAUAUCUCGGGAGGAUUACCGCACGAUUUAUCCACUAUCUUAAUUUAUUUCUAACACAUUCAUUUUGAUAAAUUAUGAUCUGAACCAUGCAUAUUAAUAACUGACUGCAUGCAUCUCAUCUUUUGUGCAAACUGUUUGCGAGUACUUUUCGAAGUACUCACUGGCUUGUUGAUGUGGCCAGAUAUGGAUGAAGGAGACCUCAUGGAUGAAGAGUUUGAUAGCGAGUCCGAUGUCUAGAGGAGUCCUAGACAGUCUUGCGGUCCUGGAGUGUGCCGCUAUAUUAUUUCACCGCUUCCGCCACCGCGAAUAAACCAUCAAGCCUCACUCUGAUGCUUGGCGCAUAGUAGUACUUGUCAUAUCACAUUACUCUGAUGUGACGUGCCGCUUUUAUUGCGAGCAGUAGAGUAUCCUAUUACCACUGUAACAUAUCCAUUUGUGUGAGACUUGGACAUGUUGUAAUAAAUUGUAGAGCAACCUCUGCUCUACCUGUUUAAUAUUAAGUACUACUGGUUUUCUCUAUCAAGAUGAGUCUAUCAGUGGGAAAUAAUUUUCUACACUGGAGACGCACAUGGCUGAUUUCCAAUUAUUUUAUGUGGAAACCAGUCGUGACAAUAUGUGGAUGACAUAUUGUUGAUGGUAAAUGAUAUAGAACUUUUGGAAAACAUAAAGGCAUAUUUGAAUAAGUGUUUUUCAAUGAAGGACCUUGGAGAAGGUGCUUACAUAUUAGGCAUCAAGAUCUAUAGAGAUAGAUCGAGACGCCUCAUUGGUCUUUCACAAAGCACAUACCUUGACAAGAUAUUGAAGAAGUUCAAUAUGGGUAAGUCCAAGAAGGGGUUCUUGCCUGUAUUGCAAGGUGUGAGAUUGAGCACAGCUCAACGCCCGACCACGGCAGAAGAUAGAAAAAAUAUGAGUAUCGCCCCCUAUGCUUCAGCCAUAGGAUAUAUUAUGUAUGCCAUGUUGUGUACCAGACCUGAUGUGAACCUUGCCAUAAGUUUGGUAGGGAGGUACCAAACUGAUCCCGGAGUGGAUCACUGGACAGCGGUUAAGAAUAUCCUUAAGUACCUGAAAAGGACUAAAGAUAUUUUCUCGUUUAUGAGGUGCCGAAGAGCUCGUCGUAAAGGGUAACAUCGAUGCUAGCUUCGAUACGGACCCGGAUGACUCCAAGUCACAAACCGGAUACGUGUAUAUUUUGAAUGGUGGGGCACUCAGCCGGUGAAGUUGCAAGCAAAGCGUCAUUGCGGCUUCUACAUGUGAAGCGGAGUACAUAACUGCUUCGGAAGCAGCACAGGAAGGAGUCUGGAUGAAGGAGUUCAUCACUGACCUAGGAGUGAUUCCCAGUGCGUCGGGCCCGAUGACUCUCUUCUGUGAAAACACUAGAGCUAUUGCCAUUGCCAAGGACCCCAGGUUUCACAAGAAGACCAAGCACAUCAAGAGUCGCUUCAGCUCCAUUCGUGGAUACAUUCAGGAUGGAUACAUAGAUAUUUGUAAAGUACAUACAGAUCUAAAUGUCGCACAUGUGUUGACUAAACCUCUUCCACGAGCGAAACAUGAUCAGCACCAGAACUUUAUGGGUGUUCAAAUCAUCACAAUGUAACUAGAUUAUUGACUCUAGUGCAAGUGGGAGACUGUUGGAAAUAUGCCCUAGAGGCAAUAAUAAAAUGGUUAUUAUUAUAUUUCCUUGUUCAUGAUAAUUGUCUAUUAUUCAUGCUAUAAUUGUAUUAACCGGAAACCGUAAUACAUGUGUGAAUACAUAGACCACAACAUGUCCCUAGUGAGCCUCUAGUUGACUAGCUCGUUGAUCAAUAGAUGGUCAUGGUUUCCUGGCCAUGGACAUUGGAUGUCUUUCAUAAUGGGAUCGCAUCAUUAGGAUAAUGAUGUGAUGGACAAGACCCAAUCCUAAGCAUAGCACAAGAUCGUGUAGUUCGUCUGCUAGAGCUUUUCUAAUGUCCAGUAUCAUUUCAUUAGACCAUGAGAUUGUGCAACUCACGGAUACCGUAGGAAUGCUUUGGGUGUGUCAAAUGUCACAACAUAACUAGGUGAUUAUAAAGGUGCACUACAGGUAUCUCCGAAAGUGUCUCUUGGGUUGGUACGAAUCGAGACUGGGAUUUUUUGUCACUCCGUGUGACGUAGAGGUAUCUCUGGGCCCACUCAGUAAUACAUCAUCAUAAUGAGAUCAAUGUGACUAAGGAGUUAGCCACGGGAUCAUGUGUUACGGAACGAGUAAAGAGACUUGCCGGUAACGAGAUUGAACAAGGUAUAGGGAUAUUGACGAUCGAAUCUUGGGCAAGUAUCAUACCGAGAGACAAAGGGAAUUGCAUACGGGAUUGAGUGAAUCCUUGAAAUCAUGGUUCAUCCGAUGAUAUCAUCAUGGAAUAUGUGGGAGCCAAUAUGGGUAUCCAUAUCCCGCUACUGGUUAUUGGCCGAAGAGGUGUCUCGGUCAUGUCUGCAUGGUUCCCGAACCCGUAGGCUCUAUACACUUAAGGUUCGGUGACGCUAGAGUUAUAAUGGGAAUUGUAUAUGUGGUUACUGAAAGUUGUUCGGAGUCCCGGAUGAUAUCUCGGACAUCAUGAGGAGUUCCGCAAUAGUCCGGAGGUGUAGAUUUAUAUAUGGGAAGUCCAGUUUCGGUCAUCGGAAAGGUUUCGGGGUUUAUCGGUACUGUACCGGGACCACCAAAAGGGUACCGGGUGUCCACCGGGAGGGUACACCUGUCCUGAAGGGCCACAUGGUCUGAAAGUGGGAGGGAACCAGCUCCCUGGUGGGCUGGUGCGAGCCACCAGAGGCCCAAGGAGCAUAGGGCAAAAACCCUAGGGCGUGGGGCUGCCUCCCUCCAACUUGGGAGGCAAGCCACCCCUAGGACUGUCGCCGCCCCCUCCUAGGUUUUCCUAGGGUGGCCGGCCCCCUCUCCCCUUCCUCCUAUAAAUAGAGGAGGGUUGAGAGGGUUGCGCACACCCCUGAACCUCUCCCCUUGGCGCAGCCCUACCUCUCCACUUCUCCUCCUCCGCGGCGCUUGGCGAAGCCCUGCCGGAGAACCACAAGCUCCACCACUACCACGCCAUCAUGCUGCCAGAGCUCUCCCUCAACUUCUCCUUCCCCCUUGCGGGAUCAAGAAGGAGGAGACGUCCCACGUGUGUUGAACGUGGAGGCAUCGUUCGUUCGGUGCUUGGAUCGGAUCGCCGUGAGUACGACUCCAUCGACCGCAUUCAUAGUAACGCUUCCGCUUAGCGAUCUUCAACCGUAUGAAGAUGAUCUCCCUCUCUCGUUGCUAGCAUCUCCUAGAUUGAUCUUGGUGACACGUAGUUAUUUUUUUGAAUUAUUACUACGUUACCCAACAGUAGUAACAUCCAAAUCGGUAAUGUCAGAUUUAGUGGCAAGUAAACAACCACUCUUUAGUUUUAUUUCAAAUGCAACACUAGAUGAUGGUUUAUUAGGAUUAUGGUGUUUCUCAAUUUCCUUUGCUACAAUCUGAUUUUCACUCUUAUGUAGGUCCUAUUUUGCUUUACUAUCUCUAACAAUGUCAUCUUUCAUAAUAUGUUGAGUAGACAUAGGAAGCAAAGUUAUAUUUUGAUCCUUAUAAACAAGAGUAUACUAAUUUGUCCUACCAUGGUGUACACUUUUUUUAAUCAAAUUGUCAUGGUCUACCAAGUAAAAGGGAGCAUGAUUGCAUGGGUACCACAUCACAAUCAACAAAAUCAGAAUAUGUAGCAAUGCUAAAAUGCACAUGAACAGUACGUGUAACCUUAACCUUGCCACUGUUGUUGAACCACUAGAUGUAAUAAGGAUGAGGAUGUGGUCUGGUGGUGAGAGACAGCUUCUCCACGAACUCCAUGCUAGCUAAGUUGUUACAACUCUCUCCAUCGAUGAUUACGCGAACAGAACGUUCAUUCACAACUCCCUUUGUAUUGAACAAGAUGUGCCUCUAAUUUUCCUCAGCCUAUGUUACCUGCAUACUUAAAACAUGUUGAGCAACUAAGCUUUCAUAAAUGUCAGCGUAGUCAGUACCAUGUAGUGUGUCUCUUGUUCAGUAUCAUCUACACCCUGUUCUUCACUUGCAAUAAGAGCCAGAGUCUCCUUGUCAUAAUCACUAGCGGAGUCAUAUCCACCAUCCUCAGUAACAAUCAUCACACGCUUGGAUGGGCACUCUCUCGCAUAAUGACCUCCACCCUUGCAACAACGAGAGAUAACCUCAUGUGUUUUCCCUGUGGAUGCCAUGGAUGAAGAAGAGAUAUGUGCUAGCCCGAAAGGUGUGCUCUUGGCGGGGGGUGGGGCAGGGGCCUGUUUCCUGGUAUCUCCGUUGGAGUUGGUGGUUGAAGUAGGCGAUGCUGAUGCGGGAGGACGUGCGGAAGUAGAUGAGGUCUGUGGCGUCCAUGAGGAAGUGCGACCUGCGGAAAAGUUAGUUCUCGCCAAUGCCUGACGAUCCUGCACUUCACGUUCAGCUUUGCAAGCAAGAUGGAAUAAACGAGUGAUAGUGUUAUAAUCCUUAUAUUCUAGAAUAGUCUGAAUAUCUCAAUUCAAUCCACCCAUAAAACAUGCAAGCAUAGCUUCAUUGUCCUCAACAAUACCACAUCUAAUCAUGCCAGUUUGUAAUUCCUCAUAAUAUUGUUCUAUAGAAUUUUUUCCUUGUCGUAAACGCUGCAAUUUUUGAAGUAAUUCACAUUGAUAAUAUGGUGGAACCCAACAAGUACGCAUAGCAGUUUUCAAAGCAGCCCAAGUAGUUGGAAUAUUAGCAUGAUGUAUUCUACAAUAUUCAGACCACCAAACACAAGCAAAACUAGUGAAUGAACAAACAGCAGCAGCAAGACAUUAUCCUCAGGAAAUUGUAAGCAUGUAAAACGUUUCUCUGUUUCAACUCCCAAGUAAGAUAUAUAUAUAUAUCAGGAAAUCCAUCAAGAAAAUCUCAAAUUCUUACCAGUUCUUACCCAGCAGCAGGUGGUGAUCGGCAACUAGUGUAGUCAAAACUCUCAAAGCUUGGAUAGAGCGAUUGCGAGGUGGUGUCAAACACAUGAUGUAGAUGUAUGUGGAGGUGGGAAGGCUUAUAAUAUAGUAGCAAAAAAGGUCAGCAAUAAUCAGUUCAGAGAUGCAAAGUUGAAAAGACGCUCAACGACGGUACCGUGUUGGUCCUAGGCUAGAUCGUACUAGAGACGCGAGCCUAGAACACCAACAAAAUCAUGACGCUACACGUAAUCAAGGGAAGAGCUACUCUGGUUUUAUUUUCUAUUUUUUUGCUUUUUUUGUAUUUUUUUCUCCAGAAAAUCACUAUAAUGGCUAGUGUCUCAAAACUCUUCCAAAGGACUAAAAAUAGGAUAGACACGGAAAAAAUUGACUAGUUUUUUUAGAGCAAUUCGGGGCUGCAACGACCAAAAAUUGCGACAAAAAUCGCUAUGGUGGUGAGUGUCUAGAAACUCUCUAAAAAGCGUAACAACACGAUGGGGGAAAAUCACCUUUCAAUUUUUUUCUGAAACCUACAAGGAUCUUUGCACUUAUCCCAAGAAUCUAUGCUAUUCCUAGGCAAAGAUUAAAGCCACACUUUAGCUCCUCCUCUCAAGGAGAAAGGAAAAAAGCUUAAGUUUAACAAUAUCACCAUCUACUUCUUUAUAUUUUUGCAUAUCACAAAGCUCAACAAAAUUGUUCAAGUGCAAAGGAGCAGCAUCUCCAGCACCGGAGAAUUGAUCUUUCAUAACAAGGUUCAGUAAAGCAGGUUUAAUCUCAUAGGACGUAGCCCCACUCGCGGGAGCAGCAAUAGGAGUGCAGAUAAAGUCAUUGUUGUUGUGACUAGUGAAGUCACACAACUUGGUGUUCUCAGUGGAACCCAUAGCAGCAACAACAAGCAAGAACAAAGCAACUAAUUUUUUUGUGGUUUUUGGUAUAAACUAAAAGGCAAACUAACAAGACUAAAAAUCGAAGGUAAAGGAUAGCGUACAACUCCCCUAUCUUGAAGACUGGAGUCCCCGGCAACGGUGCUAGAAAACUUGCUUGAUGACGAGUUGAUGAAUAUACUUCUCGACCCUCGUUGGUUACCCCAAGAGGAAGGUGGAGAUGUAGUCAGCAGCAAGUUUUCCAUUACACAGAGAAUGUAAGGUUAAUCGAACCAGGAGGACUCCAAGGAUCAACAAGUAGGUGUCCUCUGCCCUCGCGCAAGCAAAAGACGUGAACCUGCACACACACACAAAUAACUUUGCUCCCAACGAGUACGGAGAGGUUGUGAAUCUCGUCGGCCUUCUAGUUUGCAAAGGAUCAAAACACAAGCGGGAAUAGUGAUAGUGAUUGCAACGGAAAAAUAAAUGAAAGCAGUAAAUGAUGGAGGUGUAAGCAAUGGUGGUGAUAUGGACCGGAGUCACAUGAUGUUCACUAAUGAUGUCUCUCUCCCAAAAGACGAUAAACAACUAUGCUUGGGUAAACAAAUUACAGCCGGGCAAUUGACAGAAUUAUAAACGCACCGCAAUGCUAAUUAUGCUACUUGAAAGUUAGAGGCUCAAUAGUAAUGGGCAGUACGCCCAGACAAGUAGACCAUUUAUUCAUCAACAUCUACUCACUAAUCAUCCACCUUGAGAUAUUUAUCCAGAACAUCUCGCUGGUAUUAAGUUGCGAGCCCCAACCAAAGUGUAAACUCAAAGCAACGGACAACUGCAUUAAUGAACUAUGUGUAAGGUAAGCAAUCCUUCCAACCGUGGUCACAAGCACCGUUGUUUUCUUCCUAGUGGCAACAACACAUCCCCUAGUCUCAUGUUUACAUCACUCAAGCUAGACAUCAGGGGGCAUGAACCCACAAUCAUGCAUAACGCUCCCUCUUGGAGUUACAAUCUACUACUCGGCCAAAGCAAUACAAAGCAACGAAGAACAUGCAUGAAUCACUAAAGAACAUAAUAUAAAAGGAUAAUCAAAUAUAUAACUCAUAAAAAUUUGAACAUAAGCUCAUAAUCCAUUGGAUCCCAACAAACCGAGCAUAGAUAUAGCAGGAAAAAAUACAAAGAUGCCUUGAUCAUGUAGGGCAGCUCACAAGGGUUAAUCAUGGGAGCACAAGAUUGGAGAGAAGACAUCACCUAGCUACUAGUCAUGGACUCCUGGUCCAAGGAGGACUACUCACGGCACGUCCGGAAAGCGUCCAUGGCAGUGGAGAAGCUCCCGGAGGUCAAUCCUCCCUCCGGCAGGGUGCCGGGAAGAGGUCUCUUGACGCUCCCGAUCUCAGGAGCGCUGUGGCGGAGCAACAAUGGAGAAAUUCGCGAUUCUGGAUGUGUUGGAAGGGUUUCCUCUCGUAGGAGUAAAUAUAGGCCAAAGGAGGGUGUCAGAAGAGGUGGGGCCCACCCAGGCGGUCUAUGGGCGCGGCUAGGGGCCAGGCCGCGUCGGGUGGUCGCCUGGGCAGCCCUUGGCUUCCCUCUGGCCCAUCUUCGGUGAUCUGGUAGCUUCUGUUACGCUAAUUUUUAUAUAUUUUUCUCAGGAUUUUUGGGGCUCCAGAAAAUUGGGUAAAAGCCCGUGCAAAAAAGACAUCAACAGACAGAAACAGGCACUGGGUGCACUGAGUUAGUAGGUUAGUCCAAAUAUGUGUAAAAAUAUAUAAAAGUGUAGCAAAACAUAUAACAAUGUCACCCAAAAGAUCAUGGAACAAGCAGAAAUUAUAGAUACAUUUGAGACGUAUCAGUGAUAUAUGGCAGCAAGGAUGAUGGUGGCGUGGUGGUGGUAUAUGGCAGCAGUGAUGAUGGAAGCGUGGUGGUGGUAUAUGGCAGCGGUGAAAGAUGGCGUGGUGGCGGUGUGACUACCUGUGAACAGAACUCGAAACUCUAAAGGACUGGACACUAAGACCAGUAACUCAACACGAUGAUGUAACCGCAAAUACAACGAAGAAAAAUACUAAAAAGACUAUUCAAAGACUCGGAUUGGUUUGGAUAUGAUGAUCUAAUCCUAAUUUUUUGUGGCUUUUCUGUGGACUAUUGGUAUGAAGAACAGAUGCGAUCUAACUACGAAAAACUGGUAAAAUCUCACCGAGCAACCUGGAAAUUUGAUACCACUUGAUAGAGGCAAAGUUGUCCAUGUCUUUCGAUGAGAUGGUGGUUAUCGUUUUGGUGGAGUAGACUUUGACGAUCCGACUAUGAACGUGUGAGGACAUCGCGCCUUAGCAAUCGCUAAACCAACUCCAAGAGGUUAUUGACCAUGCUGGAGCACGAUCAACUUGACCACGAGGGUCUAUUUCCUGCACGCAAACAAAGACCAAGCAUGAAACUAAGAUUGCAAUCUGGAUAUUGAAAAUAUAAGAGGCGAGCUUUAUUGAUGAAAGUGGGGUUUUGUGACGCCUUUGCCUGGUCAUGGAACACAAACGAAGAACGCGAAGUUGCAACUAUGGAAAACUUGUAAUCUAAACAAAACCCAAUUCUAAACAGCGCUCUAAGGGGUGUAUAUAUGGGGGGAUAGAGGAGGAAUUUCGUGACCCCUUGGAGGAGGGGUAAGAAACCGACGCUAACUUAGUUUCCCCACACAUACGGAAUCUAAAAAUAGCCUAUAAUAUGGUAUUUCGAAAUUACAUGUGCCUGGCCCAAAAAUAAGGUGGCGCAACACCUAUAAUAUCCUAUGGCCGAAAUUUAUAAAGUGGCAUCUUGAAUAUUUUUUCCAAGCCUUCAUGCUCUCCUUAUGGUGGCUUCAAUAUGUGAAAAUCAUGAGUGGAAGCUCCAUUGUUCUUUCCCCGCGUGCACCUUCUUCUCCAUGCUUGAUCCUGCUCCAUCAGAUAUCCUUCUUGUCCAUGCUAGUUCCUUCAUUCAUAAGUACAACAAAAAUAUCUAACUUAGGCAGCAUCACAUGUUCAUCAACAUUAGAAAGAUUUUCAAGAAACGAAAGUACGUGGUAAUUCGAUUGGCGUGAGUGAGCUCUAGUAACUGGUCGAGUAUGUAUAGCAGUUGGGGCUGUGGGUGUAACAAUGGUGUUGAUGUCCUCAUUGGGGGGCGAGCUAGGGUUAGCGGGGGAGGGCUCGUUGUCUCCUCACAGGGCGGGGGUGGCCACUGGAUGGCCCGCGCGUGGUCGAGGGGAGGCAUGACGGGCAUCCCCUCCCCCUGGCCACUAUAGCCGGAGGUUAGGGAUGGGGGAGGGAUACGUGGGCCGGUUGGGGGGCUUGGGCCCAAUGGGGGUGGGCUUUUAUUUUAUAUCAUUUCAAAUUUUAUUUAAAAUCUUAUGUUUUGAUUUAGGUUUAGCACUAAAUUAAUUAUGAGAAAAAUAUGGGAUAUGGUCCAAUAUUUGAAAUGCAAUAUUUGGUAGUGCCACAAAACGUUUGGGGCCCUUUUGGAAACUUUGGAAAUUUACAUAAUUUAAAAGACAUUUAUUUAAAUGUUUUGGCCUCUUUUAUAAUUGUUUUGAGGCACCAAAGUACUUUAUAAAAUGUUGGUUUCAAUUUUAUAAACAUGAGGGGAUUAUUUGCAACCCAAACAUGAUUGUAGUUUUCAGUUUUGAAAAAAUAUUUAAACCACAAAUUAAAAGGAGCUUGAAUUUCAAAAGGAAUUUGAAAUGAGAUAUGAUUCCAAUGUGAUCAAAUAGGGUUUAGCAAAAGCAUUAUCUUAACCACAUGGUUUACUGUAGCUUAAUUGCAUGCAUCAAUGUAGCUGAAAUCCACGAGUGCUACAAAAAGGUAGUCUCCUCAACACUCAAUCACUCUUUCACAAAUUUGGCUUGGGUAGAAGAGAUUGAUUGGGUGGAAAGCAACUUGGGGAGGCUAGAAAACAAGAUUCAUAUGGUAGGAAUGGAAUAUCUUGAUCUAAACACAUGAGUAGGUGGCUCUUUCAGAAAAUUGGAUGGGGUAAGUGUUGGUUCGUUCUGAGUGCUUCCUCUUCAAAUGAGAGGCUGGUGGAUGGGUAUAUAUAGGCAUCUCCAAAAUUCCAAAUGUUACAACAUUAUUGCCCAACUCGGUGAAACCAAAGUAAGAAACUCGGUUGCACCGACUAGUGCAAAAUGUGGCAACUUUAGGCUUUUCGGUGACACCAAUAUAGAAAUCUCGGAGGUUCCGAUGUUGGCUGGCCUCGUCAGUUACCAGACUCGGUGGCACCAAUUUGCAAAACUCAGAAAUUCCGAUUUUAGCGAAUGGCUAUCCAGGGAGUUGGUCACUAUGUUCCGGUUAGACCGAAACCAAACUUGGUGGUACCAAGAUGUUAGGGUUUGGCAUAGAUUCUGUCUCGGGUAAAACUCGGUAGGUCCGAUUUGGAAAUAUUGCUGGCACCGAAUUUGACUUUGGGGUUUGGACAGAAUAUUUGUGGGAGAAUUUCAUGAGUAUUUUUGGUGGCUAAUCUAUAAGCUCUUGAGCAACUAGAUCAUCAUAGACACCUCAUCCCCUUUUAAUAGUAUUGGCUUUCCUAUGGAUGAAAAAGUGAUUUCUCACAAAAUGUAAAAUUUAGAGUCUUGAAGCUUGUUGCCAAUAGAUGUUCCUUGCAUCUAGGGGUUCUCCUCACAAUCCUUAGCGAGUCCAUCAUUGAUCUUUUCGUGAAAUAUACUAGAUAGAAUCAUUAGUCCAAUGACAUAUAUGUUGUUAUUAAUUACCAAAACCACCUAGGGACAAGUUGUGCUUUCACUUGCUUGGGUCCCUAGCCCGUCACUAAUACCUAUUUUGGACCCACCACUGCUAGGCAUUCCUGUAGUAGUCGGGUUGAUACCUCGUAACGCACUCCUGAUGAUAACUCUAUAGUGUAGCUAAUCGGUCAUGGAUUACAGAGGGUGAUUCCUCCUUCACCACUCCCGAUAAUGACUCUGUCAUGCAACACCUCAAGUGUGAGCCCUUGGAGGGUGAUUCCUCCAAGGUCACCUUGACGGUUACAUGGAGUGGGAUCCAAUGAGGGUUAUUCAUCAGAUUCCCGUUGAUGUUAUGGACACACGGUUACUUUGACUUUACCCCAGAACCAUGUUGAAGUCGGGUCUGCCCAAGGGGUACCCGCCAGAAAUGAGAAGUCGGGUUGACCGUGAGAGUAUCCAUGAGUGAAUUGGAGUCGGGUUGACCUGGAGGGUUCCCGCGAGAUAAUUAUGCGACAUGGUCGGGCAAUCUUAGCCCUUGUUGUAAGUCCAGGAGACGGGACCAUAGAUCGUGGAUCAUUGAUCGUCUUUGCGCGCUCCCAAGACACUAACGGUUUGGAUAUGUGAUCCGAGUAGGCCUCUCGCAUUUUUGCACUGACCACCAUGCAGGAAUAAGUAUGGGCACUCUGCGUCGUACAUUUCUUCUGAAAGCUUUUUAGCCCCACAGUUGAGCGGCACGCGCUCGGGUGGUCCGCAUAAGCACAUGCUUUGUACAAAGAGGUAGCCACGACUAAUUCUGCUCGUCCUUGCAACUGAAAGAUUGCAAAGGACGAUUGGCCCAUGACCCAUUCGCAUUUAGGAUGUAGACCGACGUGUUGGUCUUUGUGUUGAGCCUAGGUAGGACUACGAUGUGUCGAUCAGCCGAGGUCGGGCAUGAUCUGGAAAGUGUGUCCAGCCAGAGUUAAUCUGGGGUGUAGGAUAAGUUGGUGCACCCCUGCAUUGAAGUAUUUAUAUUCGAAGAGUCGUGUCCAUGGUAACAGACGCUCGGAGAGUAUCCCAAUCUACUACAACUAGAACUGGAUACUUGUGACACUAAACAGAAAUGAUGGCUUCAAGAUCGCUUUCUCGCAGGGAGUCGAGGAAGGAUCUAUGGGCACUGCUACUACAUACUUAUCACAUAUGUUAUACUAAUAUGUACUCUUCUAAUGCUGCAAGACGCUAGUCUGUGAUAGGCUAGGCCUUCCCUUCUAUUCUGGCAUUUCCGAAGUAUAGUCCAUAGAUAGAGCCCCUUCCCCUUGAAAGUGAUGCAUAUUUAGCAUAGAUGUGAUGUAAGUCUUGCGAGUACUUUGGAUGAGUACUCAUAGUUGCUUUGCUCCUUUUUUCUCCUUGAUAUGAUUGCUGUGAUCAGAUGACGGAGUCGAGGAGCUAGCUGAUCCCGUCGAUGACUACUACUACCCCGAUAGAGCCUACAACUACGUGGAGGCCGCCGACGACCAGGAGUAGACAGGAGGCUCCCAGGCAGGAGGCCUGCACCUUUUUGAUCUAGGUGUCAUUGUUUUGCUCAGCCUUCUUAAGGCAAACUUAUUUAAUUAUGUCUGUAAUCAGAUAUUGCUGCUUCCGUAGACUUAUGUAAUCGAGCCUUCGCGUUGUUUGUAAUAUAAAACUUUAUGUUUGAAUUUGUGUCUAGAGUUGUGUUGUGAUAUCUUCUCGGGAGUCUCCGAUCUUGCCCAUGCGCAUUUGCGUGUAUGAUUAGUGCACAAUUAAGAUGGGGGUGUCACACGACAUUUAGAUAUGUACAACAACGACGUCGGACCAAGAUGGUGAGCAUGAAAGAAAGGGGAAAUACACGCAGAGUGGAAGAAAGGGGGGGUCAUGAGGGGGAUUUCUAUGGGUCAAUGGUGCCGAAGUCCUACAUAACUAGUGUUUGGACACCCGCAAAGCCCUCUCGAGUUUGAAUCCAGUUUGAUGGAAAAAGGAUGAGUGGACUAGCCCGCAGAUGGAUACAUUAUCACGUUGAAUGGCAAAACACAUCCGGACAGCUCGGUCCAUACGGAUGGGGGCGGUUUAAGGGCCAACGUUGAAGAUGCCCUUAUUCUUUUUUUAGGGAGGAGGUGCCCUUAUUUGUGGGUGUAGAUAUACAUCGCUUCACACAAGUUGGAGCAACAACUCACUCACAUAAUGAAAGAAGUCCGUCUUUUCUCUUAUUUUUUUCCUUUCUUUGUUUUUGUUUUUUGUUUUAUUCUUGUUUUGAAAAAUAUUGUAAAUAUAAUUAUAUAUUUAAAAACAUAAAUAAUAAAGGUUAAUUUAUAAAAAGUUUAAUAUAUUAUAAAAACAAUGUUUACAUGUAUAUGGAAAUUAUAUUAUGAAAAUGUUCACAUGUUUCAAAAAAUGUAGUUGAAAUUCUAAAAAUGUCAAUCAUAUAUUCAAACAAAAUGUUAAACAUAUUUCAAAUAAAUGUUUCAAAGGUUUAUAAAAAAUAUUGGUAGCAUACAAAAAUAUAUUGGUGACAUUUUAAAAAUGUUUCACGUCUAAAACAUGUAAGUGGCAUUAUAAAAAAUGUUAAUCAUGUGUUUGCGAAAUGUUACACGUAUAUCAAAUAGAUGUUUUUGACGUAUAUGAAAAAUGUAUAAUGCUUAUGAAAGGAGUAAACAUCAAACAAAUGUUUGAAAGAAAUGUUUAAACAUUGUAUUUGAAAUGCAAAAUUUGUAUUGCGAACCAACCUGUGGUUGGAUGAUUAGAGUGACACUGGUAUCUUUAGCCCACGAUGUUUCAAGUCUUGGUACUCACAUUACUCCUGGAUUUAUUUCAGGAUUUCCGACAAUGCACAUUUAGUGGGAGGAGACGUUCCGUCGACGACGAGGCAUCUAUGAUGACUUCGUAAAUCUUAAGGUGAUAUCUGGCUCAGUAUCUCGAAUGUGCUCAUAAGAACAUAGUUAAUACUUAAUAGUAUAGCCAACUGCUGGCUAUAUGAUGUUGCCAUGUCACGUAUAAUCACCAUUUAUAGCCACACAUAUAAUUAUGUUAGUUAUAAGGUUGGCUAUAAGACUACUACUUUGUCCUUCUCCUUGUCUAUUUUUUUGUAUUUAUUGAAUUUGCCUAGGAGUACGCAUAUAGCUAAGCUCUCGCAUGAGGCCACUUUCAACGCAUUGGUGCUAAGAUGAGGUGCUAAGCACAUUAAAUAGUUUAGCGACUAUAGUCUGCAAUCAUAGUUGCUUAGCUUAUUGUAGCUAAACCUACUUAUUUAAUGCUUUUGCAACUAAAGUUAUACAUGCAUCGGUGCAUUUCUUUCAUUUAAUUCCCCCCCCGUUUUACCUAGGUUUACGCGUUUAGCAUUGUUUCUUUCCGAUGUCAUCACACUAAUCUCUCUCCUAUUAAUUAGUUUGCCACAUCAGAUUUUUUGUCUAUAUGACAGCCUUAGCACAUGUACAAGGUGGAGUUUUGAGAGUAGUCUAAGAGCCCACUCUUCUUAUAUUUUUCAUCUCUCUCUUCUUCACAUAGACAAAACAUCAUGUAAGCAGACUAUAAACCCACUGUUGUACUUGUUAUAAGGGUAGAAUUUAUAUGUAUACGUUUAUAGGGAUGAAUGUAUACACGUAAAUAUGAACGUUUGCGACUGUACUAUGUAAAAAAAAUUAUACCUGCAUAAAGAAGUUAACCAUGUAUAAAAAAUGUUAACAGUGUACACAAAAAUAUAGACAUAAAAUAAUCAUUUUUACAAUGAUGAUUGUGUAUUUUCAAGAUGUUUAACAUGCAUAAAAAUAUAUUUUAAAUGUAAAUGUAAAAUCUACACAGAAAGUCGAGGAAAAAGAUACGAACAACACAUAGAAAACCAAAAAAGGUCAAUCGUAAGGUUCCGAAGAAAAACUGAUGAAACCCAUAAAGAAAACCACAUAAAAAAGAAAGAAUCCAAUGGAAACCGGUGAAAAAGAAAGAUGAAUAAAGAAAACCAAAAAAAUGAAUGAAAACAAAAUAAAAUAAAAAGCACGAGCGAGCAUACAACAAGACAAGAAUGCCCACCUAAACCCGAACGAACGAAGAGAAAAACUAAUUAAGGGGUAUACUUGCAGAAGCCAGGUAAGGGUCAUUUUGAUGGGUUGAGAGUGUAUCAAGUGAUGCAUCUAAUCGCUGCCACGUGUUGCAUGUUGGGUCACGCAUGAUUUUAUUUGUUUUAUUUUCUGUAUGCAUUUUAAGGUUUUAGAUGGAUUUCUUGUUUUCGCCUGUUUUUUUUAGGUUCUGAAGUUUUUAAAUGCAUGAUUUUUGCUUCUGGUGGUAGCACAUAUUUGUUUCUUAAAAAGGAACAUGUUUGCUUUCACGAAAAGCACAACUAUGCAUCUCAAAAAAGAAAAAGACAUGAUUUUUAUUACAUGGGAAACAUAAAUUUUUUCUUUAUGAAGACACAAAUAUGCUUUCGCAAGAAGCACAACUAUGCUUCUGGGAAAUGGUAAAAAUACGUAUUUUCUCAUAAGAAGCAUAAAUUUUCAUCUCGUGUAAGUACAACUAUACCUCUCGGAAAUGGUAAAAACACGUAUUUUCUCAUAACUAUGUGUUUUUCUUUCUGUUUUUAUAUUAAAAAAAUCAUAAAACCUAUUAACAUGAGAUCUAGUUUUGAAAGUCUCGACACAAAAACUAUAAGAAUGAAAAUGGUUCAAGAUUUAGACAGAUGAUAAAAAAUUAAUACAUUUUAAAUAAACGAACUCACAGGUUGCUACAAGUGAUGCACAUGCAACCCUUAUCUAAUGAUUUCAACGAACUAAUGAUUUGGACGAACAAAACAGAAAUCCCUGUUCGGUGCAUUCUGCGGACAUUUGCACAAAGGAGAUCGAGGAGUCAUUUCAUUUGGGUCGACCUAUUUAAGCGUUCAACCUCCUCGAUUGUGGCAACCUUCUAGAGGUUCACAUCUGUCUUUUUUUCUGGUUUUGAAAAACUUCUAGAAGUUUCCUGCACAGUUUUUUCUUUUUCUUUUUUUGUUUCCUUUUUUUCUUAAUCCUUUUUCUCACAUUUUGCCGUUUUUUCUGUUUUUUUCUUCUUUUGAUUCUAUUUCGUUUCUUUCUUUUCUUUUCUGUCCUUUCAUUUUAACUUUAAUUUUCUUUCUUCCAUUUCUUUUCAAUUUUUAUAUAAAUCAUUGUGUUUUAUUGUUUUGCUGUCCAGGAUUUUCAAAAGAUGUUCAGAAUUUCAUAAAACGUUGCCAUUAUAAAGAAUUGUUCACAAAUUUUAAGAAUAGUUAAUGUUUCAAUAAUUGUUCACAAAAUUUCCAUUUCUCAUGUGUUCAAAUUUUUUUCACCUUUCAAAAAUAGUUCACAAUUUCCAAAAAUUUUGAUCGUUUUUCAAAUUUUGAUCGGUAUGUUUUCCAUUAAAACGUGCACAACUUUUAAAAAACUAUUUGAAAUUUCUAAAAAUGUUCCCGCUUUCAAAACUAGUUCAUAAUUUUUGAAAAUGUUCAUGUUUCCCGUUUUGCAGGACAAAAUUUGGUUGUGAUUAUAAAUUUGUUUAUGUUUUAAAAAAAUUGUUCGGAUGGUUAUUCAAAAAUUAUUUGGAACAUCAGAAAAUUUCAAGUUUCAGAAAACGUCCCAACUUCAAAAAUUGUUCACAAAUUUCAAAAUUGUUCUUGUUUUAUAAUUUUCUUCGGUUGGUUCAAAAAAUGUUCGCCUUUUCAAAUAGUGUACAUUAGUUUAAAAAAUGUUCCUGUUUUAAAAUUUUGUUCAUAAAUUAAGAAAAUGUCACACUUUCUUAAUUUUCAGAGUUUCAAAAAAUGUUCACAGAUGCAAAUUUCCGUUUUUUCAAAAAAGAUUCACUAAUCAAAAAAAAAUUGCCGUUUUAGAAUUUGGUCGCACAUUAAAAAAA
This 90791-nucleotide long non-coding RNA is filed under the name Hordeum vulgare. RNAcentral's name for it is "long non-coding RNA (HVUL_LNC003484)". The record is from RNAcentral. Lineage: Eukaryota; Viridiplantae; Streptophyta; Magnoliopsida; Poales; Poaceae.